Molecule: long non-coding RNA, 153717 nt
Filed under: Coffea arabica (coffee)
Lineage: Eukaryota; Viridiplantae; Streptophyta; Magnoliopsida; Gentianales; Rubiaceae
Description: long non-coding RNA (CARA_LNC001156)
Source: RNAcentral
UCAAAUAUUUCUGCUGAAUCGGAUAUUCAAUGCAAACAUAUUGGAAAAAUCACCCAUCAAGAAAGAUCACCUUUAAAUACAUCCCUCAUAUUUGAUCUCUUGCAAACACACUUCUUUUAUUAUAAAUAUUAGUAAGUAACUAAAAAAAGUAUCCUUUGUCUGCCCUAGCCGAAAAAACACACAGCCUCCUUAAAUGUUAUUAUCAACCUGAUUAAACAAUUAUUUUUGUAUUUAAAAAACUUCCUUUUUCUAGAUUUAUACGUUUUAUUAUAUUUCAGCCGUAAAAUAGGUAUUGAUGAUUUCAGAAAUUUGAAGUUUCUCAUAAUAUUACUUAACACCUCUAAAGUUUAAAAAAUUUCAUAAACUAUUAUUGCUAAUUUAUUAGAAGUUUUACAUUAAACUUGAAAGUUCGUGCAUAUGCUCUCAUAGCUUAUAGCUUAUGUAUCAUGUCUGACAUCACCCAGUUCUCUCUUGUGACCGUCACGACCGUCGUCCACCUUAAAACUCCGAUUUCCACAGGAUCCAACUUUAACUUAUCGUUUCGACCAAAAAAAAAAAAAAGAAGACCACACGACAGUUGUCCACCUCACACUUCCAAGGACCAUUCUUUGUAUUAAUGCUUCCUUUUUUCUAAGAAGACAGUAUAGCAUAUGUUGACAAGGGUUCUUAGAGGUGAUGGGAUGAACGAAUUGUUGGUAAUCUUACUCGUUAAACCAUGCAUGCAAUUUCCAUUUAAAUUGAGUUAGGACGGUUUUGAGCGUCGAGCACUUUUGAAAGAAAGGAUUGCUUUACAGGUACGUAAUCCAAAAACAAUAGGAUUUGAAACUUAGAAAGUUGAUAAGAAGGUAUUAUAUAAUUAGAGAAAAAUACAGUUUUGGUACCUAAAUUUUGACGCACGAGCGGUUUUAGUCCACAAAUUUUGGAUGAAAACAAAUUUGGUACCCGAACUUUCAAAUUUUGAGCAUAUUAAGUACCCUUGACGAUUUUUUCCCAAAUUGUUACCGGAAACAGCUAUGUGACUGUCACGUGUCCAGACAAAAUGGAAUAAAAAAAUGUCAAAAUGCAGUUUUGGUACCUAAACUUUGAUGCACGAGCGAUUUUAGUCCUCAAAUUUUGGACAAAAACAAAUUUGGUACUCGAACUUUCAAAUUUUGAGCACAUUAAGUAUCCUUGACGAUUUUUUUCCAAAUUGUUACCGAAAAAAGCCAUAUGACAGUCAUGUGGCCGGCCAUAAUUGUAUAAAAAAAAGGCCAAAAAAUGUCAAAUGCCAUUAUAGUACUAAGUAUUAAAUACAUUUUAAUUGUGGCCUUUUUUGACAUUUUUUGAGCCUUUUUUUUUAUACAAUUGUGGCCGGCCACAUGACUAUCAUAUGGCUUUUUUCGGUAACAAUUUGGGAAAAAAUCGUCAAGGGUACGUAAUGUGUUCAAAAUUUGAAAGUUCGGGUACCAAAUUUGUUUUCGUUCAAAAUUUGAGGACUAAAACCGCUCGUACGUCAAAGUUUAGGUACCAAAACUGCAUUUUAACCUUUUUUUAUUCCAUUUUGGCUGGACACGUGACAGUCACAUAGCUGUUUCCGGUAACAAUUUGGGAAAAAAUUGUCAAUGGUACUUAAUAUGCUCAAAAUUUAAAAGUUCGGGUACCAAAUUUGUUUUCAUCCAAAAUUUGUGGAUUAAAACCGCUCGUGUGUCAAAAUUUAGAUACCAAAACUGUAUUUUUCUCUAUAUAAUUAUAAGGUACCUGUCAUGGUGCGAUAUGUUGCACUACUGUCAAUCAUGUUUAACCAAAUAAAUAAAGUAAUUCUAUCAUGUUUAGCAAGGGCGGAACUAGGGGGAUGGGGAGUGGCCUCAUCCCCCAAGUUUUAUAAAAUUUAAUUUUCUUUUCCUGUAAAAUUAAAAUUUAUAAAAAUACUUUUUAUAAAUUUAAGCUCUCAUCCUUGCAAAAGCCUAAAACAUUUUAGUUUCCAUGUUAAAGUUUAGGUAUCCUAAAGGUUGCCCCCUCAAAUUAUAUUUUCUUGUUUUGUCUAUAACGUUUAGUACCUACUAGACAAAUUAAUAAUUCUAUUUUUUCAUUGUCAAACCAUCUAUCUCAAAAUUAACAAAAUAAAAACUCUUUCACUGUCACUCAUGUGGACCACAUUGAAUAUAUUCCGUCAUAAAGAAGGCAUGAGGGUCGUCCACAAGUGCAGAUCCAAUUGUACAUCUGCAAUACACGACAUGGAAUGUACCUAUCUUUGAAUUCCAUAACCGUAGUUAGAUUUUAUAACACAAAUCUUCGAUAAGAAGAAAAUCAUGUGUACACGCACGUGUAAAGAAGUGAUAAAUCAUUGGAGUUCACCUAGUGAUCAAGAGAAUACUCUUAGAAUAUUUUUUCACUGUCAAGUUCAGGAUUCAAAUUUCAUGUUUGAUAGUUGGAGGUAGGAAGUAUAUAUGUAAAGAAGUGAUAUAUUUUGAUAAUAGGUACUGUGGAUUUUGAUUGCGAGUUAUUCAAGAAAAAACUUUUAGAAUAUUUCCUAGACACGUUUCUCAUUUACCUGUUUACAUUGUAUAGAUUACGUCACUAGAAUGUAUUUUUCUACAAAUUCUCCCAUCCAAAUAGAUCCAGUUCUUGAUUUUUUCAAAACUAAACAAAAAUUUGUAUUGCUCAGAAUCGAUGAUGGAAGAAGCUUGAGGAAUAGAAGAACAAGUGAAGAAUGGAAACAAGGGUACGGUAAAAAUGAAAGUUUGAACAUCAUUGAAUGGUCAAAGACUCAAAGCUGUCGUGGCUUAAAUUUGAAGUCCCGGAGGGGGAGGAGAAUUUGAAGUUCAUGAAUUGAGAUCUUGAUUUCAAAUCUCUCUAUUUUUCCCGCUUUUACGGCCCACAAAUUUUCCCUGCUGAAGAAAAAAAAAGAGGGGAUUAGUGUUUGUAAGCCUAAACAUUUAUUAUGCUUGCCUUCAAGCACUUUGAUAUAUAUGAACAUCGUACUCAACGAUUGCCAUCGAAGAUUCCCCUCAGCCAAUAAGUACAGAAAUGAGUGAUCAUCUUUUUCUGCCUUUUAGGUGCCUUUCUAUUCCCAUUUCCCACUCAGCCGAUAAGAAUAGAAAUGAGUGAUCAUCUUUUUCUGAGCUUUAGUUGCCUUUUUAUUUCCUUUUGCCACGAUAGUUGGGACCUCUUGGCUACUACUUUACAAAUUGAAAAGGAACCUUGUGAAGGAAAAAAACAGAAAAGGAACCAUGUGAAGCCUCAGUCGUUUCUGCUAUUACUCUUUUUCUGGCACGAUAUUUAUUCUUUUGGUCGAGAACGUAGUAAUAGAUACUGUUCAAUUAUAUCUCAACAUAAAGGGAUAGUUUUAGAAAUCUCCUCUAAGGUUUCUAACAAUUUUAUUUAGCACCCACAAAUUUUUAAAAAUUUCACUUGUCUCUCUUACUUGAAGUUUUUUUGUAUCAUUUAUGACCAUUUUAAAAUAUAAUAUUAAAAAUUUAUUUUGGGGGGAGAGAAUACGAUUUCAUUCCAAACUUGCCCAUUUUCUUGUGAUUUCUUGAUUGUAAAAAUACAACUAAUUUUUCUCUUAAUUUUUGUAAAUUGAUCGAUAAAAUUUUAAAAAUUGGUAACAAGAUCGAUAAACUCUUUAAUAGUUUUUGUGUCAUUGUUUUGAACAAGAAAUGUUAAAUUACUUAAACUUAUGAAUAAUUUACAAUACUCUUAAAAAUAACUUGCAAUAAUUUACAAUCAAAAUAUUACAACCAUAAUAAUACCUUUUUGUACUAGCUUAAAAAUAAUACAAACAAAUUUAUAUAUAAUUUUUAGCAUGUUGUAUGUUUUACUUUUUAAACCAUCGAGUUAGACAAAAAAUUAGAAAAUUGAAAAAAAAUGUAAAUGAUUUAUAAAACGUCUUAAAUUUACUCAAAGCACUUUACAGUAAAAAAAAAAACACUAUAUUCUGUCCAAUAAGAAUAAGUCUUCAUAUUUUUUGUUUUUAUUUGUCAUUAAUAUACUCAAGUUUUUGUAAUAAAAAAUAAGAUAAUAAAAGGGCAAAUUUGGAACGAGAUUAUAUUCACUCUCUCAAAAUGGAUUUUUUAAUAUUAUAUUUUUCAAAUGGGUUGUAAAUGAUACAAAAAAAUUUUAAGUAAGAGAGGCAAGUGAGAUUUUUUAAAAUUCAAAGGUGCUAAGUGAAACUGUCAAAGUUUCUGAAAUUAUCCCCAAUAUUAAUAAGGAAUACUUGGUACUGCAAAUGAAGCAAUUAAGUAUGUCGUUUAUGCAAUUAACCUACAGUAGUUUUCUUUUUCUUUUUUUCUUGUGCCCUGAAAUUUCUUUUUUAUAAUCAACAGAGAUAUCCACAUUUUCUUGAAAACCUUGAAGCCAUUUCAAUACAUAUGGUGGAUGACAAAGGAUCCACCAAUUGGUUCAGUGAUACAAUAUUAUGUACAUACAGUUAUAACACAGAUACAAUUGGUUCGGAUUAACUCUACUUUGCACUUUUAAACUUAUAUCACUUUCUCACUUUGCACCAUGAACUUCAAUUUUGGAUACUUUACACCUUAAACUCCUAAUUUCAAGCACUUUGUACCCUAUAUUCUUAAAUUUAUUCCAUUUAAUUUCAAUCAAUUAUUAUAUUCAUAAAAUUAAUGAGAUAGAGGGAGGUAAAAAUUAAUAUAAAUGUACUUUUGUUAUAACACUGAUUCCUUAAUUUUUUUAAUCAUUGUUAGCACAUUAUCAUUGAUUUAUAUGGUCUUAAUUGUUAGCAAAAAUUAAUGAGGUGAAAGAUGGUGCAAAUUAAUGACAAUAUAUUGUUUUAUUUUUGCUAUGAUACUUUGAUACCUUUUAAUUACUUUCAGCAUAUUAUCAUUGAUUUGUUGAGUUCUCUAUGACAUUAGUUUUGCAAAAGUUGUCAAAUGGGACAAACUGGAGAGUUUAGGGUGUAAAAUUAUCCAAAUUAACAGUUUAUGAUACAAAGUGUCCAAAAUUGAUUCAGAGUGUAAAGUGAAAGAUUGAUACAAGUUUGGAGGUGCAAAGUGGAGUUUGCCCCAAUUGGUUCAGUACAACCAAAUGUAUCUACGGCCUAGUACAAAUUAUCUCACGUAUCUAUACUUCCUUCACUACUUUCAACGAAAGCAUGUAAAUUGUUUUCUCAAUUAAUUGAAGUUGAUCCAAAUUAAGUAAGUGUAAAUCUUAUACAUACUGACAAAAUAAUAGUGCAUGCACCAUCAUAGUUAGACAUAUAUACAUAUACAAAAUUUAUAUUUUAAAUUAAAAUUUAGAUUACUUACCAUAUAUCCAAUUGUAAUAAUUUAUACGUUAUCAAUGUAUAGAGUGUUAAUUCAUUAAUUAUUAUUUAUCAGUAACAUGAUAUAUAUACUAAUCUUUCACUCCCGAGUCAGACACCAUGGCAGAUUGACCAUGAGCAGGAUUUUCAAAUUGGGCAGCUUAAUAAGAAACCCUAAGGUAUGUUUGGUACCCCAUAGAAUUGGGGUUUAGAAUUGGAAUUGGAACCCCAAUUCUAAUUCUUGUGUUUGGAUGCUGCCUUUUCCAUAGAAUUAGCAUUGAAUUCUAAUUCCAAGAGGUUCCAAUUCCAUGAAUUGAAUUCUUUACCAGAUCAAAAGAAUUCUAAUUCCAAUUCCACAAUUAAACGGGUCCAAACGCGGAUCUAAUUUGGAUCAAAAAUUAAAAUCGGGUCAAGGGUAUCGGCACCCCUCUCUUUCUAUCUAACUCACCAUUUUUCCUCAGCCGCAUGUGCUCUCAUUGCUCUUUCUAUCGGGCCGCUCUCAUUGCUCUUGGAAGUCCCCACUUGUACCUUUUCCGACCUAAGAUCCUCAGGUAAUCUUAACGCCAGAUUCAGAUGCAUGAUGAAGCCAUCCAUAUCUUGUCGGAUUAUUUGUAAUUUAAGGAAAAAAAAAAAAGAGAGAAGAGGAAAUGUUCUUGUGAAUAGCCCAUAUCUUGUCCAUCCUGAUAUUUUGUAUUUUGUGGCUAUAUUUGCAAUUAUAAGCAAUUUAUGAGUUGAGUGUUGACUGUAUGCGGCAAAUUGAAGCAAAAUUCCAUUUGGGCUUUUAGUUACUUUUAAUUAAUUGUGAAAAUUGGAGUGCAAGAUUAUAAUGUUGUUGCGAAAAUGGGAUGCAGGUAGAGUUUAUGGGAGUGGGAGGAAUCUGAAUCCAUUGUUGUGGACGUGGAAUUCGAGUCCGAAAUGGAAUGGUGGAUUUGGGAGAUGCAUUGAGGACUCGAUUGGGAAUGUGGAUGUUGGUGGUGGUGUAGGUGUUUCCACCACAGCUACUAGUCAUUGCUCAACUGUGGAGAGGCUGUACGCUUGGGAGAAGAAAUUGUACCAGGAGGUCAAGGUACCUACUACCAUCAGCUUUGUGUGCUACUAAAUCGAGAAUUGUGUGCUACUGCUUCUGGAUUUUGGAACGGACCCCAACAGCAGAGGUAUCUCCAACUUUCAUACUGCUUUAAGUUAUGACGUCCAAAUACUGCUAUGGGAACCCAACUUUGUGAUGAUAUAGAAGCAGGAAAACAAUUUAAACAAUUCACCUCAUUAUCAAGAGGGCUGUCCUCCUUGCACCCCCCACAUCAUUUGUCGCAAACUAAUGACAAUUAUAAUUUGCAUGCCCCUUCUUCAUGUUUUAUAACUACAGUAAUGGCAGCAAUAGUAAAAACUUAGCGAAAUGUGGCUCCUAAUACUCUCCGGGCGUCAGUUUUAUUUAUUAAUUUGAGCCGUCUUUGAUUUAAUUGCUAGUACUGUAUGAUUUACCCCUCAUCCUGUCCGAGUGCGGACUGUAUGGGCUGGCCCUCUUGCAUCAAUGAGAAGUGAAAAAUACCCUUUUGGUCAUUCCGUACAAGUUGAAAAUGGCUGGAUCUGCAUCUCCUAGACAACUGUAACACCAGUCUCAUUUACUCUUUUAAAAGGUGUCUAUAUUUACUGCGAUUGUCCAUUUCAUUUUGGUCUGCCUGUUGAUCUGUAUUUUUUUCAUUUUGUAUUUUGUUAUUGCUGUUUUUGGGGGUUGUUGUACUCAAAUCUUUUAUAACUCCCUUCUCAUAUGGUUUGAGUUUUGGCUUUUUUAAGUGUAGAAUUCUCCUUACUCAUUAAAGAGACUAACAUGCUCUCUACAAAAUAAUUGGUAUCUUUGAGGCAUAAAUAUCACUUCUGAAUCUUGAUGCCUUCUCUUAGUGAAAGUUCAUUCGACAUUUAAGGCAAAUCAUUUUUUUCUAGUUUUGUUUGAAGACAGCAUAAGCAAAGAAUUGGAAUGUCCAGCCAUAGUCAUAGAACUUAAAAUACAGGAAUUCUGUUUACCUUUGAUGGACGUUUCCCUUUAUUUACUCUUCAAUGAUAUGAAAUCAAUGUCCAGCCCAACACGUUUUUAAGUUUAGAGAUCGAUUGCCUUUCAUGACUAGGUGCAUAUUUGCCUUUCAUUUUUAGUUCUAUAAUGCAGUAGCUAUUAAAUAUGUUCUUAAGAACAUGACAUUGUGAUGUUUUUCUGGUGCAUAUCUGCCUCAGAUAUGGCAUCUGAAGCAACAUCUCAGUCAAAAGGGAAAGGCAAAGGGUAUUUCACUUGGACUCCUGAAAUGGAUCGUGUAAUGGGCACCUGUUUUAUUGACCAAAUGAACCAAGGAAACAAAUUGGAUGGUAAAUGUGCAUGGAAGACAGCAGCCUACACCGUAGUAAUGAAUGCUUUAUUCGAUAAGCUCAAUAUAUCUGUGACAAAGGCUAAUAUUUUAUCUCGUUUCAAGACAUGGGAGAAACACUAUGACAUCCUAUACCCACUGCUCCAGUCAUGUAACUCUGGGUCUGCGAUAAUAUGGGACUACUCUAGAGGUAGAAUUGAUGUUCGUGAUGAGGAUGUAUGGAAUGCUCGAGUAAGUGAGAAUCCAAAAAUUCUUCCUUAUAGAAAAAAAAUUGUGGUUGAAAAUUGGGAGGAUAUCUGUACACUGUUUUCACAAGAUCGUGCAAAUGGAGAGGGUGCCCAAACUGUUUUUGAGGCUAAUGUUGAAACUGAAGUUGAAGAGUCUGCUAAUGUAGAGGAAUCAUUUGAGACUGAUUCACGAUCUUUAGAAGAUGAAGUUAUGAAUGCACUGCUAGCUCGACAACGGUCAAAAUCAAAAGCUUCAUCUUCAACAAAUGAUCGUGGCACAAAGAGAAAACUAACGAGCUCUCAAGUACUUUACAAGGUGUUGGGACGAAUGGCAGAUUCACUGGAUAAGUACUUAAAUUCAGAAUGUUCAAAAGUUACAACUAAAAUGGUGGAAGACGAGUUAUCUAAAAUUGAAUUGGAUAGAUUUCAAUUGUUGAAGGGUAUUGAUUUACUUAUGAAUGACAGGACAAAGUAUGACACUUUUUCUGGUCUUCAAGAUGACUUAAAAAAGGAUUGGCUAUUGAUGCACAUUGGUAAUUGAUUUUUUUUUUUUUGGUAAUCUCCAGUUGAAGUUGUUUUUGUAGAAGAAGUUGAGCUAUUUUCUAUUUGUUUUUGGGAUGAUAAGAAUGGAACAUUGGAUCUUUUGUCUGAUGAACUAGCAUUUUUUAUAUUGAGAUUAACAUAGCUGCCUGGGUUGAUGCCCUGACUUGUCCUUGAGCUGCACGAAGCUUUGCAUUCUUUCUCAAAGUUAAGGAGCUUUUGUAUAAGUGCUCUUCCUGUAUUCUGUCGGUUUUUAGCUGUACUUGUCAGUGCUUAAUUUCAGAUAAGACUCAUGCAUUAGUUUGAUCCUUUUCUGGAGCAACGAAUAUAUUGAUGGAUGGAGUUCUUUCUUUGUUGGAUGGCAAAUUUCAAAGUCUUCAUUCACUGUCAAGGGCUAGCCAGGAUUCGUAGUGCUCUAAAACGUCUAGAUGAUUUGGAAAUGUUGCAGCACCUUUCCCUGUUUCUGAUGAUAUCUCUAUCUGUCAUGAACCACUUAGAUAAUCUUUAUCAUUUGUCACAUGUAACCUGCUUGCUUCAUCACUCGACUUUAUUUCCACGUUCCAACUUCCAACUUCUAGAAUAUCAAGAGAAAAAAAACCACCUUAUUCUAGUCCCAUCAUUUUGGCAUUUUCAAGUUAGAAAGUUUUUGUUUUUCCAAGUAGUAGUAAUACCUGUACACAUUUGGCUGAGGGAGGAUAAGUCCCUAACCUUAGAAGCAUGUAAAUCUAAAGUCACAUUUUUUUUAGACGUUUAAAACAAAAAGUCUAGAACUUUUUGGCCAGGACAAACAAUGAGAGAGAGAGAGAGAGUACUUCAUUGAUUGCCCAUUUUCUUUCGAAUUAAUCUUACAAUUUGGUUUCACCAAAAAAGUCGAUUUGUAUAUUUUGUCUUCUUUUUCACUAUUUUCUUCGGUCAGGUAAUUUGUGAGUAAUUCACUGUCCGAUAUUCUACCAUGUUUUAAGAAAUAUGCUAGUGUCAUUGGGGAUUUACUUUUAAGGGCUUGAGGUCCAGUUUUGGUUGGAUGCCAAUAUCUAUACCAUACGUUGAACAAAAGAAAUUGACAUAAAAGUGGAAAAAAAUAAAUUAUUAAAGGCACAAAUUGGUUUUUACUUUUAAAUAAAUCUUUAAUAAAAAUUAGCUAAAUGUAAAGAAAAAAAUUAUUAUAUAGAAAAAAGGAAAAAAAGAAAAAUUUUAUGUAAGCAAAUGUUUCAUGAAAACAAUUCUAAUUCCUAAUGAAUUCUUUUCUCAUGCAAACAAAGGAUUUGGAAUUCCAAAUAAAUUCCGUAUCAAUUCUAUGCAUUUCCCAAACGAAAGAAUUGGAAUAACUUGGAAUUCCAAUUCAUAGAAUUCCAAUUCUAUAGAAUUCCAAUUCUAAUUCAAUUCUAAUUCUAUAAAACCAAACGCACCCUAAGCCACAUUCCAUCUUCCGUUUGAAAAGUCCAACCCAAUCUAGCUACUUAUGUGUAAACUUGUACACAUUUCAUCGUCCGUUUGAAAAAGUCGAACCCAAUCUAGCUACUUAUGUGUAAACUUGUACGAAUCUGCUGAGCUAUACUCAAAAACCCAUUAUUCAGUUUCAAAUCCGCUGAUAGCAUGCUGGAACACAAGUACGUAAGGGGAUCAUAUUCUGGUAUUGUAGUUUAUCAUGAUUUUCUUCAGGAAAAGACUUAAACCCACCUGCAAAGACUUAAACCCCACCUGCACUAGGGUACAACAAACAAAGGUGAGUUGGAUAUACUUCCGUAUGACUGCAGAACUCAUUUCCACAAUGCGAUUUUGAUGCAGCAAUAAGAAAUUAUAUCAAACUUGAAAUCAGUCAUCCUUUGGGGUUCUAUAAAUACCAUCCUCCCUGUCAGUUAUGGACACAUUCCUGCCUAGCUACUUUUAGUUUCAGCCAACUACAUAUUCAUUCCUAGCUCAACUGAAAUUAAACUUUCCAUGGCAUACCAGAGCGCCUACAAUAUGAAUUACCAGAUACUACUAUGCUUGGUACUCUUCUCCCUAGGCCUUCUCCUACCACUGCCAUCCCAUUCUGCUGAUCCAAGCCCAUUGCAAGAUUUCUGCGUUGCAGAUCUUAAUUCCUCUUUAUACAUUAAUGGCUUUCCGUGCAAAAACCCUGAUAAUGUAUCUUCACAAGACUUCUUCGCCAAUGGGUUCCAACAAAGUCCAGGAGAAUUCAAUAUUUUUGACGUCAAUGUCACUCGUCAAGAUGUUCAUCGAUUUCCAGGACUCAACACUCUGGGGAUGUCAAUGAACCGAGUGGUUUUGAAGCCUGGAGGGCUGAAUGAACCCCACGUCCACCCUCGUGCAUCCGAGCUGGCUCUAGUCAUGGAUGGAAAUCUGUUUGUAGGCUUUGUGACAACCGGAAACGUUUUCUACUGGAAAAUUGUGACUUCAGGAGAGUUGUUUGUGAUUCCUCCUGGGCUAGUGCACUUCCAACUGAAUAUUGGACACGAGAACGCACGCUUCUUCGCCUCGUUCAACAGUCAAAAUCCAGGGAUUCAGUUCGCCCCCCUUGCUCUUUUUAACUCCAAACCUUCGAUUCCUGAUCUCGUGUUGAGUAAAGCAUUUCAAGUAAAUCAAAGUAUCAUUGAGCUCAUUAAGUCUAGGUUUGCAACUGUGUCGACUGUGUCGACGGUGCUUAAGUCAUCUUACUAACAUCCUAUUCCAGGGUGUUGUUCAUUAUUGUUGGCAUAUUAAACCAGGGUCAAAAAAUAAAAAUUUCUAUACUAUCGUUUAGUGGUAUUUUGGUCAAGAAGUUUAAAGUAGCUCUGUUGGAGCAAGUUAUGGUAUUGUUACUGUUUACCAGCUAGUAUUGUAUUAAAUAAUUUCUUAUGGUUGUCAAUAGUCAUAUUAUUGUAUUCAGUUGAAAAGAAUGAAAUUUUAGAAGUUUUGUUGUUGUAUGUGUGUAAUAAAGCCUUCCUAUAUAUAUUGGUUUUGUGAAAUUUAUCUCCAAUAGUUUUUUUGGUAUAAUUGUUGAGGUUCUACAUCUAGUAUCAGAGCUAUAGAUUCAUGAAAUUGAUCUUGGAGUAAGUUAUGCAUUGCUUAGUCGAUCGCAUAAGGCCAUGAGGUUGGUUUGGAGUAUUUAAUUGGUCAAAAUUUGGCCAUAAAAUUGGUCUGCAAAUUAUUAGUUUGAUUGUGGAUGUUGCAAUAGAGAUUGGUUAAGAAUUCUGUUAUUGAUUAUCAAAAUCACAAAUUGAUAAAUUAUCAAUGAAUUGACAUAAAAAAAACAGGUGCUUGGAUUAUUGUAGCAAUUUAAAAACAAAUUAAGUGGCAGGAUGAACUUGUCCAGAUGCGUGGAACACUGCAGCAACAAAAGGUUUUGAAGAUUUAGAAUUCAAUUGAUAUUAAUGGACUUUGCUAGGGAGAUUAUUAUUUGUGAACCUGAUUCAAGGGUGAGUUCGAUUUAAAAGAAAUAAUGUUGACAUGGUAUAUCAAGGUUUAAAAUUUGAAGUUUAUAUACUAUUUUUUAGUAGUAUUUUGGUCACAAAAGUUUUUAGUAGUUUUAUUAAAAUCUAGGUAUGGUAAUUUCACUAUUUUGGAAUUUCUACUGUAUUAGAUAAUUCUUGUGGAUGUCAAUCACGUAGUCUAUAAGUAGGGAGUUAUAUACUUAUAUUAUUGUAUUCAGUUGAAAAGAGUGAAAAUUGCAUAGCCUUGUUAUUAUGGUAUUAUUAAUAUUAUAUUAUUGAUAUUAUUACCCUUUUCUCACAUAGGUAUAUCUGUUAAUUAGCAUUCCAUAUGUAUUAAUUUUGUGAAAUUUUUCUCAUAUAGUUUUUUUGGUAUAAUUGUUGGGAUCUACAAUUCUUAUAGCCUAUUUGAGACAACAAUAUUAAUUAAACAAUAAAUUGAAUAAAAUUAUAUAAUAAAAGAUUAAUGAAAUGUGAUUUUAAGGAGGUGUUAUCGGAGAUUUUAGUACAAAUAUGUAAAUGUUGAUGUUUAAAAUGUAUAAGCUUUUUUCACACUAAUUAAUCUUUGUAGAGUUGGAAGUAAUUAAUUUAAAAAGAUAUUAAUUUUCUAUGAAAAUAAAAGAUAUACACUAUAUUUGGCAAUAGUGAAAUUAAUUUUUUUUGGUAUAAUUUAAAAACGUUAUAUUCUUGCUUAAGCUUUUUGAAGUAGGACAAUUAGUUAAACUCUUUGUUUAUAUAACAGAGUUGUGGUAAAAAAAUUUCCACUUUUAUCAUUAUCUCUGUAAAGUAAUCAUGUGUUGAUGCCUAUUAGUUUGUUAAAAUUUAUUAAAUUUAUAAUAUCUUACGUACAAAAACAUUUUGCAAAUAGCAGUAUGCAUUAUUUAUUAUUUUCAACUAGAAGGAAUGUUAAUGUAGAAAAUUUUACUUCGGGAGACUUAUUGAUAAGUUAGUUUAACUAAAUUUUUUUUCCUACUCAAAGGAAGCAUAAAAGUAAAAUAAUUUACUUGGAUAGGCUUUUCAAUAAUUGAUUUAAUGAAAUACUUUUUGCCUAAAAUAUAGGGAUUUAAGCAUUUGAACUAAAGUAACAAAUAAUGAAUAUAUAACAUUAGUUAAAUUUAUUAAAGAAUAAAAUAAAUUCACAAAUCUUAAGAAAUAACACAUAGCAAAGUAUUGGAAAGGUUCUAGGAGAUAUGGAUGGAUGAAUAGUAUAUAUUACUAGCUUUUUAACUAGUGCUAUGCACAAGAAUUAAAAACUUUUUUAAAAAAAUUAAAAUUUAAAAUAAAUAUAUAAUAAUCAAUAAAAAAUUAUCUAAAAUCCUUACAAUGAAUGCAAAAAACUAAGAGUGCAUCAAAUUUUUGUACAAUUGUAUAAAUAUUAAUUCUUAUCUAAAAUUGUGAUUAUGCUUGAAAGAUGUAGGCAUAUUUUUCUCUAACAUUUAACUUUUAACAUUGUUUUCAACAAUUGUAACUACAACUCUUUUCAGGACCUUUGCACAUAUACUUGAAAAUAUACGUACUUGCUUCAUUCUUGUGUUUAAAUAGAGGGAUACAUUUGAUUGAAUUUGUUGAAAUCAAGAUAAAAAACCAAAGUCUAUUAUAAUUUAUUGAAAUUUUCUAUAUAAGGUACCCAAUGUAAAUUUGUUUGGAUAAAUUUUUAUUUUAUUAGAAAAUAAGAAGUCAAGAAUAAGUUAAAUAAUUAAAACAUUAAAUUAGAUUAUUUUAUUUUAACAAUUUGACAAUCUCCAUAAAUUCAAACCCUCAUAUUGCAUUAUAAUGUUAAUAAAUAUUUUUUUAAAAAAAAUUUCUAGUAGGGAUUAAGGAAGGAGUGGAGUAUAAGAAGCACUCGGAAAGGAAAUUUCCGUUUUAGCCACUAGAAAUAUUUAUUAACUAUAAGAUGAAUUAGAAAUAUUUAGAAAGCCACUAGGCAUAUUUUAAAAAGCCGCAGGGAGGUUAUUUAUACAAUUGGGGAAUACCGUGAUAGCCAUCCAAAAUGCUCUUUAUAGUUUUUAUAUAUAUGUAAGACUAGGAGGUGAUCACCGUGCAAAUGCACGGUGUUAAUGCCCAAUAUUGCUUUGUGCCCAGGAUUAUUUAGCAGCAAUGUAAAUUGUGCUUGAAAAUAAAUUAUACAAUACUAAGUAAACUAUGAUUGCAAAUCAUCUAUGUCAAGAACUUGGUUUUAGGUCAAAAUAAUAAUUAAUACAGGAGUUAAAAUGGUCUUCCCAAAUGUUUAUUAAAUACCAUGAAUUAGGAAGCACAUUAUAGAAUAUAAAUUACAUUCAAAGUACAUAAUCCAAUUUGAUAAAAUUAUAAAAAGAACGAAAGAACUUAGUGUCAAGAUUGGAACAAAAUCAGCUUUCAAGGCUCCAAUAACUACUCAAAGAGGAAUAGGCUAAGCUGUAUCGAUAUCUGCCAAUCCUAUUUGCAGCAUUCUCUCGAUCAUUCUUGUGGCUGCUGCCAUUUAUUUGCCUGUUAAACAGUGGGAGAGGAUUAACAAGGAAUGAUUUCAAGUGUCUGUAAAGCUUCUUGGACGUCUCUAUAUUGAUUGCAUACCCUGCAUUCUUUAUUAUUAUCAGUUCUAAAUAUUGAGGCUAUUGAAGUUCGCAUUGUCAAUGCCGAAAAUUUCAACCAAAUAUGAGAAUUCAUUAUAGUGAAGGCAACUUCUUUAAGUGCCCUAAACUUGGGACAGGAAGGUUUGAUGCAGCACAUGAGCAUUCUUCCAUGCAAGUUAGACGCAACAAAGCUGGUCAAAUUAAGUUUUUAGCAAUAAUUAAGAUAAAGAACCAUGAUUUAAAUUUUAUACAAUAAUUAGAAAAAAGGUAAGAAAAGGUCUGCGAAAAUAGAUGAGAUGUCAAUAUCUACUUAUGUACCUAGGUAAAAGGUGAACAACAGAGUGACAAUAUCUGCAUAAAACUUCCUAUGUGUAUUGAAAAUUAUUAGGCCGUUCACAGUUUGGACAGGCCAAAUAAAAAUCUCUGUCAUUCUUAAAACUCAUUUCAACACAAGCUGUGAUCCAUGCUAUGCCUGUUUUCCAUUAAACAGAAAUAAGAAAGAAGCAGAAUGAGAACAAAUUCAGAGUAUACAUAGAGAGAGUAGCUUUAACGAUGAAAGGAUUAAUGAGUCCUACAAACCCUGAUGCAGUAGCUUAGCUAUAUGUUAACAAGCUACAUACCUUUAAUGAUGAAAGAAUUAAAGAGCCUUACAAUUAAAGUUACCUUUGUUGCACCAUAGGUGAACACAUGAGAGAAUUUCGAACCACCCCAAGCAAGUGGACAACAACGCAAUGCACCGCAUGAAAGGACACAUAGAAUCACAUAAGAUUUCCACUAAUACACAAGAAAUCAGAAGGGGAAAAAUUACAAAGAAUAAAUUAGAAUUUUUGUAAAGUUUUUGUACUCCCUAUAACAACAUAACAAACUUUCCAAACAAUUUGAUAUGAUAAUUACACAUCAUCCCUAACCAAGUAGCAGAUAUAGUAGAAUCAUUUUUAAAAAAAAAGCUUUUCUAAAAAUGUGACAAAAACACUAAGAUAACAUGAAGCCACCAAUCCUUGUCUUUCUGAAGGAUGACUUACAUCUGAUAAUAUACCGAAAGGUGCAAAAUAAUCAAUUUUAAAACAGGUGAGCUAAACCAAAACAAAGUAAAAAUACUGAGAAAAGAGCCUCAUUUCAUUCUUUCCAUUUGUCAAACUAUCACAGUUCGCUUUCGCUGCAUAAAAAGAGCAUUAUUUCUAUAAUUCUAAAUGCUUUAUUUCUAUCACAGUUCACCACAUAUUCAACAAAAAAAAUUGCAGCAGAAGAUAAAACAGAGAAAAGCAAAAAAAAAAAAAACACUUUUGAGACCUAAGAAACAGAGAUUGUACAAACAAAGAUGAAAAGUGCUUUAUUUCUAUAAUUCUAAAAAACUCAGAAAACCCAAAACAAUGCCAUUCAUGAGCCACGACAGCAACAAACAUCUAUGCAAGAAAAAAUAGCAAAUAGUAAAAAAAAAAAACCUGCCAUCAACUGCUGUUCAUUCUUCUUCUUUCGCAUAGCUACUUUUCUUGCCAAUGUCAGCCCAAGGAAAAAUCACAAAAAAUACCAGAAAAAAAUGAAGACAAACCUGAAGCCAACUGUGUCAAUCAAUGUGGUCAAUCAAAGUGAAAGACAAUAAAAAAUACUUAUCUUAAAAAUUGGUCUUAAAUUUUGUUUCAGGGUUGCUCCUAUUUAAUAUUCACAAAAAUUACAUGAAUUACUAAUGAGCUACCAUAUGAAAAAAACAAAGAUGAUUUUUCUGAACAGGGCGGCUCACAAAAAAGUCCAAGAGUGACUAACCGGUGAUCCUAGCGAGCAAAUGCAACAAUUUUGCCAUCUGGCCGGAUUGAUGUUCCUGCUAUUCCAGGUCGCUCCAAUGUAAUUUCUUUCUUGACCAGUGCUGAUCCCUAUAUCGCAAGCCGGUAGAAAGAUGCAUAACUUAGAAAUUUGAAAUUUAAGACAUUAAAAAUGACCAAAAGUCUCUUCCUCCUACCCGCUGGCCGCUGCUCAAAGAAAUAUUGCAUGUCAAUGAUGCCUAUCACAUGCAGCUCAAGUUCAAACUACAAUUCAAUCAUCAUUUUAGCCCAACUGCAAUUUAAAUCCUUCAAAAUUGCAAACCAGGAAGUUCUGAACUUGUUUUUAAGUAAGGUGCAUCUGACACAUUACAAACGAGCAUAACAUCUCGUGAUCACUUGGCAUUUGCCAGACGAGGAGGAGACUAUUAUGAGACCACUUGGAAGUCAAGAAUGCAAAAUUAAGAAAAACAGUAAUCCUCACACUAAGAAAAUUAAAGUUCAAAAUAGGCACCUUCUGAUGUUAAAUAGUCACCAAUUGCAAAACAAAAGAUUGUUGGAUUGAGGUAUAUUAGCAUCAAAUUUACUUCAAGAAUAGGAAAUGAAAACACCAUAGAGGAGUUGUAAACAAAUGGCACGUGAUAUUUUUAUCUUCUCUUAUAUUUCUUUUUUGCAAGGCAAAGGCAGCAAUGACUAACAGCAGCAUGCCACAUCCUGUUAGCUGAAAGUGUAAAGAUGCCAUGCAAUAAAGUGACUUAACAUGCUAGGGAUAAGAAUUUAUCAAGCUUGAAUUUACCAAUUGAUAAUCCAAAUAGAAAAACACAAGUUUUUCAUCAGCAGCUCCAGAGAUACCACCACUGCAUGCCCCAUCAAUACAAAGGCUCAAAACUGCAAAAAAGGAACGAGAUCUCAAUUUUUUUUGUUGGGUUUCUUGGGGAGAGAGAAGUCGCAAUCAACAAAUAACAUGAUGUAUAUGGAGCCAGCACCACUAUACCUGGUUCUUUAUGAAACUUAACAGAAUUCAUUGGAACCCCUGGAUUCCUUACAUCCCACCAGGCCAUGGAACCAUCCUCAUAUCUAAAAUAUUGAAAAUAUAAAGGGAGUGAAUAAACUUCAUUUGAUAGUUCAAGAAUUUCAAUCAGAUGUAAGGUACAUCUGCUCUAUGCAGACUCUAAGCAACUGUUCCAGUGACAUCAAGCAUCUACCAAUCACAGCAACUAAAAAAAUAAUAAAGCCAUUUAAUCAGAUAAAAUGCAGCAAACAAUCAUAGAGACAUGGUUUUUUAGGGGAAACAAGGUUGUCGAUUGUACCAUUUUUGUGACAAGAAUCAUAAUUCCAAGACCAAAGAAUGACAAAGAAAAGGCUGGAUGUUAUAUAUCAAUAAACGGGCCAUACUUUAUGUAUCCUUUUUCAAAAAAAAAAAACCAUGAAGCUUUGACCAAAAGUUUCUUGUUCAUAUGGUGACCUUGCUCCAUAUCUAAAAGCUAAGAUUUUUGGUAAGGAGUAGUAACCUGAAUGCAAAAAAAGUUUGGGUGAUUUUUAUCAGUUAAGAUGAGCGACAGAGGUGGGAGUAGCUUCAACCAAUUAAUCAUUCUUUAAGGAAACCUGAACCACACUCAUCAGGAAAUAUCCAAUGAUAAAGAUAGCAUUCAUGGGUUUCCCCAAUCAUUUGUUGUCAUGCCAUCAUGAGCACAAGCCCUUCUCCCAAUUCUAUAAGCCUUUCCACCGUAUUGCAAUAGAAGCUGAGUCCGAAGGCAGAAAAAAGAUGAGCAAAUAAAAUGAGGACAUACCCGGUCAAAACAUUUAGGUAGCCCUAUGAUUCAGGAGAUAAAAAUGCUUGAAGCGCCAUGCACAUUCCUGGGGUCAAAUAUCAAAUUAGGGGCAGAUAGACAGAACUUCCUGCAUGGAAAAAAAAGGGAGAAAACCACACAUUGUCACACUUUCAUUAACAUAGAAAAGAAGAAGGGGGAGGGGGGUACGCAAAAAAAUAAAUAAGAUGAGCCUUCAGUAUAUAUGAAAUAAAUAGAAAUUACAAGCAAAUUUUAUUUCCAUGAUAGUAAUCCAGAGCAUUCAACAGGUCACUUUUGCAAAGAAAGUGCAGGUCAUCAUUUAAAGAGUCAAAGUUUAAGAAAGUGAGAGACCAUUUACAUGGUGAGAAAAAAAAUGGAGAAUGCCAAACAACUAAGACAAAACCCCUCCAUGGUCCAAGUCCUCGGAGCUAAAAUCUUAGAUCAUUAAUGAUUGUAGGGAUAAACUAAAACUAAAAGGAUCCAUGGUCAUAAAAAUAUGGGGUAAAGCACUUUUGAUAUUUGAGAUUUAAAAAUCGAACCACAAAAAAAAUCAAAAUAUAACUAAUAAAAAAUUAAAGAAAUUUCAAGAAAAGGAAAAAUUAUCAAAAAAAAUAAAAAUAAAAAAGAACCUUCACAGAAGAUCUCAUCACCAGGUCCAGAAGGCAGUGAUGGAAAAACUAAUUACCAACAGAGACCCGUAUAUACAGAGAGAGAGAGUGAGAGAGAGAGAGAGAGAGGGAGAGAAUCAGGGCGAGCACAAAAAAUUGAUAGAUUCAGAUAGAAAACUCUGUAUUUUUAGAGCCAUCAUAGUAUAAAAUUUUCCCGAAUUGUGGGGAAAAAAUUAUCAGGCGCUUUAGGAAUCCACAUGCCUAUCAAGUUUUGGCCGCUACAAGCCCUAGAAUUUCAGACCUUCUUCAAUCUCUUUUUUUCAUCCUCUUCUUCGUCAACCAUGUCCCUGAGCCUAGUAAUUUUCGAGAAAUCGCAGCAAAACUCUCCUAUUCUCAGGCUGCUGGGGUCUCAAAUCACCAGCAAACACAGCAAGCAAGUAGGAGCAAAAAGAAACCAGCAUAGGAUGAAAUGAUGAGAAACAAACCAAAUGGAACCCAAAAGAAAAACUUCAACACAAAACCCCUAUAUUUCCUCUUCUUAGAGGGUGUUGAAGAUUUUUUGAGUAACCCCAAAAAAAAUUACAGGAAAGUCACGGCAACAAAAAUGGAAGAAACUAUGCAUAAAAAAAAAGGAAAAUGAAGGGGAGAAAAUAAAACUUGUGAGUAGCCAAACAAAAAAAAGACCCAUAAAGAGACUCGAGGGAGGGAGGAAGAUGAAGAAGAACAAGAGAGAGAAUCGAGAGUGAAAGGGGAAGAAGAUUACCAACCAUUUUCUAUCUCGAGCCCAUCGUCCAUCAAAUUCUAAGCACCCACUCAUCAGAAGAAGAAAUAAAUCUGGACCCUCCAAUCGAGAUUACAAUCUCUCCCAAGUACAAUCAAAUGCCGGAAAUUGAGGAGAGACUUCUGGGUCUCAUGGAAAAAAUGGAGUUUUGUCUAGAGGACAAAAUGGAGUUCUGUAUAGGAACCAGUCUUCAAGACCUCUUGACAUUGAUUGAUGCUGCUACGUUUUGAAAGACAGAAAAAAAAAAAAAAAGAAGAAGAAGGAACAGACGACGUCGUCGUUUGGUUUAUCGGAGGAAAGAAGAAAAGCCCUCAAACAAAUACAAGAGGGAGGACAACCAAGUGGCAUAUCACCUCCAGCCAAUCUCCAGUUGCCACAUGGGCGGACGACCAUCCAACGUGGCAGGGGGCGGUUCCCUCUUUAUCUAUAUUGUUAAUAACCUCAUAAAGUUUACCCUGGUCUAAACAGAUGAUAACUAUUCUAGGGCGUUUCUGUCCUUUUACUUAAAAUUACGUGUUUGCCCUUCUAAACAUAAUAGGCUUCCAGAACAGUAGCUCACUAUUUGGGCUGAAUUUUGGUUUUUCACCUGCACUUUUUCUUCUGUUCAUCCGCGUCUUUCCCUUCCUCCUCUGUACCAUCCCUUGAUGCUUCUUUUGACUUUUGGUUUUAGCCUACCAUCUUUCUGUUUCUUUCCUGUAGAUUUCUUUUUCCUCUCAUCAGACGAAAGGAAGAAGCUGCAGUUCAACUGCUUUAGCAGAUGGUGUCUUCUCCUUUAUUCAAUGUCAAAUAAACUCUUUUUUUCUGUAAUUUCUUGCUCAGAAUUUGCUUACCCACGGGAUAAUUCUACUUGGAAGGAGGAAAAUGGGGAACUUUUGGUUAGAUUAGGUUGUACUUCUUGGCCAAAAAAUCAGCAAAUUUUUCCCCAAAUUAUGCGUAGCCUUCGGAUUCAUCUUAUAGAUAAUUCUUACAGGAUGGCAUUUUGGGGAAUAUUAUCCCCCAACUACAGCCGACUUUGUAGCCACGGGAUGCUUUUCUUCUUUGGUUGACUUUUAUAGAUAAAUUUGAGUCUUGGUUUUGAUUGUCAAAAUUCCUUUUUUUCCUAUUUUAUUAGUUUCAGUGUAGCUGAAUGUGUUCUUCUAAACUUUUAAUACAAAUUUAGCCCCAUUUUUAAAUAUGAUUACAACAUGUUUUGAUCCUUUCGAUAUUACUCUAAUGACUAAAAUAAGUUCUGGAGUAAUUUUUUUCAUUAUCUAAACAUUCAAUGCAUUGCUUUUUAGUUUUUUUUUUUCUCUUCUUAUUUUAUGACUGACGACAUGGAAAAUUUGUAGGAGAGUAUGGGAGGAUUUGGGUUUUUUUGAAUUUCCCUUCUCCAGAAUUCUGUUAUUUCUACUUGAAGUUGGCUUGAAGGUAAGAUUUUUUUCCCCUUUUCUAACUCUUAAGAAAUUAAGUGAAUGACUUCUCUUUAUGGGACAACCAUUCUACUAAAAGCAAUUUGUGUUCUUUGUUCUCUGUUUUACAGAUGGCUAGGUGCCAUGGAAGCAAUCAUUCUACUGAAAGCCAUUUUUACAUUUUCUUCUCUGUUGUACAAAUGUUCCUUUUCUUUCAUGUAAAAAAUAAUAUUCUAAGCUGAAGGUGAAUGAAUGUAAUCCCCAGAAACUAGUAUAUUCAUUGUAAAGGUGUAUGAAUUUAUACUUUUUAAAUGGAAAGGAUAUUAUGUAAUUUCAUUUAAAAAGUAAGGUUCUACCUUUGCUUCUUUAUUCUUACUCUUAUUGAUUAAACAUUUACAAAUGCAACAUAGUAUAGGAUAUUUUGAUUUUCAUUGGAGAGAUGCUACUGCUAGAAAGCAAUAAUUUACGCACAUAAUAUUUUCCACAUCUUGCUAGUAAACGUAUUUGGCAUGCUAUGUUUACAACCUGAUGACCAAUGAUGCAAGCAAUCCACAAAAGUUUUUCAAUUAUACCACAAAAUCACUGAACUUAAUAAACUUUUCUACAAGAAUCUCUAAUAUUGGAUUUCUUUUCAGCUAAAACUUUAAUCCUCUAGCCUAAAAAUGCUUUUAAAAAAUUUUUAAACUUAAAAAGAAAAAAGAACAACAAAUAAUAACGGUAUUUAGGUUGGUAUUUCAAUUAAUAAAAAUAAAAAAUAAUGUUCAUAUCUAAUAUUGUUAGGAUCAACACUUCUUCAAUUUUAAUAGAUGGGCGUGAGCUAUGGUAAACACCUUAAUACAUUAUAUACAUCUACAUAAGAAUUGUCACUACUUACAAUUUAGGUGCUCUGAAUUAUAUUUUCUACACAAUAGGUUGGGAAUUGGUUGUGCUAUUGGAUUUAGAUGAAUGAUUAUUUAGUCUGAUGAGAAUUUUGAACCUUUUCAAAUGGGUAAUUUACUUCUAAUUUAGAAUAAGAAUUAGAUACAAUUGUGCCCAAGUUUAAAAAUAAAGAGUGGCAAGGAAUUUUUCAAUAUUUGUUACACAAUAGAUUGGGCAUUGGCUGUGCCUUGCACAGCCAGAACCAUUCUAGUAUUUUCAUAGAAGGAAAUAUACUUGCUUGCCCAUAAUCUGAUAUUGUCCUUUGCAAAUUAUGCUUAACUUCAAUAUCUGUUGUACAGUAUUUUCUUUUUUCAUAGCUUGAGCCCACAAAGAGAUUAUCAUUCUUUAUCUUUUUCAACCAAAGCUAAAGUUGCCGAUCAUUAUAGCACCAAAAAUAUAAUAAUAAUAACCUUACAAAUUUUCCAAAGGACAAAGAAAUGACAUAUUUUAAAUUUUCAGUAUGUCAUACUCUUAAAUGAUCAUGAUGCAACUAAGUUAUGAAAGAUAAUUAACAUCUCAAAAUUCAUACUUGAAACACUAAUGAUUGUAUCUUUAUCUUAUGAUGUUAUGGUUUAUCUAAAAUAUGUAUACUAUUUGAAAAAAGAAAUGAAAGGAAUAUGAAAGUUUUUCUUAAACUCACAAAAUACAAAAGAAUGCAAGCAAUGUACAUGUAGACCUAUCUAAACAUAGUGGUAAAGUCACUCUAUCUUAUUUUCAAAAGGUAUCUAAAUACCCAAUCAUCCCAUAAAAGAUGAAUAUAAAAAAAAAACAUGAAAAAGAAUAUUGAGGUUUUUUUCGCUCAUUUUGAAUAUGUGAAUAAAAUUCAUGUUGAAACAUAUAAUUGUUAAAUAUUGUGCAUAUUGAAACAUGUACUUGUUAAAUAUUGUGCAUGAAGUAAUGGAACAAAAAAAGGUCUAUAACGAAAAAGAAAAAAAUUAAAUUUAUGUAUAAAUGUUAAUAUAAUGAAACUUACCUUGAGUUGUGGAUAGCAGGUGAAACAAAAGAUGAUAGAUUAGUUUUUUUUCAAGGUUAACAACAAAAAAACCCCUUGUGGUUUAGCUAUCAUACAGAAAAGCCCCCUGUGGUUUCAUAUCAUACGCGUCGGUACCCCAUGGUUUGAAUUAUUCAGAAAAGUAGACGGAAAUCGUUAAAACAGACGAAACUGGGUGAAAAGAUGAAAAUACCCUUUUGAUAUAAACGAAAAUUGCAGAAGUAAUUUUGCACUUUCAUUCUGUCAAAACCAACGGGAGAGAAAAAACACGUACACAAAAACAAGAACAAAAAAAUCUGUUAAAGGUAUCCGAACAGAGCUUGAAAAAAGGGGUAGAAAAGAGUUUUCAUUGAUUAUUUGUGGGAUAAGAAGACUAAGUGGGAUUAGUUGAGGGGGACAACCUGACAAGGAGUAAAAUAUGUCAGAAAAUAGAAUAACGGCCUUUCUUCCCGCUUUUUUUCUGCUUUCCUUUGCUUUGCCUCCUCCUUUCUUCAGGCAAAGAGCAUAUUGUUCUUGACUUUCUUUCAUGAAUGAAACAAAGUUCCACCACUCCCCCCUUCCCGGCCCCUUGCUUCCUUUUUGCCUUUUUAUCUGCAUGGAUAAAAGAAUAAUACAAUCUACUAUAAAACAAACCCAUUAUCUUCAUACUACUUAUUGACUGUAGAAAUGGUCCGUUCCUUUUUAAGCUUUUGUUGAUUUAUUUGUUUAAGCAUACGAGCUUCAGAGUCUUCCGAGGCUGAGGCUUCGGCUUCGGCCAAAAUUGAAGGCAGCAUUCGAAGGGUAUUUUCGAACAUAAGACCCAACUGUUGAAUCAAGGAGACACUUGGUAAAGAAAAGUCCAGCUACAUAAACGAAAAAACAGGGGACCAAAGACUAACCAUUCGCUGCAUCGCUGCUGCUGCGAGCAUUUGGCCAGUGGCAGUUGCUGAUGGUGUUUGUCCAUUGCCAAGGAGUGGCCAACCCAGAGCAGAAAGGAAAAUAAGAAAAUUUGAGAAGCAAUAAACUAAGUUUAAGACUCGAAAAAAGUGGGGUUAAAGAAGCUAAGUGAGACGGAGAGAGAGCGAGACGGAAACCCAGGUGGAGAUGUUGCUGUUGAUAGUGUCUUUUGGCCAUUUUGUCAAACAGCUAGCUUUCAAAGAUCAUACUAGAUUGCAAUCCUCCACCUGGGUUUCUGUUAUUUUGUCAAACAGCUAGCUCGUCUAUUGUUAUUAAAGUGUGAAGGAUAAAGUAGGUAUAUCACGUGAAAGUUUGUGGUAGAAAUCUAUUUUUCGCAAGAAACAUGUGCCUUUCCAGUGCGUUAAGACACACGCGGUACAUUUUAUGAUUUUCGUCCACUUUUCAAAAUAAUUCAAAUAAUGGGGCAUCGAUUUGUAUGAUAUGAAACCACAUGGGGCUUUUCUGUAUGAUGGCUAAACUACAGGGGACUUUUUUGUUGUUAACCCUUUUUUUUAUGGAAAAGAUCAUUUCAUUCAAAAAAAUCUGCACUAAUGGCAUAAAAUACAUCAAACAAACAUGAUUCAGAUACAUAUAGAUAUGAAAUCAAUAGAUAUAAUAGAUCUAAAAAAAUAAUACAAAUAAAGAUAAUAUUGAUGCUCCUAUAUAUCUUCUAUCCAGAUGAAUCACUGUAACCCAAUACAUCAAUGCAUGUUUGCUGACAAUCAGAUCUGAUUAAACUGGUUCAAAUCCAAAUAGAAAUUUGGAUCCGACAAUAAUGGAGAAAUUGUAUAUUUGAGAAACUAGAUUCUAGAUCUACAAAAUCUAAAAUUUCACAAAGAUAAAAACCUAAAAAAACUCUCACAAGAAAAAAUUUAGAAGAGAAUAAAACUCUCACUAAACAAUCUAGGAGAAAAGAAACUGUCACUAGGAGAUCCUAAGAGAGAAGAAUCUCUCAUUAGGAAAUCCUAAAAGAGAAUUUAUUCAAAUAAGAGAAACUAUAAACCAUAAAGAGUACUUCCACCCGUGGGGAAAGACCAGAUUUGGUCUCUCUCCCAUGGGAGAGAUGAAGAAGAUCUUGAUUGGAAGAGUUCUAAAGAGAAGGAAGGAAAAAGAGUUUUAGAGAGAGAAAUGCUUUCAAUCAUGGAUGAUAAAUUAGUUAGAUAGAGAAAUUUAGAAAUAUGAAAGAGCUCAACCAAUUAUUUAGGAUUAAUGUAGUACUGAAAGUAAUAAUUUGGUUAGAAUUUAACUACUUUGUUGAAUUUGAAAGUAGAUUAGAUUUGGUAGUAGUAUUUGAAAUAUGUAAAAAUAAGUGUUAACUAAUAAGACUGUCAGAUUGUACUAUUUAAAUAGAACAUAAUAUUUGGAUAGAGUUUAAUUGGUUUGUUGAAUAUGAAAGCAAAUUAGAUUAGAAUUUGGAUAAUAAAAGUUAUUAGAUUAGAAUUUGAAUAGUGGAAUUAUAUGAAAAUUGGACAUGUUAGCCUUAUAUAAUAGAACAUAUUUGGUAUUGGAGAAUGUUAAGUGAUGAGUUUAGAAUUUUAAAGACUAACUUUUUAUUGCAGUGGUUUUUUUAUACUUGUAACUUUGAAUGUAUAUCACAUGUGCAUAAUUUGAAGUUCGAAUUUGAAUUCAUGUUAUGUGAAAUGAUCUAAACCUGUUAGUGUAAAACUAAUAAAGAUCUUUUAAUCAGAUCUGAUUAAAACUGGUUCAAAUCCAAAUAGAAAUUUGGAUCUGACAAUAACAUAUUUGACAAACUAGAUUCUAGAUCUACAAAAUCUAAAAUUUCACAAAGAUAAAAACCUAAAAAACUCUCACAAGAAAAAGCUUAGAAGAGAAUAAAACUCUCACUAAAACAAUCUAGGAGAAAAGAAACUCUCACUAGGAGAUCCUAAGAGAGAAGAAUCUCUCAUUAGGAAAUCCUAAAAGAGAAUUUAUUCGAAUAAGAGAAACUAAAAACUAUAAAGAGUACUUCCACCCAUGGGGAAAGACCAGAUUUGGUCUCUCUCCCAUGGGAGAGAUAAAGAAGAUCUUGAUUGGAAGAGUUCUAAAGAGAAGGAAGGAAAAAGAGUUUUAGAGAGAGAAAUGCUUUAAAUCAUGGAUGAUAAAUUAGUUAGAUAGAGAAAUUUAGAAAUAUGAAAGAGCUCAACCAAUUAUUUAGGAUUAAUGUAGUACUGAAAGUAAUAAUUUGGCUAGAAUUUAACUACUUUGUUGAAUUUGAAAGUAGAUUAGAUUUGGUAGUAGUAUUUGAAAUAUGUAAAAAUAAGUGUUAAUUAAUAAGACUGUCAGAUUGUCCUAUUUAAAUAGAACAUAAUAUUUGGAUAGAGUUUAAUUGGUUUGUUGAAUAUGAAAGCAAAUUAGAUUAGAAUUUGGAUAAUAAAAGUUAUUAGAUUAGAAUUUGAAUAGUGGAAUUAUAUGAAAAUUGGACAUGUUAGCCUUAUAUAAUAGAACAUAUUUGGUAUUGGAGAAUGUUAAGUGAUGAGUUUAGAAUUUUAAAGACUAACUUUUUAUUGCAGUGAUUUGUUUAUACUUGUAACUUUGAAUGUAUAUCACAUGUGCAUGAUUUGAAGUUCGAAUUUAAAUUCAUGUUAUGUGAAAUGAUCUAAACUUGUUAGUAUAAAACAAAUUAUAUGCUGAUAGUAUAUAAAAAAUUUAUCCAAAUUUUUAUAGCAUUCAAAAAAAAUUACAAAACACAUACCAUACUAUUAGGGAGGCUUAUUGGUAAGUUAGUUUAACUAUGAUUUUUACUAUCGAUAGGAAACGCUAAAGUAAAGAAUUUUUUACUUAUUUUUUUACCAAGUUAGUUUAACCCUGUUGAACUAACAAAUAGACAGGCUUUUUGAUAAGUUCGUUUAACCAAACUUUGUCCUAUCGAAUUUAAACACUUGAAUUAAACUGAUAGAUAAGCAUUAAAUAACAUUAAUCGAACUUGUUAAAGAAUAAAUAAUCCAAAAAUCUUGAAAAAUGAUGCAUGCCAUAUUAUUGGAAAUCUUCUAGAACAUAUCAAUUAGUGAAUAGUAUAUAGCAUGGAUAGAUAGAUAGAUAGAUAGAGAUAUAGAUGUAUGAUACCAAUUCAAAUCCUAAAUUAAUCAAUUGAAAGAAAAAUAGACUAAUAACAAAAAAAGAAAAAAAGAGACCAUCGAUGCAUUAUGUUCGUGUGUUAUGUUCCAAAAUCUUUUAUUGCUUCAACCACCCUCGCACCAAGUGUGAGGUCUUGUAACUUCAUAGCGAACAAACUAGCUUGUUUUAUUGAUAAGUACGGAUCACUUGUUCACAAACGAUCAUGUAUUCAAAUUUCACUCCAAAUAAUAUGAGGAUUUUAUAUAUAUGGGCAAUUAGUAAGAGCUCCUACAGGUGACUUAUAAUUUUAAAAACAUAUUUUGACCUGUAGUGGUGAUCAAAAUCGAAUCCACCUAAACUGUUUUUUUUUUUUUUACUUUAAAAAAACUUCACAAGUUCCUCUUCAUGCUUUUCUAGAUAUUUGGCUCCAAUUCUUCCCUCAAUUCUAUGGCUUUUCUUGCAUGCCUGAAGCCUUGUCUAGAAACUAAUGAAUAGCGGUGAGCGCACGUCGGGUACCUGUCUCAUCCACCAUUUAGCUGACCCAACCCAUACUUUGUGGGUCAGCCAUUUUCUAACACUUACCCUUUCCGGAUAUCAGCGGGUACCCCCAGGUACCGGUUGAUAUUGGGUCGAAUCAAUGAGUACCCGUCCCGCCCUACUUAUCAUUUAAUUUUUUAAAAAUAAUUUAUACUAAUUUAAUUUUAUAUUUUACACAUUCAUCUAAUAUUUAAUAAAAAAAUUUUCUCAAAAAAAGUCUCUUACUAAGAAACAAACAUACGAAGAGAAUACAAGAAAAGGGAAAAAAAUUAAAGAAUUUAAAAUCAAUAAAAGUUUGAAAUAAGUAGCACUUUUUUUUUUAAAUAUACGUUCCACAUUAAUUAAAUUCUUUUCUAUAAAACAUAAGAUCAUGACCUUUACAAAUGAAUCUUAUAAAUAAACUAUAGUCUUUCAUAUUUUUAAUGCAAUUUGUUUAAUGAAAUUGUUUAUUUAGCUCUAAAAUAUUAUUUUAUAGUACGUAUAUAAAAAUAAAAAAAAUAUGCGGGGUGGGUCAGGUAUCCGCAAAUUUUUAAUUAUGUGACCCUAACCUGCCUCGCAUCUUAGCAGGUAUUCGACCCUCUUUUGACCCAAUCAAAUAAUAUAGAUCAGGUAUCCUAAUUUUCGGAUGGGAUUGAAUCGGAUAUGUCGAGUUUUCGGGUUUGCGGAUAAUUUUGCCCACUCCUGCUAAUGAACAUACCUGGGAAGUUCAAGAUUUUAUCCGGAACAGUCGACUAAUUGUUUGGAGAGUUUUCUACAUACUAUCCAAAAUAUACCAGUAAAUACCACAAAUAAAAAGAAAACUUAGGGUUUAUCACCUAAACAACAGAUCAACACAUGAUGCAUCUUUCAUUUCCUCACACAUAUUGCUGCACCCCAUUUUUGAAAAUAAAAAAUGAAAGUGGGUAAAAAUGAGUUUUUGAUUUUAUUUUAGAAAAUAAAGAAAAAUGGCCUAAAAUGGAACAUAUAAAGUGCAACGGUUUAGACCCAAAAUUUAGUUUAAAAAAGGAUUUUUAAAGAAAAAUAGGAGUCACCAUUUGAUAUCAAGUUUAGGUGUACCAAGUCACCUAAAAUGUAUUUUAAAUAAAAACCAAUAAAACCCUUUUAAUGACUCUAGAUCUUUCAAAAUGAGAGAAAAGAAUUCGGGAGUCAUGUUUGAAGAAAGGAAAGACAAAGAUUUAAUCUAAGGUACCCUUUCAACCUAACCAAGAUUAGUUGCGAAAUUUAGUCAAAAAAUUUCCUAGUCUAACCUAUAAAACUUAUCACAUUUUAGAUGUUUCUAUAUGGAUGCAAGUCUAUAUGUCUUUUCAAAGUUUAAUUGGUACCAAUCACAUUGAUUGUGAUGCCCAAGAAUGAUUUUUUGAAGAGGUCACGAAAAAUGCAAAAAGAUGAGACUCAAAAAAGGCAAUCAUAAUAUAUAAGUAAAUAUACAUGAUCUAAAAGAGGGAAAUACAACAUAAUGGGUACAAAAUACUAAAAUUCGUGACUCAGUUUUCCUUCUUAUAGAGGGGUAAUAGUGUGCUAAGGCUAAAAAGUCAUACUCGUCCAUUUUCCAUAUUCGAAAGGUGACUCUUUUAACCUAAGUAAGCAAAUGAACUAACCUACUUCUAAUUUCCUAGAAUGAGAUGUAAUUCUAAAUGAUAUGGUUCAAAUAUAUGGAGGGUAAGGAAAUAAUAAAAGGGGAAAUGACAUACAAUUGAAAAUAACCUAAAAAUAGAAAAAAAAAAUGCAUGAGAUGUAAUAAAUGCCACACAAGGUAUGAAUUAAGCGCGAACACAGUCUAAAGGGUCUAGAAUUGGACUAAUCCAUUUCUAAAAGUUCUCACUAGUAUUGGACUAGUGAAAAAUUGGGGAGAAAGGCUACAACUAACAUUCGACUAGCGUGAUGACAUCAUGCAUUUAUUAUAAAUAAAUAAAACAUAUAAAAUAUAAUUAAAGUAAAUAAACACAUAAAACAUGUAGAGUACAUAACACAUAGACAUAAUAUCUAGAUGCAAAAUUUUAGAGAAAAUAAAUAAAUACAUAAGCACACAAGCACAUAAGCAUGCAAGUAAAUAAAAACUAACUAUUACUUUGGGGUCCUAAAUACAAUUUAGAUAGGAAAUUUUUAGAAAUAAUAAACCUAUCUAUUAUAUUUGUCUAACUAAUUAUAUUUUGGCAAAAAAAAUAAAAUCUAUCUAUUGACUAAAUAUAUUUCUUGGGCACCUAUCUAUUACAAGUUGGCAUUUAAAUGCCUCCCAAAUAAUAAUCGAAAAUUAAAUACAAUAAAUGAAAACUUAAAAUGAAUAGAAUGAGUAAAUAAAAGAAAAAACACUCAAAACAUACAAUUACACAUAAAAAAACACAUAGGAGCACAUAAAAGGAUUUAAAAUAAUAAUAGAAGGUUCCUCCCUUGAAUUAGUAGCUAAAUGAAAUAGAGUUUGUCCUAUUUAUACUCCAAAAUCAACAAAAUAGUUAAGGCACCAAUUUAAUUAACAAUUUAAAAGAAAAUGUAAACAUGUAGCAAAUUUACUUUACUAUUUUAAAGAAAUAUGAAUAAACUUAAAAUCUCAAAAAUUUACUAAUCAAAUGCAUUUAAAUGAAGCAUGAUUAACAAUUAAAGAAGAUAAAUGAUUAUAUUUAAGAAAUCAAAACCAUCAGGGACUCAAUUGUAAAAAAUUAAAAAGUUUUUGGAGUCAAAUUAUAAUUCUUACAAAGAUUAGGGAUCAAAAUCAAAGAAAAAUAAAGUUUAUGGACCAAAAUGUAAUUAAAUUAAGUGUUAAUCACAUUUAAUCCCCUUAAAGUAUACCACAUUUCUCAGUUUACCCCCUAACUUUUAAUUUUGCUCACUUAACCCCCUAUAGGACAAAAUUGCCCUUGUAUUAUUUUGACUUUUUAUUUACCUUGUUUUCUUUUCUUUUAUUUCUUUUUCUCUUUCUUCUUUAUUUAAUUCUUCCUCUUUCCCACAAAAAUUUUCACCUUAAUUAUUGAAAUUAAAAAAGAGGAAUUGUAGAGAUCUAUCUUCUCCUUAAAUGAUUAAAAAAAUAUUCAAAUCACUUUCCUAAAAUACAAUUUUUUUAGCCUUUCAAUUCUUUUAAUUUUGGAUUUUCCUCUUUCCUUUCUAGUUUCUUAUUUUAUUCUCAAGAAAAUAUCAUAAGAUGAAAUUGUUUUCCUUUCUUUUAUUUUUUUCUCUUUUUUCUCUCUUUCAUCCUUCCCAAUAGAAAAUUCUAUUUCAACAAAAAUUUUUGUUUUGAGUUUGUAAUUGCAUAUUUCUGGGUGAAUGUUUAAAAAGCAUCAAAAAAUAGUUUUAAUUUUUUGUAUGAUACCACGUGUCACAAAUUUCAAUUGAUGAUUAUUAAUUAGGUCACAAUUUCAUCUUAAGAUAUUUUCUUGGGAAUAAAAUGAGAAACUAGAAAGGAAAGAGGAAAACCCAAAAUUAAAAGAAUUGAAAGGCUAAAAAAGUUGUAUUUUAGGAAAGUGAUUUGAAUAUUUUUUUAAUCAUUUAAGGAGAAGAUAGAUCUCUGCAAUUUCUCUUUUUUAAUUUUAAUUAUUGAGGUGAAGAUUUUUGUGGGAAAGAGGAAGAAUUAAAUAAAGAAAAAAGAGAAAAAGAAAUAAAAGAAAGGAAAACAAGGUAAAUGAAAAGUCAAAAUAAUGUAAGGGUAAUUUUAUCCUAUAGGAGGUUAAGUGAGUAAAAUUAAAUGUUAGGGGGUAAACUGAGAAAUGGGGUAUACCUUAAGAGGAUUAAAUGUGAUUAACCCUUAAAUUAAGGAUCUAAUUGAAAGAAAUUCAAAAUUUAGGACUACAAUGAAAUUACUCAAAAGAUUAGGGACUAAAUUACAAAUUUUGUUUUUUGAUUUCUCAAAAAAAAAAAAAAAAAAAAAGAAGACAACAUCGGGCCAUUUUUUUCUUUUCUUUUCUUUUCUUUUGUUUUGGGCUAAGUUACUUCGGCCCAGCAAAUCAGCCUAUCGCGCUCUUUUUUUAAAAAAUAAAAUUUAUUUAUAGUUGAACAAAUUAUUUUUGAUUUUAUAAAAUAAAUAAAGAAAAAAGGCUUAAAAUGAGACUUAAAAUAUGCGACGGUUUAGACCCAAAAUAAUAGUCUAAAAAGGGUUUUUUAAGAACAAAUAGAAGUCAUCACUUGGUAUUGAAUUUAGGUGUACAAUUGUCACCCCAAAUAUAUUAUUUUUUAAAUAAAUAAAUAAUAAAUAAAACCCUUUUUAGACUACUUCAGAUCUUUGAAAACAAGAGAAAAGAGUUCGGGAGUCACAGUUGCAGAAAGGGAAAGCAAAGAUUUGAUAGAAUCAAAUCUAAGACACCAUUUCAACCUAACCAAAAUUAGUUGCAAGAUUUAGUCGAAAUUUUUCCUAAUCUAACAUAUAAACUUAUCACAUUUUGGAUGUUUCUAUAUGGAUGCAAAACCUGGACUUAGGGGAUAUCGAGAAGGUCAAGAUGUUUCUUCAAAAUUUAAUUGGUACAAAUCACAUUAUUUGUGAUGGCCAAGAAUAAUUCUUAGAAGAGAUCACGAAUAUGCAAAAGAUGAGACUCAAAGAAAAGAAUAAUUAUAAUAUAUAGAUAUACAUGAGUUAAAAGAGAGGAAUGCAACAUAAUGGGUACAGGAGACUAAGAUUUGUGACUUCAAUUUUCCUUUUUUAUUGAGAGGAUGAGAGCGUGCUAAGGUUAGCUAGGAAGCCACACUCGUUCAUUCGCAUAUUUGAAGGGUAACUCUCCUAACCUGAUCAAGCAAAUGAACUAAACUAUUUCUAUUUUUCUAAAUAGAAUGCAUGUCAUGUUUCGCGCACAUAGAUAAUAAGAGAGAUAAUGUAUAGAGAAAAUAUCAUGCAAGAUGAGAAAAUAUCCUAAAAAUGAAAAAUAUGCAUGAAAUGCAAUAAAUACAUAUGAUCUUAUCUCAAAACGGUCUAAAAGGUCUAGUAUUGGACUAACCCAUUUUUAUAAACUCUCACUAGCGUUGGGCUAGCGAAAAAUUGGGGAGAAAGACCACAACUAGCAUUGAACUAGUGUAGUGAAGUCAUGCAUUUAUUAUAACUAAAUAAAUCAUAUAAAAUAUAAUUAAAGAAAGUAAACACAUAAAGCACAUAACACAUAAACAUAAUAUCUAGAAGCAAAGACCCUAAAGAAAGCGAAUAAACACAUAAAUACUUAAGCAUGCAAGCAUACAAGCAAAGAAACGGGCAUAAAACCCUAAUUAUUACAUUUAGGGCCCUAACUACAAUUUAAGGGAGGAAUUUAAAAAAAUAAUAACCUAACUAUUACAUUCAUCUAACUAAUUACAUUUUGACAAAGAUAAAAACCUAUCUAUUAUAUAGUCUAGCUAAAUACAUGUCUUGAACAUCUAUCUAUUACAAAUUGACAUUUUAAAUGCCUUCCAAAUAACCAUCAAAAAUUAAACAUACUAAAUGAAAAUUUAAAAAAUGAAUAAAAAGAAAUAAAUACAAGAAAAAUCACUCAAAACAUGCAAUCACACAUAAAAACACAUAAUAGCACAUAAAAGGAUUUAAAAAUAAUAAUAGAAGAUACCUCCAUUGAAGUAGUGGUUGAUUGAGGUUGGAUUGUCCUAUUUAUACUCCAUUAUUAUAAAGAAAUGUAACAUUUAACAAAUCCACUUCAUUAUUAUAAAGAAAUGGAAAUAACCAUGAAAUCUACCAAUUAAACAUUUAAAUGAAAUAUAUUUAAGAAAUCAAAACUAUUAGGAACCCAAUUGCAAAAAUUGAGAAAGCUUUUGAGGUCAAAUUAUAAUUAUUAUAAAGAUUAGGGGUCAAAAUAAAAGAAAAUAUAAAGUUUAGAGACCCAAUUGCAAUUAAAUUAGGGAACUAAUUGAAAGAAAUCUAAGUUUCUAGGGCUAUAAGGAAAUUAUUAAAAAGUACAAGGAGCGGAUUGCAAUUCCAUGUCAGAUUUCUUGAGAAAAACAGGCAUUGGACCAUUCCUUAUUUCUUAUUUGAGCCGAAGACCAUUAGGCCCAUCGAAAGUCCAACAGAAAAACACGAGCCAACCCUUUUUCACCAAACAAACCCACCCAAAACAAUGGGCUUUAACCUGCUCAGCCCAUGCCAUAACCCAAUUAAAGAUGCAUCAUAUCCAUUUACCGAAAGCCCAAAGAAAACAACAAGACAAAAAUCAUCUAAAAUAUAUUAAGGCUUAAUAAUGCCCUAAAACCCAGAAAUAAUUUGCCCAAAAGCCUACUUAAAUAUGAAAAAGAGGAUUAAACUUAAAAGAGGCAAAAAUUGGUUCAAUUUCACAAGUUUUUGGGCCUUAGUAGGAUUAUGCGAGAGUUGGGGGUGCAACUGCAAUUUUUAGAAAAAAACAUGCAGCCUAGCUUUCUUCUGCAACUUUUCUUACUUCUCCAAAACACAGCAAAACGACCCAAACGUCCGCCAAAAAUUAAAACCCAAAUACACAAGAUAGUGGCCUAAGAUCCAAAUUCAAUGUUUAACAUAAUGUUGUGCAACAAAUCUAAGCCGUUGUUCCACAAGAUGAGCAAGAAAAUGCAGUAAAAAAGGGAAAAGAAAAAGAAAAAACAUGCAGGCAGAAUCUCAAUGAUUUUGGCACAGAUUCAAGCUUAGAUGGCAAGAGACAGAUGAAAUACAUCACCUUUGACACUUUGAAAGGCGAAACAGUGUGUGAGAUGGACAAAGAAAUAGACCCAAACGUGAGAAAUUGCAGGGGGAAGCUAAAUUUUUGCUGCAAAAUUUCCUCCAAGAGCUGAUGACCUAGUGACUUGGGAGCUAAAUUCGACAGAUUUGGAGUUGUUUUUUCGAGAAUUUUUCUAAACAAAAGUUACACUUCUACAAGUGCAGAUAGUGAAGAUGCAAAAAGAAUGCCUAAAAGACCUAAAUUUGGGAUCAAAUUUCAAUAAAAAAUUGGGCAUCUCCCCAACUCUGGCUCAAGUUCUUUCACAAAAAUUUUCUACACUUUUUUCUUCCUCUUUUCUCUAUGUUUUCUCUCCUUUUCUCUCUUUUUUUUUCUCUCUUUUCCCUUUGUCCGCCACCUCCUCUCCCUUUUUUUUAACCCUUCUCUUUUCCUUUUAAAUGAAACUCUUCUCCUAAAUCCUUGCUUCAACGGUGGAUGAGAACCAGAUUUUGUUGGCUUCUUUGUAGCCAUUAGAUGGCUUCUAUUCUAGAAAAAUCUUGAUAGAGAUCAAGGGGGUGAGGUGGCAAAGGAUUGGGGAAAAAUAAAAAAUACAAACAAAUGGAAUUGAGCGGAGAAUGGCUUCUUUUUUCUUUUUUUUUAAACUACUUUUUCUGGUUUUUUUUUCUGAUUUUUAUAAAAACGAUUUGAAAUGAUUUUCUUUUUAGAAAAAGUAAUAAAUAGGCAUAAAAUAAACUAAAAUAAAAUAAAUAUACCUAAAUUAAACAAAAAUAAACUAAAAAUGAAAAAAAAAUAGGAAUAGAAUGAUAAAAUUUUUGGUAUCACACAGUCCAUCUGUAUUAUUAGGCCGAGUCUAAAAAAAUGUUGGGCUAAAGUUUCAGAGCCCAAGUGCAAACCCAAACAAAAAUUAAAUCUUGGCCUAGCUUCUAAACCCAAAAAAUACCCAACUUACACUCUAAUGGUUCAAACCUAAUAAAACAAAACAAAAAAUAAUUGGAAGUUGGAACCAAAAAUAGAAGAAAAGAAAUGAAGAAAAUUCCGGCGGUUUGACCCGCCGAAAACUAGAAAAAUUUCAGCCAACUUGGCCGGAAUCUCGCCAGAAUUUUAUUUUUAAAACUUUUAAACCCGGAUCUUUAUAUGUACAUGAAAAUCAUGGCAUUAUGGAUUCAAAUAAAUAUCAAAUAAAGUUCAAAAACCAAAUAAACCAUUACAAAAUAUGGAUCCAAACGUCUUCAACAUAAACUCUCAUAAACACACACACUCAAAUCUCUUGCAUGAACAUCGAAUCAAACAAAGAAAAGUUGUGAAAAUAUGUGAGUAUGCUUUUGGGUCAAAUCAAAACGAGAAAACACGUGACAAAGAGCAGAUGUGGUAGAUUUGUUGAAGCUACGGACAUGCGCCAGUGAAGCCGGACCAGCAACUUCGGGGGUAGAUUUGAAGGGUUCGGUCAUUUUUUGUGCAAGAUUUCUAAACGAAACUUGCUCCCCCAACUUCACACAUUGUGUAGAAAUCGAAAGAUCCUCAAAACAAGGUGUAUUGAAGGGGAAAUUUUGGUUGCAAUGGGGCUGGAAAGUCAGCCUUGUUACGUUUCUGCAGAAAAUCUUUUGAAGAUGCUAAUUUCAGGCCUCGAUUCGAGUGGUUUUCAAUGGUUAUUUGGGAAAAUUUUAAACACGAAAGUUGCUCCUCUAUAUCCCUCGAAGGUGCAGAAAAAUAAUUAUUCUAAAAGGAUGUAAAAUGAAAGAGAAAAUCACCCUCGAACAGAGCUAGUUUCCCAGCUUUUUCUCAAAUUUUUUGCCGAAAAGUUUCUUCUUUUUUUUUUAUGCUUUUCUCCUCUCUCCUAUUUUUGCCGACUUCCUAAUCUGCCUCUCCUUUCCAGAAACCGUUUCUCUCCUUUUUAAAUCACCCCAAGCUAUCAAAACCCUUCUCUCAAUGUGAGGAUGAAAUGGGCUUUUUUGGCUCAUUUUUAUCCCUUUGAUCACCUCAUUUCCAGGAGUUUCUUGAUGAUUCUUGUAGAGAUGAGGUGUCCUUUUGUACUAGUAUAUUUGGGGAAAAAGAAAAAGACGAAAGAUUCCACUUUGCUCCUUCCAAAAUUUGCCAGCUUUCUCUUGUUCGUUUUUUGUUGUUGCCCGUUGAAGAGGAAGACACGCACGCGCGCGAGGCAAAAUUUUUUUUUUUAAAAAAAACUGCAUUUUUCAUUUUUUUUCUUCUUUUCCUUUUUGAUUUUCCUAAAAAACCAUUCAAAUAAGAUAAAAAUAAUUUUUCUUAGAAAAUGAAAUAGAAAUAAAUAAAAAUAAAUAAAUAAAAUAAUAAAAUGAAUUAAAAAAUUGGGUUAAUUACAUUUACCUCAUCUGAGGUUUGACCAUAUUACCAAUCAAUCCCUGUAAUUUAUCCAAAUAAUGGUCUCACCCUUUGAAUGAUCAAACAUUUAACAAAAACCCCCUUAAUACCAAAAAUGCCCUUUUUGAGGCCAUAUUGCAUUAAAAAAAGAACAUAUUUUUAUUUAUUAACCUUCAAGUAAUCCAAAAAAAUCAUCAAAAAGUUUUUGCUUAUUAUUUUAUAAAAAUCAUAUCUUUGCUUGCAUAAAUAGUUUUGAAUCAAUAAUUAUUUUAAAUCUUAAAAAUGAAUAUUAAAAAUUAGAUAAAUUGAAAGAAAAAUAAAAAAGAAGCAAUUAUUUUAAAUCCUCAAGUAUGGUUCGAAUUUGUGGUUCAAGGUAUGUUGCGGAGAGCACAAGGCAUGUUUUCCUCAAUUUGAACCAUACUUCAGGAAUUAAAAUAAUUUCUUCUUUUUUUAUUUUUCUUUCAAUUUAUGUAAUUUUUAAUAUUCAUUUUUAAGAUUUAAAAUAAUUAUUGAUUCAAAACUAUUUAUGGAAGCAAAGAUAUGGUUUUUAUAAAAUAAUAAGCAAAAACUUUUUUCUAUUUUUUUGGAUUGCUUCAGGGUUAAUAAAAUAAAAAAAUGUUCUUUUUUUAAUGCAACAUGGCCUCAAUAAGGGCAUUUUCGGCAUUAAGGGGGUUUUUGAUAAAUGUUUGAUCAUUCAAAGGGUGAGACCGUUAUUUGGACAAAUUACAGGGAUUGAUUGGUAAUAUGGUCAAACCUCAGGGAAGGUAAAUGUAAUUAACCCUAAAAAAUUUUGGUCUCUACACGUACAACGUUACCAUGCAGUGCCUCACCACGUGUCACUGACCCAAAACUCCAUGUAACCCCCAAAAUUGGUCUAAAGACUCUAAACAAGCCUAAAAUUUUAGCUCUAUAUGUUGGUAUUAGGGCUGCAAACGAAUCGAGCCUCUCGCGAGCGGUUCGAGUCAAGCUCGAGUCGAGAUCGAUCAAUAUUGAGCUCGAGCUCAAAAUAUUAAGCUCGUUAGCUCGCGAGUCGGCUCGCGAGCUCGAGUAUAUAUAUAUAUAUAUUAUAAUAUUUUUUAUUUUUUUAUUUUAAGUAUAUAUAUUUUUUAUUUUAAGUGUAUAUAUUUUUUUUAUUUUCUUAUUUUAAUAGUAAAAUUAUAUAUAUCCUUAAUAUUUUAUUAUUUAUUAAGAAAAAAAUAUUAUUUUAUUUAUUUUUAAAAAAUAAAAUAAAAAUAAUUUUAUUUUUUCGAGCUCGAGCUCGGCUCGAAUUGAUUUGAGUCGAGCUCGAACUUUAAAUAGCCGGCUCGUUGAGCUGGACCUCGAGUUCGAGUUUGGUAAAAUUUAGUCGAGGGUCGACUCAAUUCGAGCCGAGCUCGAGCUUUAAAUUGCCGGCUCGUUGAGCUGGAGCUCGAGUUCGAGUUUGGUAAAAUUUAGUCGAGACUCGACUCGAUUAGCCUAAAACUCAACUCGACUCGACUCGCCUCGUUUGCAACCCUAAUUGAUAUAUUACCGCACAAGACCCAGCAAGAAAAAAGAUAGAAAACAAAGAAGAGAGAGAGGAAAGAAACGGAGAAAAAAAAACAAAAAUAAUGAUCGUGCCAGUAAAAGGCACGAUGACCCAUUAAGGGCAUUAAACCAGGUACCUAGAUUGUGCAGGAAUGUGAACGAGUCCACUGAUUUCUAUUAAGUUCUAGGAUUUGUAUUGAUUGAAAGACCACAAGCUUUUGAUUUUGACUAUGCAUGGCUUUUCAAUUAUGGGGUUGGGAUCUAUUUUUUUUCUUUUUUCGGAGACGACAACUAUUAUAUAACUUAUCUAUAGCAGGUAUAGAGUGUUUUGACACAACUCUUAAAUUUUUUUUACUACAGGUGAGAUUUAAACCCUCAUCUACAAUCCAAGGAGGAUUUAAGACCCUUCCUAGUGGCCACUAAGCCAAGCUCAGUGGUUAGUUGGGAUCCACUUAGUGGGGGCCAAAGAUGAAGAUAGAUUGCCUGAUGACAAGGAUUAUUUGGACCCCAUGGAUAAUCAUAUCUCCUUCCAGGUUUCUAGCCUUUAACAUUUUUUUAUUUUUUGUUACAACUAGAAAAUUGGUUUUUGCUUGUAUUUCAGAAAAUAAAAGCAUAAGAAUUUGUUAAAUGGUAUUUUCGCUUCUUUUCCAAUUUAAAAUGGUAAGGAAAGAUAUUAAGUGGAUGGAAAAAAUUUUGAAUUCUGUCAUUAUUUCUAAAAUGAGGUGCAAAAUCGAUAACAGAAUUUUUCAUUUGCUUAUCAUGUUAUUACUUGAAUAAUUUACCUACGUUAGUUACUUCUUUUUGAGAUGAUCAGUAUCAGUAAUACUUGAAAGUAUUCCUCGAUACAAAUUGUGACUUCUCAACAGGUGUACAACUUGUAUUCAAUAUUCAUCAGUUCACUUCUCAAACUCGGGUAACAAGAUAAGAUGAAAAUUUGCGGAUUAUUCCUCAAAAAAAAAAUUUAUUGUGGAUUCUUUAAUAUCUUUCAAUUUGAUUAUUAUUUUUGUGGACAGGAUUAGAUGAAUUUUGAGACUUGGGGCUGUAUUAGGUAGCUAUUUUGUAAUUUUCUUAAUCCGAGAAUUGAGCAGUAAUUUUGCUGAGACUUAUGCACUAUCCAGUGUGAGGAUAUGGAGGCAAUGGAGCAGAAGUAGCAGGAUUUCAACAUAAUGUACAUAGAAAGAACAGUUGGAGAUGAAGAAGGAGAAGCUAUUGAUCAGCUAUUUUUCAACGACUCGGAUGGAUUCAUGUUUGAAAUAUGCAAUUUUGAGACUGUGAAGCUUGUUCGUCAACGUUCAAUUGGCAGAAUUAAGCUUCCUUUUGAUCUUCACAACCCACCUUUAGAGUUGGAUAUGGAUGGGAUUAAAACUAGCAAUGUUGCUGUUGCCUGAAGGAGUUGAUUUCAUCAACAGAAGAGAUACUGUGGAUUAUUGCUAAAUCUAUUUGGUGUUUCAGAAUCUAAUGUAACGCUAUUUUAGGUCAUAAAUUUGAGAAUAGUUUUAGUAGAUUUGUUUCGGAAUUCAUAUCUCAAGUUACUACGCUUUUAUGUAUAUUGUUUGUAUUCUCUUUUGGGUAAAAUAGAUUUUACACUCACGUAGUUUAACAAUUUUUCACAUAAUCCCAUGUGAUUUCAAAAGUUAUACAUAUUCCUUCUAAACUAAAGUGUCAAAAUGACGGAAAUGAUUCUCCGUAAGUCUGUAACAAAAUUCACCGAAAUGUCGUGAUUAUCCUCAUUUAAAAAUUAAAACAGUUGAAGCGAUCAAACUAUAUGAACAUAAUAUGCAUAAUACUUUAACCUCUUUAUGAUUUUGUAAUUUAUUAUAUAACCUCUUUAUGAUUUAGUGAUUUAUCACAUAAUCCUUUUAUGGUUUAAAAUGUACAUAUAACCCCUUUGUGGUUAAUAAUUAGUUUUUAACUUUAUGUAAAGUAGUUGACUCUGUUAUGAAAUUCAAAUUUUGUCCCCCUAUUUUUUUUUUGGAAGGCAAUCUUAGGAUCAUUUCGCAAUUAGAAAGCUAAAAUAAAAGGAAUUCACGAAACCGGUGUUACGCAAUGUUUUUAAACUCGGACAAAAAAGCUUAUUGGUAGAGCUCAGGGGUUAGGAGUCAGGGGUCAAUGAAUUCGAUCAGAUCAAAUCAAUAUUCAAGAACCAAAUGAUGUCAGCAUGAUGUCAUAAAUAUAUUCAUAAAAAUUUUAUUAUGGAACAUAUUAAGUAAAUAUAAAUAUAUACUUAGGUGAUGAAAAUUAUACCAUUUUUCACUUUAUUUUUCUUCACACAUAUUAUAUAAUUCACAAUCCUUCAAAUUGAACUCUAAUUUGAUAUUUAAAACUUCAUAGCUUUUAUUGGUGAGUCUAGAACUAAAUUAUUAUGACAUAUUUGAAGAAAAAAUGAAACUUAUGGCAGUAAAUUUAAAUAAGAAAAACUUAUGAGACAAUAUACAAUUACUUAAAACAUUUAUGGGUCAAAAAGAUAUAUUAAAAAAGCUUUGGACUUGAGUGUAAAAGUCCCAACGUUUAUAUCCUUUUCUUGAGCACUUUACCGUCGUCACUUUCAUUGUCCCUGCUGUUGCUAUUCCUUCCAGAGGGUUGGCCUCCUCCGUCAACAUCAUCUUCUCAAAUUCUUCAUCUUCUUGUCCUCACUUUUUUUUGGUUCUAAUUUCUUUACCUUUUUUUUUCUCCAAACACACAAGUAAUUCUUUUCCUUCUAUCUCCAAACAUACUAGACCAGAUCUAUCAAUUCAUUUUUCUCUUUAUUCCUUUGAAACCUUUCAAUCCCUUUCUUCUUUGUUUUCCCUUUCUACUUUUCAUCUUCUUUUUUUGCUUUCCUAUUUUGGUGUUUUAUCUUUUUUUUUUUUUAACUUAGAUCUGCCAUUGGAGUUGUUUGAGAGAUGAAUUUUUUUUUCUUUCCUUUCUUUUUAUGUUUUAUCCCUUGUUGAACUUAGAUCUUCCAUUGGACUUGUUUGAGAGAGAUUUAUAAUAGGAUAUAUAAAGAUAUUUGAGAGUAGUUAAAAGAAAGAAUCAAAAAAUGAAAACAAAAAAGUAAAAAUAGAAAAGAUGGAAAAAAGUUCGAUUCCAAAUGGUUAUUCCAAUUUUCGGGUUUGUCCGAAUUUUAAUUGGAUUUGACUGAGUUUUUGCUUGAUAAUUUUUCAGAUAACUUGGAUCGGAUGCCUACUCAAUUAUCGGUUCAAUCGGUUGAACUGGCCGAUCUAGUUCGAGUUUCAAAACAUAGGUGUUACGUACCUUAGAAGUGAUUUACUCAACAGGCAAGUGCAAGCGGGUGUGUCUUAGUUGAGUAUUAUGUUUGGUUGGUGUAAUUUGAACAAGAUUUGGUGCAUUUGUCCUGUGUGUGUCAUUUGAUGUAUAAAAUCAAAUAUUCAAUUGCAUCAAGUUUACACUAAUUUUUGUAGAAUGUUGACAAAUGAAUUGAACGGGACAAAAUUUAAUUAGAUCCGUGCUAACCGAAUGGAACGAAAAAUUCAAUCAAUUAGGACUGUUCGAGCUGAACAAAAUUGAACAAAAUUCAACUAAACUUGCUCCAAAUUUGAUAGGAGCAUGUUGAUGUUGCAUGGUAAAAUAAAAACAAGAAAAUAUAACACCUCCAUACCAACAGAAGCCAAUUCGACAGGAGCAUAUUGAUGUUGCAUAGUGAAAUCAAACAAUAAAAUGUAACAUGUCCAUAAAAUUCAAUCAAUUAGAACUGUUUUAACUGAACAAAAUUGGACAGAAUCCAACUAGACUUGUUCGAAAUUCGAUAGAGCAUAUUGAUGUUGCAUAGUAAAACCAAAACGCGUCCAUACCAAUAGAAUCCAAUUCGAUAGGUAGUAAAAUCAAACAAGAUAUGUAAGAUGUUCGAACAGAAGCCAAUAAUAAGGUUAGGUAUAUACGCAAAACAAGUUGCAUAACAACAAACACAAGCCUAGGGAAUUUCACAUCAUCCCAGAAGAUGCUUGCUUCCUACUCCACAUCUAAAUUAGCUUUUUUGUGUGUAUUCUCCCCCAAACGGGGGCAACAGAGGAGCACAAUUUGAUUUGUAGUGCUGCUUCAUUACAUACAGUUAGUCUAUGACCAGAGGAUAACUAAUGUAUCAGGGAUGUCAUAUUCAGUUACGGUUCACAGUGAUUUGUACAUGUUUAAUGUUGGUAAUAGUUUGUAAUAAGAAUGUUGAAGUUCAUUGUCCCACAUUGAAAGAGGAUAGAGUGCUCCUUGUCUAUAUAUGUGUUUUCUUUACAAAUUUGUUCCAAAAUAUUAGUUUGGGGGGAAAGUUUGGUGGGAAAGUUCUUAGACUUUGUUAUAUUCUAGAGGUAAUUUGUCUGAUAGAGGCAAAUAACACCUCAAGGUAAUUUGUCUAGUUUAGAUUUCUUAUUUACUACAAAUUUUGAACAAUUUUAAGGUGCUAUCGUCAACAAUGGAGUCAAGUUCUGAAUCCGCUUUCAAAGUGAUGAAUCAGGACUUCGUCAAGUCGAACAGAUUCGACGGCACUAAUUUCUCCCGUUGAAAGGAUAAGAUGAUGUUUUUCCUGAUGGCUUUGAAGAUUGCUUAUGUUUUGGAUCCUUCACUUCCUGAAAUUCCAGGGUCUAAAGAUGAUGAUUCUGAUGAAGUCAAGGCACAACGCAAAAAAUGUGCAAAGGACGAGUUGCUAUGCAGAUGACACAUCAUGAAUACUCUUUCUGACCACUUGUAUGAUCUGUACACUGCAGUCAAGUGGCCUAAGGAAAUCUGGAAUGCGCUGGAGUACAAGUACAAUACAAUGAAACAAGGUGCGGACAAAUUUCUGAUUAUGCAAUAUUUUGAUUUUCGUAUGACUGAGAAUUCUUCUCUUAUGGAUUAGAUUCAUGAUCUCCAAGUGAUUGUGUCUAAGUUACAUGAUCUGAAAGUGGAGAUAUUUGAAUCUUUGUAAGUUGGAGCAAUAAUAGCCAAACUUCCAACUAGUUGGAAUGAUUAUAAGAAAAAGUUGCUUCAUACUACUGAAACAUUCACUAUAGAUCAUAUUUUGAAACAUUUACAUAUUGAAGAAGAUACCAGAAAUCUUCAAAAAAAGCAAAUAGACUCUGAUGUCAAAGUGAAUGCUUUAAGUGAGAAGAAUUCACAGAAUUUUUUUGGUUUCAAAACAAAGUCUCCAGAAGCAAGUACAUCUAAGGACAAGAAGAAGAAUAGAGUCUGCUAUAAGUGCAGCAAGAAGGGACAUUACAAGCAUGAAUGCAAGGCAGAUAGUAACAAAAAGCAAAAGAAAGACAAUGCAAAAAUGCAAAUCUGAUUGAACAAAAAGUUGCUGAGAUUGUUGCAAUGGUUUCACAUUGGAACAUUGGCAUGAUUUCUCAAUUGCAUGUGGCUGCUGCAACCAAAUUGUGUGACUGGUGGUAUGAUUGUGGUGCCACCAUGCACGUUUGUAAUGAUAAGUCCCAGUUCAAGACUUAUAAAGAAGUUCCUGAUGGUCAUGAAGUAUUGAUGGGAAACCAUAAUACAACAAAAGUUCUUGGCAAAGGAAGUGUAGACUUGCAGUUGACUUCUGGAAAGAAACUUAGAUUGGUCAAUGUUCUUCAUGUUCAAAAAAUUAGGAAAAAUCUUAUGUCGGCUGGUGCCUUAAACAAAAAGGGGCUAAAGGUUAUACUAGAGUCUAAUAAGGUUAUCUUCUCUAUGAAUGGUGUAUUUGUAGGCAAGGGAUACUCUGGCGAUGGAAUGUUCAAGCUAUGUAUCAAUAAAGAUAAUGUUUCUGUGUAUGUUGUUGAUGCUUCAUAUUCUCUCUGGCAUGAUAGAUUAGCACAUGUUAAUCAUAAAACUUUGCAAUUUAUGUCUAAACAUGGCCUGAUUUCGUUCAAAGAUAAUGUUAAAAAAAGAUGUGAAACAUGUAUACAAGCAAAAAUGACCAGAUUACCUUUUCCUAAAGCAGAAAGAAACAAUGAGUUGUUAGAUCUUGUUCAUUCUGACGUUUGUGAAUUCAAUGGGUUUCUAACAAGAGGAGAAAAUAGGUAUUUCAUCACAUUCAUUGAUGAUUAUUCAAGAUAUGUGUAUGAGCACUUGAUGAAAACGAAAGAUGUGUCAUUUCAUAUUUUUAAGUGUUACAAAAAUCUUGUGGAAAAUCAACAAGGAAAGAAAAUUAAAAUUUUGAGAAGUGAUAGAUGUGGGGAAUAUUUUCCUACUGAUUUUUCUCAAUUUUGUGAAGAAAAUGGGAUUACACACCAAACUAGUGCACCGUAUACUCCGCAACAAAAUGGUUUGGUAGAAAGGAAAAAUAGGACUUUAGAAAAUAUGGUAAAUGCCAUGAUUAUAAGUUCUGGACUGCCUAAAUAUUUGUGGAGAGAGGCUUUACUGGCUGCUUGUCAUAUACAUAAUCGAGUAACUUCGCUUAAAUCCAAGGUAUCACCAUAUGAAUUAUGGAAAGGUAGAAAACCAAACUUGAAGUAUUUUCGAGUUUGGGGUUGUAUAGCUUUUUAUAGAAUCCCUAAUCAGAAAAGAUCUAAAUUGGGACCUCGAGCACUUAAAAGUGUAUUUGUAGGCUAUGCUGAAAAUUCAAAAGCAUAUCAGUUGCUAGAUUUAGAUUCUAACGUCAUUGUGGAAUCUAGAGAUGUCGAAUUUUUAGAAGAUAAAUUUCUUUAUAAUUCGAUGAUGAGUACAUAUUCAAGCCAAGAGCCACCUCCCAUUUCCAUUGUUAGACUCUCUAAUAAUAAUAAAAGAGAUGCAGGGGACACUCCAAGUGAAUUGAGGAGGAGUCAAAGGCAACGGAAGGAAAAACAUUUAUCCUCUAAUUUUAUAGAUUCACAAGCUAUUGUUUUCUUAAUUGAAGGCGAUAGACAAAUUCUACUUGACAAGAUUCCUGUCUUGUUAAAUGUAGAAGAUAACCCUAAAACUUUUAGUGAAACUAUGAAAUCAAGAGAUGCAUCAUUUUGGAGAGAGGCAAUUAAUGAUGAAAUGGAUUCAUUAUUGAGUAAUCAUACUUGGAUCCUAGUUGAUUUGCCUCUGGGUUCUAAGCCAAUUAGCUGUAAGUGAGUAUUUCGAAAGAAAUACGCUACUAAUGGAUUUGUACAAACUUUUAAGACAAGAUUAGUAGCAAAAGGAUUUAGGCAAAAAGAGGGAAUCGAUUAUUUUGAUACUUAUGUACCAGUAGCCAGAAUUACAUCUAUAAGAGUACUAUUAGCAUUGGCUUCAAUGUUUGAUUUGUGUGUACAUCAAAUGGAUGAAAAAUGGCUUUUUUAAAUGGCGACCUAAAUGAAGAGGUGUAUAUGGAGCAACCAGAAGGGUUUGUUCUACCUGGAAAUGAAAAUAAGGUUUGCAAACUGAUAAGAUCUUUAUAUGGUUUAAAGCAAGCACGUAAACAGUGGCAUCAAAAGUUUGAAUCUACUAUACUCUCUAAUGGUUUUAAAUAUAAUAAUGCUGAUAAGUGCAUUUAUUCCAAGUUUACUAGAGAGUAUGGUGUGAUAAUCUGUCUAUAUGUGGAUGACAUGCUAAUUGUUGGUACUAAUUACAAAGGCGUUGAAGAAACUAAGAAGUAUAUAUCUUCUAUAUUCAAUAUGAAAGAUUUUGGAGAAGUAGAUACUAUCUUAGGAAUUAAAGUUAAGAAACAUAGUGGGGGCUAUUCUUUAAGUCAAUCUCAUUAUGUUGAGAAAGUUUUGAACAAGUAUCAACAUUUGAAGGUGAAAGAAGCAAGCACUCCUUAUGAUUCCAACUUUAAGCUAUUUGAAAAUUCUGGAAAGCCGGUUGCUCAAUUAGAGUAUGCUAGUGCAAUUGGUAGCCUAAUGUAUGCUAUGCAUUGUACUAGACCAGAUAUUUCAUAUGCAGUUUGUAGACUCGCUAGGUACACUAAAAAUCCUGGUAUAGAACACUGGAAAGCUAUAGGUAGAGUGCUCGGAUAUCUUAAAAAAACAAAAGAUUUAGAACUUACCUAUAACAAAUUUCCAGCUGUACUUUAAGGUUAUUCUGAUGCAAGUUGGGUAACUAAUGUAUGUGACAAAGUGUCUACUUCUGGUUGGAUUUUUACAUUGGGUAGAGGAGCAGUUUGUUGGGCAUGAAAGAAACAAACCGUCAUAACUCAUUCCACCAUGGAGGCUGAAUUUGUAGCCUUAGCAGCUGCAUGCAAAGAGGCUGAAUGGCUAAUAAACUUACUGUUAGACAUCGAGUUGUGGCCAAAAUCGAUGCCAACCAUUUCUUUGCAUUGUGACAACGAAGCCACUAUGUCUAGAGCGUUAAAUAGAAUAUAUAACGGCAAAUCUAGACAUAUAAGCCUAAGACAUGAAUAUGUCAGACAAUUAUUGAAUGAUGGCAUAGUCACAGUAGUGUAUGUUAGAUCAUUCAACAACUUGGCAGAUGCUUCGUUAAAACUCUCUCAAGAGAUGUAAUGAAAGCAACGUCAUUAGGAAUGGGGUUAAAACUCGUUGUCUAAAACCACUAGUAAUGGUAACCCUGUGACAGCCCCACCUCCCCCUAAGGCGAACUAAAGGGUUUGGCGGACCGCCUGCCUAACUCUCGCUGGGAGUCACUACCGUGCUCAAAUAAAUAUGAAAAACAUAAGACCACAAGAACAAGUGUAACAACAAUUCCAAACUUAAAACAUAUACUUAUAUACAUUUCUAUCUCAAAAGGAAUACAACGCAAAUAUACAUCAAUUUUCCCAUGAAUAUACAUAUCACAAGCGAAGCGAAUACUAGUUUCCAAGCGGGAAACAUACACAUACAUUUGUUCAAUUCCAAACAAUUAUAUAAUUCUAACUAUUAAACAAGCGGAGUCCGAAUUCAAACUAUACAUAAGGUAAUCCAUCCAAUCACAUGAAUAAGUACUACAAGCCCUUCCUUCGCCUCGAGCCCUGUGGAGGGGAAAUAAAAUAUUUUGAAGUGAGCUACAAGCUCAGUGAGUGAUCACUAAAAACAGUAAUCAAUUAGUUCCACAAUAAUGUAGUUAAAUGAGAUUAUGAGUCAAUGAUCAAAUGUAUGUUUAUUACUCUUGUGAGCCAGUAAAAUCUUCGUACUUAAACCCCAAUGCUCAAAUACAUACAGGAACAGUCAAACAGUACAAGGGAGCCAUUUGCUCCAAAUAACCAGUGGUGAAGAUGUUGGCUCUAAGCACAAGAUUUCCCAAGAAUUCAAUGGAGCCAAAACAUGUCAUGGCACACACACAAAUACAAAUGAUAUGCAAUUGAGUAAACAGUGCAUGAAACAGUUCAUAAGUAACUUUGGAAAUAGUUUGGGGAUCACUCACCAACCACAGCUCAAGAACCAUCCAUCAUAGAUCAUUGCCUUGAUCAAGUCCAAGCCCUUAAAACCCCAAGAAGAGUGAUAGCUUAGUACUUCCCUUUUCAAAAUAACUCCACAAAACCCCUCAAGCUUCCUUAAAGAUCCACUUUUAUGGACUAAUUUACAAAAUUAAUGGUUGAAACUCAAGAUUGAAAUAUGGAAUUGAAGUACAAGAUGAAGCUCUCUUUCUUUCUCUUAUGAAGCUCGACCAAGCAAGGUGAAGAAAUGAAGAUAUUUGAGCCAAAAAGCAAGAUAAGAAUGAAAGAAAAUAGCCAGUCAAAAUUGGCUGCCGGACUGCCACGUCACAAUCUGACCGGAAUCGGACCAGAUUUCUGGUCAGAUUCCAGGCCGGAUUCAAGGCAGUGGAGACUUAAUUUUUUUCAAAACGCACCAACAAUUCGGCCAACAAUCCGGCCAAGAACUGGCCAGAUCUGCGGCCGGAUUUGGUCCUACCCUUUUUUAUCAAAAUUUUUUUUCCUUUUUCUUUUUUGGGCUUCACAAGAUCCCCCCCUUAAAAGAAUGUCGUUCUCGACAUUCCAACUUGUGUUGUGCUAAACAAAUCAAAAUAGUCUUCGAAAGUCUAUCAAGUACUAUGAAUCAUUCCAGUCCCACUUAUCACUUUGUAACGGCCAACAGAUAGCUAAACAAAUAACCAAAGAGAACAAGCAAAAGGGCUCAGUUCAAACAACUAGCCCUCCUAGAUAUUCGAAAAAAUUCAGGACAUGGCUUAGUCUCAAGUCGGAAGUUUUACCCCUGGCAGUGUUGGACAACACAACAAUCUAGCACAAUAGCUAUGCAACACAACAAAUUAGCACAACUGCUACACUUCACCAGAGAGGCUCAGGAAUUUGUCCCUAGUGGUACUUGAGAACACAACAAACUAGCACAACGGCUAUACUUCACCAGAGAGUCUUAGUUCAAAAAUUUCAUCCCUGGUGGUGCUUGAAAACACAACAGGCAUGCCUCGCCAGAAGAAUGGCGAUGCUUGAAAACACAACAAGCAAUGUCUCACCAGAGAGACUUAAUUCAAAAAGUUCAUCCCUGGCGGUGCUUGAGAACACAACAGGCAUGCCUCGUCAGAAAAAUGGCUGUGCUUGAAAACACAACAGGCUAUGCCUCACCAGAGAGAUUCAGUUCAACCGCCACAGAAGAGUAGUAGCUGGUCUACAACUACACGAGUACGAAUAACUUCAAAAGCAGGGUCAAAGCAGGGUUCAAACAAAUAAGUUCAAAAGCAGAGCCAAUUACUUCAGGUUCAUGAUGCACGAGUACGAAUAAGAACUCACUCGCCUAGUCCAUGCCCAGCAAUUUAUAUUCUCAAAUAGUCACAGGAUUCAAGUUCACUUACAGGACAUAUAUGAACCAAACUACUAGCUCAUGCGUAAAAGAAAUACCCUAUAUUCAUGCAAGUCUGGUCCAUCAAGUGUACGUAAGCGCACACUUGCCUAAACAGGUUCAAAUCUCAAGUAAGCUCAGCCUGAUCGGUUUCAGGCAGUUCAAGUUCUUCAAAUAUCAACACUUACAAAUCAAGUGGUGCAAACCUUAAUCAAAUAAGAAGACUAGAAGAAGGAUGCAAAAACCAGAAGUUUUCUCAACAAAUCCAAACACCACCAUAAUCUAUCAAAACUCUAGCCAAACACUUAUUGGGCAAGUUCCAGAUAACAUUCAUCAUUUCAAUGCCCUUAUUCGGUUAAGUCUCGAGUACAAUACAAAGUCCUCUGUACUUUAACCUGUACCAGUACACUUUAUCUCAAACUCACUUAUGAUUUCUAUUCACAUCAUCAAACACUAGACCAUGUUCCGUCCAAAUGCACAAGUAUUUCCUCAAGAAAAGUACUGAAUACGCAAGUACAACAAUCCAAAACUAAGAAACUAUACAACUCAGGCCGUAUGCUAGUACCAGAAUCGGUUGAUGUACGCUUGGGAGCAACAAAGUCAUAUCUUACGCUUACCACUUUCAAACCAGUCCCACAGUUCGGUAUCCUAAAUUUUAGCCUAGAAUAUACUACAGAAAUCUGAAGCCUAAACUCUAAUACUUACUGUGACAGCCCCACCUUCUCCUAAGGCGAAACAAACGGUUCGACGGACCGUCUGCCUAACUCUCGCCAGGACUUACUACAGUUUUCAAAUAAAUAUGAAAAACAUAAGACCACAAGAACAAGUGUAACAACAAUUUCAAAUUUAAAACAUAUAGUUAUAUAUAUUUCUAUCUCAAAAGGAAUACAACGCAAAUAUACAUCAGUUUUUUCAUGAAUAUACAUGUCACAAGCGAAGCGAAUACUAGUUUCCAAGCGGGGAACGUACACAUACAUUUGUUCAAUUUCAAAUAAUCAUAUAAUCCUAACUAUUACACAAGCGGAGUCUGAAUUCAAACUAUACAUAAGGUAAUCUAUCCAGUCACAUGAAUAAGUACUACAAGCCCUUCCUUUGCCUCGAGCCCUGUGGACAGGAAAUAAAAUAUUUUGGAGUGAGUUACAAGCUCAGCGAGUGAUCAGUAAAAAUCAGUAAUCAACUAGUUCCACAAUAAUGCAGUUAAAUGAGAUUAUGAGUCAAUAAUCAAAUGUAUGUUUAUUGCUCUUGUGAGCCAGUGAAAUCUUUGUAUUUAAACCCUAACGCUCAAAUACAUACAGGAACAGUCAAACAGUACAAGGGAGCCAUUUGCUCAAAAUAACCAGUGGUGGAGACGUUAGUUCUAAGCACAAGAUUUUUCAAGAACUCAGUGGAGCCAAAACAUGUCAUGGCAUACACAUAAACACAAAUAAUAUGCAAUUGAGUAAACAGUGCAUGAAACAGUUCAUAAGUAACUUUGAAAAUAGUUUGGGGAUCAUUCACCAACCACAACUCAGGAACUAUCCAUCAUAGAUCAUUGCCUUGAUCAAGUCCAAGCCCUUAAAACCCCAAGAAAAGUGAUAGCUUAGUACUUCCCUUUUCAAAAUAACUCCACAAAAUCCCUCAAGCUUCCUUAAAGAUCCACUUUUAUGGACUAAUUUACAAAAUUAAUGGUUGAAACUCAAGAUUGAAAUAUGGAAUUGAAGUGCAAGAUGAAGCUCUCUUUCUCUCUCUUAUGAAGCUCGGCCAAGCAAGGUGAAGAAAUGAAGAUAUUUGAACCAAAAAGCAAGAUAAGAAUGAAAGAAAAUAGCUGGUCAAAGUUGGCUGCCGGACUGCCACGUCACAAUCUGGCCGGAUUUCCGGCUAGAUUCCAGGCCGGAUUCAAGGCAGUGGAGACUUAAUUUUUUUCAAAACGCACCAACAAUCCUGCCAACAAUCCGGCCAAGAACUGGUCGGAUCUGCGCCCGGAUUUGGUCCUACCCUUUUUUAUAAAAUUUUUUUUUCCUUUUUCUUUCGGGGCUUCACAAGCUCCCCUCUUAAAAGAAUGUCGUUCUCGAUAUUCCAACUUGUGCUGUGCUAAACAGAUCAAAAUAGUCCUCGAAAGUCUAUCAAGUACUAAGAAUCAUUCCAGUCCCACUUAUGUCCCACUUAUCACUUUGUAACGGCCAACAGAUAGCUAAACAAAUAACCAAAGAGAACAAGCAAAAGGGCUCGGUUCAAACAACUAGCCCUGAGUUAGAACUAAAGUCCAAGAUAUUCAAAAAAAUUCAGGACAUGGCUUAGUCUCAUGUCUGAAGUUUUACCCCUGACAGUGCUGGACAACACAACAAGUUAGCACAACAGCUAUGCAACACAACAAGUUAGCACAACUGCUAUACUUCACCAGAGAGGCUCAGGAAUUCGUCCCUGGUGGUGCUUGAGAACACAACAAACUAGCACAAAGGCUAUACUUCAUUAUAGAGCCUUAGUUCAAAAAUUCCAUCCCUGAUGGUGUUUGAAAACACAACAGGCAUGCCUCGCCAGAAGAAUGGCGGUGCUUGAAAACACAACAAGCAAUGCCUCACCGGAGAGGCUUAGUUCAAAAAGUUCAUCCCUGGCGGUGCUUGAGAACACAACAGGCAUGUCUCGCCAGAAAAAUGGCUGUGCUUGAAAACAUAACAGGCUAUACCUCAUCAGAGAGAUUCAGUUCAACCGCUACAGAAGAGUAGUAGUCGGUCUACAACUACACGAGUACGAAUAACUUCAAAAGCACGGUCAAAGCAGGGUUCAAAUAAAUAAGUUCAAAAGUAGAGCCAAUUACUUCAAGUUGAUGAUGCACGAGUACGAAUAAGAACUCACUCGCCUAGUCCAUGCUCAGCAAUUCAUAUUCUCAAGUAGUCACAGGAUUCAAGUUCACUUACAGGUCAUAUAUGAACCAAACUACUAGCUCAUGCGUAAAAGAAAUACCCUAUAUUCAUGCAAGUCUGGUCCAUCAAGUGUACGUAAGCGCACACUUGCCUAAACAGGUUCAAAUCUCAAGUAAGCUCAGCCUAAUCGGUUUCAGGCAGUUCAAGUUCUUCAAAUAUCAACACUUACAAAUCAAGUGGUGCAAACCUUAAUCAAAUAAGAAGACUAGAAGAAAGAUGCAAAAAUUAGAAGUUUUCUCAACAAAUCCAGACACCACCAUAAUCUAUCAAAACUCUAACAAAACACUUAUUGGGCAAGUUCCAGAUAACAUUCAUCAUUUCAAUGCCCUUAUUCGGUUAAAUCUCGAGUACAAUACAAAGUCCUCUGUACUCUAACCUGUACCAGUACAACUUAUCUCAAACUCACUUAUGAUUUCUAUUCACAUCAUCAAACACUAGACCAUGUUCCUUCCAAAUGCACAAGUAUUUCCUCAGGAAAAGUACCGAGUAUGCAAGUACAAGAAUCCAAAACUAAGAAACUAUACAACUCAAGCCGUACGCUAGUACCAAAAUCGGUUGAUGUACGCUUGGGAGCAAUAAAGUCAUAUCUUACGCUUACCACUUUCAAACCAGUCCGACAGUCCGGCAUCCUAAACUUUAGCCUAGGAUACACUACAGAGAUCUGAAGUCUAAACUAUAAUACCAACUGUGACAACCCUACCUCCCCCUAAGAUAAAGCAAAGGGUUCGACGGAUCGCCUGCCCAACUCUUGCCGGGACUUACUACAAUCCUCAAAUAAAUAUGAAAAACAUAAGACCACAAGAACAAGUGUAACAACAAUUCCAAACUUAAAACAUAUACUUAUAUACAUUUCUAUCUCAAAAGGAAUACAACGCAAAUAUACAUCAGUUUUCCCAUGAAUAUACAUAUGACAAGCGAAGCGAAUACUAGUUUCCAAGCGGGGAACGUACACAUACAUUUGUUCAAUUCCAAACAAUCAUAUAAUCCUAAUUAUUACACAAGUGGAGUCUGAAUUCAAACUAUACAUAAGGUAAUCUAUCCAGUCACAUGAAUAAGUACUACAAACCCUUCCUUUGCCUCGAACCCUGUGGAGGGGAAAUAAAAUAUUUUGAAGUGAGCUACAAGCUCAGUGAGUGAUCAGUAAAAAUCAGUAAUCAACCAGUUCCACAAUAAUACAGUUAAAUGAGAUUAUGAGUCAAUAAUCAAAUGUAUGUUUAUUGCUCUUGUGAGCCAGUGAAAUCUUUGUAUUUAAACCCUAACGCUCAAAUACAUACAGGAACAGUCAAACAGUACAAGGGAGCCAUUUGCUCAAAAUAACCAGUGGUGGAGACGUUAGUUCUAAGCACAAGAUUUUUCAAGAACUCAGUGGAGCCAAAACAUGUCAUGGCAUACACAUAAACACAAAUAAUAUGCAAUUGAGUAAACAGUGCAUGAAACAGUUCAUAAUUAACUUUGAAAAUAGUUUGGGGAUCACUCACCAACCACAGCUCAGGAACCAUCCAUCAUAGAUCAUUACUUUGAUCAAGUCCAAACCCUUAAAACCCCAAGAAGAGUGAUAGCUUAGUACUUCCUUUUUCAAAACAAAUCCACAAAACCCCUCAAGCUUCCUUAAAGAUUCACUUUUAUGGACUAAUUUACAAAACUAAUGGUUGAAACUCAAGAUUGAAACAUGAAAUUGAAGUGCAAGAUGAAGCUCUCUUUCUCUCUCUCAUGAACCUCGGCCAAGCAAGGUAAAGAAAUGAAGAUAUUUGAGCCAAAAAGUAAGAUAAUAAUGAAAGAAAACAGCCAGUCAAAGUUGGUUGCCGGACUACCACGUCACAAUUCGGCCGAAAUCUGGCCGGAUUUCCAACCGGAUUCCAGGCUGGAUUCAAGGCAGUGGAGACUUAAUUUUUUUCAAAAUGCACCAACAAUCCGGCCAAGAACUGGCCGGAUUUGCGGCCGGAUUUGGUCCUACCCCUUUUCACCAAAUUUGUUUUUUCCUUUUUCUUUCGGGGCUUCACAAACCCAACCUCUCUUCUAGCACUAACACUAGAUGAAAGGUUUACAGGGUAAUAACAAGUUACUGAUAAGUGGUUGUGAACACUAGAAAUUGUAUUAUACCAUUCCAAGGUACUAGUGCAAUUUGAUACUUAAGAGGCUGAGUAUCAUACUCUUAAUGAAGUUAAAUAUGAUUUUAUAGUGCCUUGGUAAUAAAGGCUUGAAAUGUACUUCACCUAUAUAAUCAUGGGAGUGGUGCUGCUUCUAGCAAAAGUGGGGUUUUCUUUUGUAAAUGAUCAUGAAUCUAGGAUGGAGCACAUGACCAGUACAAGUGCUAAAAUCAUUUCAUGAACUAUUCUGCGAAAGGGGUAUAAUCUUGUGUGUGCUAUUUCUGUUUUAACUUUAAAGUUAUGGUUUAAGCAACAUAGCCACCAUAACUUGUUAGAACAAGUGAAAUACCUUUCUCUAUGCAAGAUAAUAUGAGUGCUGAUUUAAUUUUAUUAUAAACUAAGUGGGGGAUUGUUGGUAAUAGUUUGUAAUGAGAAUGUUGAAGUUCAUUGUCCCACAUUGAAAGAGGAUAGAGUGCUCAUUAUCUAUAUAUGUGUUUCCUUUUACAAACUUGUUCCAAAAUAUUAGUUUGGAGAGAAAGUUUGGUAGGAAAGUUAUUUCAGUUUAUAUCUCAUUCACUUGAAUAUGAAUUGAAAGAUAUAUAAAAUCUUGACAAGGGCACUUGGAAAAGUUUCGGCUUUCUUAUUAGGAUAAGGUGUUAAUUAAUUAGAGGUAGUUAAUGACGAUUAUAUUUUAGCAGACAUAUCUAUUAAUUCGUUAACUACCUAUACACCUAUUCAAUAAGGAUUGCAUCCUCUGAUAAUGCCUUGGAUAGGUGCCUCAAUUCUUUUAAAUAGUAGGAUUUCGAUAGAAUUAAAUUACUUUUACUUUUCAUUGAUAGUUCUUAGAUUUUGUUGUAUCCUAGAGGCAAUUUAUCUAAUAGAGGCAAAUAACACCUUAAAGAAUGUGCUUUCACACCUCAAAGUCUCUGUGUUUGUCUAGUUUAGAUUUCUUAUUUAUACAAAUUUUCAACAUUUAAUGUGUCAAAAUCUCUUCUUCUCUCUCUCUCUUUCAACUUCUUAAAAUCCACCAAGUUAAAUUAUAUAUAUAUAUAGAGAGAAAGAGAGAGAUUUUGUUCGUGGCCAUAUGUUGUUUGGAAGUGUUCUGAGAAUCGAUUUUCUGAUUUGGUAAUAUAUUACAACCGUUCUAGCUGCUUGUGCAAGAAUCUUUGCAACUCUUUUUCAUAAUUCAGAACGUGUUCACUUUGGAGUUAACAAUUAAAACCAAGUGUAGUAUAUGCCGACUAGUUUUCAACUCGUCAAAGGAUAUAGGGUAAUAGGAAUAAGACAUGGCUAAAACUUGGGUAGAAUCGGUUUUUAAAAACUUAAUAGUCCAUAUUGUGUUAGAUGAGAUGAUAUGAUACAAUUUAGACCAUUUGGUCUUUAAAGACCGGAUCUACUCAAGUGUGAAACAUAAGUCAUUCAAACGUUGGUAAAACUAUUCUGUACUCAUUAAUUUGAUUCUUCUGUUAAAACUUUCCGAUCUCAUUUUUUCUCAAAAAACCCCUUUCACUUUUUCUAUUUAAAACCCAUAUUCUCUAGUAAUAGGAUGAUACUACCUCAGAUUAGGUUCUUCUCUAUUUAAUUGGAGCUAACUUCUCUCUAUUAUACCAUAAUAAAUUUAAUCUUUAAACUAUAUCGAAAAUUAAGUCUAUUGAUAAUAUGCUUCAUUACUUACUUUAGUUAUACACAAGCUUUCAAAUAAAUCAGGUAAAUUUUAUCGCUUGAUUGCACCUUACAAAUGUUGUUGUGAUUUUGAUUUAUAUUUCCCCAUUCAAAUAUUUCAUGAAAUUGAAUGAUAAAAAAACUCUCUAUUGGAUUUUAUUUUUGAGUAAAUUGAUCUACUUAUCAAAAUAAAAAUAACAACAUAGUCAAAUGAUUUUUGUUUUACAAAAAUGGUUAUUCCAAUAUAAAAAUAACUAGAUAAUUGGAAAGAAAACUACGGGAGGGAGCCUAAUCCCCGCCUUAUCAACCAAUAAAAAACACCUUUUUGUAGUUCAGUCUUGAGAAACAAAAGAAAUUUAUAUUUAACAUUUACAUAAUUUUAAAAAAAAUCCACUUCUUAUACACAUAUGUCCGUUGAUAUGCUAGUUCCAACAAAAGUAUAUUGGACUCGAGGCAAUAUUGCUUCAGUCAUUCUAUUUAUUACAUGAUAUGGUAUACACUUAUAUAGUAUUGUUCUAGUUGGAAAAAAGUUUAAUGUGUAUAAACAACAAUUUAUUUAAGUGUACACUAGAUAAUAGCCGUAUCCGAUGCACUUAACCCCUGCCGUACUUGCCCAAGUCUGGCUUGAUAUGGACACUACUCUGCAAAGCCAAAAUUGGGAUAGAUCGAUUUUCAAAAUUUAAUAAUCCAAAUUGUACCGCAUCAUUUGAUGAAAUAUUGUGAUAUAAUUGGGGUCAUUAAAUCUUUGAAAACCGGUUUACCCAAGUGUGAUCCCUCUGCAGAACUACUACACAUAAUUGAACUAUCAAGCUUAACCCAUUCGAUCUCCCCCUCCUCAGGCUGCUGUUCAAUUUCGUGAAGAGAAAUGUCAAAAUGUUCUUUUCUGCUGUGUCUCAUUACUGCUACAAGUUUUGGGGUUGUUGAGAAUGGCUCCGAAUGUGAGGUUAGGAUCUACGAGCUCAGGAAAGGAUAUUUUGCUUUGAAAGUGACUAACUUUCGAGCCAGGAUCAUAUCAGUCAUUCUCCCCAAUAAGAAUUUUCCAGCUUUUAUCCGAAAAAGAAAAUAAAAAACCAAUCCUCCUCUGCUAAAAAUGUUAUAAUUUCUAUUCGUCAAUCUCAAAAGUGGUAAUUUGGGAAUAAUUCUUCCUUGCCUUCUAAUCAAUGGAUUAUUUUAGGCUCUGAGGUGCUGAAAAGUGGGUUUCAAUUUAUACGAGUAACUAGCUUGAGUUUGUUAUAUCCCUUUUGUACAAAAAAAAAAAAAAAAAAAAAAAACUAGCUUGAGUUUGUGACAAUUUUUAGAAUCAAUAUGCUUGACAAGUAGUACAAGUCACAAAAAAUUAUGUGGCUAUGGUUUAUCGUUAAUGGUAUCAAUUUUUUUUUUGUACUCGAAAUAAAGUAAUUAAAUUGUCUUUGGAUUGUUUUAUUAGUUCUUUAUUGAUUUGCUUGUCCAAUGGAUUUCUCCAUAAGUUUUUUUAUGAACUCAAUAAAAGUUGUACAUUGAGCCUAGGAAUAUUAAUGAUAAUUUUUGAACGCAAGUUCUAUACAAUAAUCAAAUUUAGAGAUCAAUCGUGCAUUUCUUCAUUUCCCUUUCCUCAUUGCUUUUCUGAGCAAAACAGGGCUUCAUAGAAGUUUGGGAAAUUGCCAAAAUAGAUACUUCGUACAAUUUGUAGAAGUAAUACAAAGUGUCCAAAACUUUCUACGCUAUUGUCUACAAGUUCUUUUUUUUUUUUUUUUUUUUUUUCCAGUCCCAAGGCUUAGCUCAACGUCCCUCUGCUCGUCAUAUUGGGAGUUGGUAUCGCUAUGACGCAUGAUUUCAAGAUUCAUGAUCACAUUACUAAUUUUAUCAAAAUAUGUGUGUAGUUUACCUCAAUAAACUACCAAACAACUUUUGUACCAAAGAUUCAAGAAGUUCAUAGACGUGGGGAAGGAAUAGGUUGGGUCAUGACGAGAGAUGUAAAUAAAAAGUUCCAAAUUUGUGACCACCUACCUACACUAAAAAAAAAAAAUUCAUAGAUAAUUUAUUGCUAAAUGAGUAAUUGAGAAGCAAAAAUAUCCACUUAUACUCACUUCCCAUGCAAUUUCCACACACAAACCUCGUACAUUAGUUGUACAAGUGGCAAGGAUUGAGGAUAUGCUAUUGGAAAAUAUGGUUAGGAAUGAAAACAUGGCAAGGGUUCUCCCACCCCGUCUCGCUUCUCCCACGGAUGCCUUCAGGGGAAAAAAAGUUUAUAAUGAAUAAAAAUAUAUAUAAUUAAUAAUAAAUCAUAAUUAGUAAUUUAGUAUAAAUGUAUUAAUAUAAUUAAUUAAUAAUUUAUAUUAGUAUAAUUUUAUAAUUAUUAGUAUAACUAAUAAUAUUAAUUAUAUUACAUUACAUAAUUUGAUAUCUAUAACUAAUAAUAUUAAAUAUGUUAUAUACAUAAUUGGGGGACAAGAUGCGGGAUGAGGCAGGGGUAUACUCCCUCGUCCCCCACCCUGUUCUUUUAAAGAGAGGUGAAAAUUACCCCCCCCCCUCCCAUCCCCCACGCCAUGAACCUAUUACGAGGACACCCACCCCAAUUGCUAUCCCUAUGUAUAGUGUUUUUAUCUAGUACUGGGAUAUGGUUCAACAUUUGAUUACCAUGCUGUGUUAGGACAUGCAGUUUAAGAGUGGUUUAUAUUAGAUUUGUUCCACAAUUCAUAUUUCAGUUUGUUGGAUCUACUGAAAACGGUAUUUAUCACAAAAAAUAUCUUCUAAAUUAAUAUAGGAUAGUGAGUAAUUAAAUCCAAUUAAUGUGAGGAGGAAGUGUAAGUGAGAGAUUCAAGUUCGAAAUCUCUUGCUUACUUAAAAAAAAUCCAGCUAAAGCUAUUUGUUGUUUGUUCAAUGUAUUGUUUACCAAGAAGGUUGCCCAGCCCAGUGAGCAUUGUAGCCCAUGUACUUGAGCUGCUCUUUCAGCCCAAUAGGCUCGACCAAUUAGUCCCAAUACGUUAACCCAUGAUACAGUUCCAAUUCCUACAUAACCCCUUUGGCGAAUCAUUUUACCCCUGCAGCUUUUACCAUGGCAAUAAGAGAUUUACUCUGCAUUUUUUUUCUAAUCGUCUUAGAUAUCAUUAUUUGUGAAACUGUAACUCAUUUGGUUUUACAGACAAAAUUAACUACGGAGAAUGCAGGAGUUGUGUUUCAAAAUUGAGAAAAUAAAGGCCAGGCAAGUAUCUAAUUCCUUUUGCUUACAUUAACCUGCUCACAUAUGCUACUUACUAAUUCUAACUGACUUUUUUUUUUUUUUUUCUGAAGUUUCAUUUUGAAUGAGGCCUUUAUCUGCAAUUAUAUAUAGAGGAGUUUUUGUACCUGGGAUAGAACAAGACAUAUUGGAACCAACCAUGUAGCUGUUGGUUAAAGACGCGAAAUUUUCAAAAGAAACUUUGUACUUUAUAUUGCUUUAUUUAGAAAUUUCUUGCAGCACAAAAGGCUCCUUUUGGCAGCAUAUUAAGAUUCAAGAUCCAUCAUUCUUGUAAUCUUGCCUUCUUCGCCAAAUGAGGCUGAUAAUAACAUUAGCGGAUGGGUCUUAAUAAACUAUGAAUCCAUUGGUUCUUUUUUUUUUUUUUUUUAUGUAUAGAAAAGAUCAUUUCAUUCAAUAAAUCUACACUAGUAGCAAAAAAUACAUCAAACAAAUAUGAUACAAAUACAUAGAUCUGAAAAUCAAUAGAUACAACAUAUCUAAGAAAUCAAUACAAAUAUAUAUUAACAUUGAUGCUUUUAGAUAUCUUCCAUUUAGACGAAUCAUUGUAGCUCAAUACAUCUGUGUAUAUCUUCUAACAGUCAAAUUAAAAUAAAACAAGUAUAAGUCCAAAGAAAAAUUUAGCUAUGACAAUAAUGGAAAAAUUGCAAAUCUAAAAAACUAGAUUAUAGAUCUAUAAUAUUUCAAAUUUCACAAAAAAGAUAAAAACUAAAAAGAAACUCUCACAAGGAAAAAUUCAAGAGAAAACAAAACUCUCACUAGAACAAUUUAGAAGAGAAGAAACUAUCACUAUUUGAGAACUUAGAAGAGAAGUAUAUCUUACUAAGAAAUCCUAAAAGAGAAUUUAUUCAAAACAAGAGAAACUAAAAACUAGAGAGGGUGCUUCCUUUCAUUGGUAAAGAUCAGAUUUGAUCACUCUCCCAUAAAAAGAGAUGUUGAGGAUUUUGACCAGAAGAGUUUUAGAGAAAAGAGGAAGAAAAGCAUUCUAGAGAGAACGAGGAAAAGAACGACUAUAUAAAUCCAUUGGCUUUUCAACAUGUAGGGUCUGUUUGGUUGGAAGUAAAAUAUUUUUCUUGGGAAAAUAUUUUCCGUGGAAGUAAUUUUUCAUGAAAAUCAUUUCCCUUUCAUCAUUUUCAGGUGUUUGAUUAACUUAUUGAAAAUAUUUUCUUACUUCAUUUUUCUGGUGUUUGUUUAACUUUUGAAAUAUUUUCACUUUUAUCUCUAUCUUUACUUUCUACACAUUAUAACUACAUACUUCUUUCCAUGCAAAAUAAGAAAAUUUAUCUCAUUGUUUAACUUUAAAAAAUCUUGGAGAAAUAUAUAUAUGAAUAAAAAAUAUCUCCUUAAGCAAUAAACAAAUUGCUGAUAAUUUAGUGUCAAAUAUCAAUCACAUGCAAUGUUUAUUGUGACAUAUAUCUUUCACUCUCACUGCUGAAAGUUUCUCUAGAAAAGAAUGUCCCUAUUAUACAUAAUUAAUUACUAGCAUAGGAUGAGCAGGAUGAGACUUUUUUUUUUAAUUUUGAAUAUACUAGGGAGAGGGUUGGGUUGGGUUGGGUUGGGUGGUACGGGGGAGGGAGUGUAAAGAAGAUGUUUUGGAUUCGAGUCCUCCUGUUUACACUAAAAAAAAAAAAAAGAACAUACUACAAGAUUUUUUCAGUAAGUUUGGAACAUACUACAGGUGGGAUACAUGUAUUUCGGAAAACAACUUCAAUAAGUUUGGAAUGGAAGUUGUUUUCCAUAAGAUGAAUGAAAAUAUUUUACAUAGAAAAAUGUUUUCAGUAACUUUUGUGCAACCAAACACGAGAAAUUAAGAAAAUAUUUUCCUAAAAAACAUUUUCACCCGAAACAAACGGACCGUAAUAUAGAAACAUUCAUGCUUAUUUAACUUCAAAUUGUCAAUCUCAUUGCCUUAAUCAACUCCAUGCUUUAUGUUUGAAUGCCUCUUAAUUGGGAUACAAAAUAAAGGUUACAUUAUGCUGGGCGAUGGCUUUGUAUAGCACAAGGAGCCCCACCUAGUAGCAAAUCAAAUCAAAUCAAAUAGCGAAUCAUGGCAGCUAUAGCAGCAAUUGAAUUCCUAAAAAGAGGUGUAUUUAUAUCUCCUGUGCGCCGGCUUUUGGAGUAUGAUCUGGGAUUAAGGUUUGUUUAGUCAGUAAAAGUCAAUUGACUUCUUGACAAAAAAAAUAUCUCCUGUGCAGGGGCCGACGUAAUAAUUUUUUUUCUUUGUCAACAUAAUAAGGUAGAAAACAACUUGACCCACACAACUAACUAUAGGUUUUGUACAUGGUAAUGAUUUAAUCGCAAGUAUGGUCUAAAAUUAUUUUUGUUGCAAGCAUUGGAGUAUCCCUAUUUUCAGAUUUGUAUUAAUGGAUUUGUAGAUUGCCACCAAAGUUUGGAGAAUUGAGAGUUUCUUUUUCAUCCAUAUUUGGAUCAAUGUUCUUAUUAAUUAGUAAACUCUAAUUACCAAAACUAUUGCUUUUAGCACAACAAAAAAGUAUGAAUUUCAUAGCAUUGGAACCAGGUUGACUUUGUUUUUAAUUAUCAUGCUCUGAGCAUUUCUUCAUUUUUUUACUGAAAUAUAAGUCUCGCAGAUGAAGAAUCAUUCAACGUGAUCAGUUUCGAUUUUGUAACUAAAACUAAGUGAAGUAAACGGCCCCUUGUUUCAAAGUCAACAAAUGACCCAGGGAUAAUUUAUUCCAUCCAUGUUCGUAUGAGUAUUCUAUACUUAUUAAACCGAAUCCUAUGACUCCCAGCCAAUAUUUUGAAAUUCAGCCCGUUCAUUUGACUCAAAAAAAAUUCAAAUCAAGCGCCAUUGGUCAAUUGUUGGGCCAACCGUAAUUGUUCCUAAAUAACAUGUGUUAGCAUAUAUGUAACAAAAAUAUUUAAGGAUAUGAUUUAACUCUCUUGUUUGAAUUAAUUAUGUGACUUUUCAUCCCACUCAAAUAGCUAAUAUUAUUUGAAACUUAACCAAAUUUUUUAUGGAUUAAAAUGGGGAUAAAUUAUUUUAAAGUCGUUAAUACAAGGAGUAUUAAUCUAGACGUCUUAAGUAAGUACAUUUUACAUUUUAGAAAUUUUAAUUUGUCGAAACAAAGGAAAAAUUCACAACUUUAAAGAAUUAAAGAGUUUUUAAAAAAAUGCACAUGCAUAAGUAACUACAUAUAAUUACGUACAAAAAGAACAAAUAGAGUUAAAGUGUAUCGAUUAAUUGAAAAAUGAGUUUUUCUAGUUGUUACCCCAUGGGUACUCGUUAAUACACCUGCAUUCCACUCAAUUUACCAUAUAUUUACACACACUAAUAAUUACAAUUUUUUCUUGUAUUUAUACACUUUUUCUAAUUAAUCCCCUUUCAUUUAUACAUUUUUCUAAUUAAUUUUGUAUUUCUAAAGAUCUAAUACAUGUGCAAAUUUAUAAGAGAGAUUAAAUAUGAAGAUAUUAAUUGUUAAGUACCUUGUUCUAGUUAAUUGGAGAAAGUUGCCUUAUCCAGUAUUGCAAUUUGAGUUGUCACUCAAUGAGAAAAGUAAUCAAAUUUGAAAAAUAGCAUUCAUUAUCGAGGCCACAUUAAACCAACCCGGUUCUCUUUUUAUUGGACGACUUCUACGGGUCAAUGCUCAAACUGUCCAAUUUCUAUAGGUUACAAGAAAUUAUCCAAUUUUUUAACCCUUGGGCUGAGGGGCUACCGAAACCUAUAAGGCAGCCCAUUUGGUGGUUUUUCCUAUCCAAUAGGGCAGUCCAGGUUGCAGGGUGGGUUCGAAAGUGUGAUCCCAACUCAUUUUCUAAAUUUUUUGAAAAAAAAAAUCUCUAAUGAUUAGAUAAUGCCAGUGGUUAAUGGGACUGGAUUCGUCUCCAUUACGGCCGAACAAAUUGAAGUUGGCUAUUAUAUAUAUAUUUUUAAAAAUAAUCUUCUGUAAUAUACUUCAUUACUUGUUUUGGUUAUUCACAAAGUUUGUAAUAAACUGACCCGAUUUUCAUGCUUUAUCCACCAUGCAAACUUUCCUCCAAAUUCAAUUAUAAAGCACUUUCUAACAAAAAUUUUCUGAAUACGUUGAUCUACUCACUGAAACAAAAAGAAUGGCACAAUCAAAUGAUAUAAAAAGAUGAUUAAAUGAAUAUGAAUUAAUAAUCAGCAAUUCAAAAUAAAAGCAAUGGAAGGAGCCCAAAAUACUGGGCCGAUUCCCCCCCCCCCUCGUGUCUCCCACUCUUAGUGUUUAAAUAACUAAUAAAGCAAAUCCAUGACACUUCUUGAUUCGGUUUGAGGUUGCGGUAAUUUAUAAAAAACACUUCUGACACAAGUAUUUUUAAUACUUCUAAUAAAACUGCUUUUAAGAUACGAAAAGCUAGACUCCUUAAAUAUCUUGCAGUGAGGGAGUAGUUAUGAAUCCUGUAGAUCAUCCCAUGGAGGCGGGGAAAGGAGAGCUCCAAUUGGUAGAAAAAACUCACAAGACCUUUGAGGUUAUCCUGCACUUGGAAAAAAAAGUAGAAAAAGGAAUAAGUAUAAUGAUAAUUUGAUUCUUCCUCAAUGCUAUAGUAAAUAGGAGAAAAAUUAGAGUUUUUUCUUCACCUUAAAAUAAAAGAGAGUAAGCUAUGACGCGUUUACUAAAAAAAUCCUUGUGUGGGAGAAUGACGGGAACUUAACUUGACAUGAUGGAUUGAACCCACUGGAUUCACAAUCCACUUGGCUACAGCUGCCCCUCUACUCUAUUUUUAUAUAUAUAUUUUUUCAUAUUCGAAGUUCCAAAAUUAGUCACCGAACACCUCCUAGAGGUACUUUCACUGCUUAAAAACAAUUUUUUUUGUAAGUGCAUCGCAACCCAAAAUGCGCCUUAUACACACACGUUCACUCGUGCUAGUUCCAGCAAAGCCUUACUUGACAUGUAUAAUUAUAGAUAUACACCGCUUAAUAAAACUACUAUAUAUAAUUGGACUAUCAAAGCUUAGCCCUACAACCCCUCCCUCCUCCUGAAGCCAUUCUUCAAUAUCACGAAGAAAAAAUGUCAAAAUUAUCUUUCUCGUUAUGCCUCAUUCUUGCAACAAUUUUUGUGGUCGUUGUGAACGGCUCCGAAAGUGAGGUUGGGAUCUAUGAGCUCAAGAAAGGAGAUUUUUCAUUGAAGGUGACAAACUUUGGUGCUCGGAUAAUAUCCCUCGUUCUCCCUGACAAGAACGGUACUUUUCAUUUCCUCCUUUUACAUAUACUACAAUGUUCUCAUGGUAAACUCCCAGCUGAUUCUGCACAUCUUUUUCCAACUUGUUCAGGAAAGCCCACAGAUGUUGUUCUUGGCUAUGAUUCUGUUAAAGAAUAUUUGGUGAGUAACUUAAAAAUUUUGUAGCUUCUAUUAGAUUUUUAUGGAAGUUUUCUCUUCUGAGAGGUUUGGAUGUGGAGAGGAUUAUCUUCUGCUGCACUUGACUUUCCAUCUUUAUCUCUUUAUCUUCAUUUCCCUGCAUUAUGCAGAAUUCAGGAAUGAAUAAUUUCUGUAGGGACCUUUGCUUUUUAUUUUUUUUAAUUAUUAUUUUUUUGGGUUUUCUCUGUCUUUUGGUCAUCCUUCAGUCUUGAGAAGUCAAAAAUGGACGGUUUUUUUUUUGUAGGGUAUAGAGGUUUAAAGAACUUGGUCACCCCGUGGGGCACAUUUGGCUUUUGAUUUAGUUUUACUUUAUUUUUUGGUUGCCAAGAUAAAAUUGGUCACCUCGUCGGGCACAUUUGACCUUUUCUUUUUUGGGCUGCCCAUAUAAAAUUCCUUCUUACACACACAGUUUGUACAGAAUUUACAGAGAAGAGGAAUGAAUUGGAUAGUACAUAUAAAAAGAGAGUAUAUAAGUGAGAAAUUCUAGAUUCGAAACCUUUCACUUGUAUUGAAAAACAAAAAAUCAGUAUUCAUAAUGAACAACAAUGGAUCCGAAUAUUUAGCACGAAUUCCCGACUGCAUUUUAUUUUUUAAUCUUUUCUGCUUUCUUAGCUGGAUCUUGCCCUUAAAAGAACACAUGACGAUUGUCAAUUGCAGUCUAUCUCAAGAUUCACUGGGUCUAGCUAGCAGAGACAGACCCCCGAGGGGGAUGGGGGAAGCCGCCCCCACAACUUCUAAAAAUUUGGACCUAUUUAUUUUUAAGUGAUAUUAUUUUGUCCCCAAUUUUAAGAUAAGUUAUUUUUUAUUUCCUUCUUCUUUAUUAAUGUUAGUAAACAAUCAUUAGUAGCUAAUAUAGGCUGUAUAGCUUUUGAACAGCAACUAAUUAAAGAAACAUAAUUUAUUUUUAUGUAAGUCUACAAUAAACUAACUCCUAAUGUAAGAUUGACUUGAAUUAAAAAAAGUUAGAAAACUAAUCCCAAAAUGUAAGGUUGAAUUAGAUUCAAGAGGAAAAAAAAGCAGGAGUAUUGGUUAAAAACAAAAACAAAAUGUACAGCUUUUUAAUGUGUUAUAAGUGCUUAUCAUUGCCAACUCUAUUGAGGCUUUUAAUAAUGAUGUUCUUGCUUAUAUAUUGAUCAGAUGAUAUUGUGAAAGAAAUAAUUCGAUAAAAAUGAUAUGGGUCUGUCAUCUUGAUAGAGAUGGUUCUACUUCGUCCGAUAUUUAUUUUAGUAUCUGGAACAUGGAUUUUUAUAAGAAUAGAUUAAGAAAUAUUUGAACUAUGAUUCAAUAAUUGUUGUAUUUGAUCAAACGAAGGAUAUAAAACAUAGGCUCGCAUCCCUUGUAUUAUGAGGAAAUGAAAUGAUUAAAAAGUCUAAUUUUGAUACCUUGUCUUUUACAACUAAAAACAUCUUAUUGCUAGUUAGUGUAAAACUUUCAUUUUAAGUUUUUUUUUUAUACUUUAUAUGCUAAAUAUUGUUUUAUUAUAUGUUUGACUAGUGGUCCCCCAACUUAAAACCCUGGGUCCAUCAUUGCUUGCUAGAUUAUGUUUUUAAAUUUGAAAAUCCUCAUCAUAAUUGUUUUGUUCCCUUUAGCUUUUGUUCUCAGCAUCUCCGCGUUGGGAAUACUUGGGAUACUUGCCUUUCUUUUUUGGGUGUGGGGAAGGGUUGAAUUUUCUUAUAGAGGCAACUCGUGAAUUGCUGCAUAGAGAUGCUUCAUCCAAUGACCAUUAAUUUUUAGUUAAAUGUUUUGUCUAUUAUGUUGACUUGGAGGUCCUUCUUUUAAUGUUGAAAAGUACUCCCACAUCAUGAAUAGGAAAAAAAUUAAUUAUAGGGUAAAUUACUAAUAAUCUCCUUAUGAUUUUGCAUAUUUUCACGUAACUUCUCAAAUUUACUCGUGUAGUUUUAUGUAAAAUGGUAAACAGCCUCUUUAACAUCUUUAGUUAAAUGCUAGUAUAACCUUUAAUUAAAUACUAUAUACAAUGAGGAUUUAACCACCAUGUAUGACUAUGUUAAUAUAUGUAAAAUUGCAAGAGGUCGAGUGAAUAUUUAUGCAAUUUUAUAGGAGAGCUAAGUGGACAUUAUAAUUCCAUCACAUGUAUUUUUUGAGCGUGUCUAGGUCAAUGUUAAUCAAAUAUACCUUCAAUUCAUUUUUCACUUUAUAUAAAAUUUUGGACAGUUACGUGAAUAUUUUAAAAUGUUAGCGAGUCAUAUGGCAAGUGAUUUAGUAUUUAUCAUAGUAGCUACUACUUAUUUGGUUUAAGCCCAUGGCAUUAAGCUAUAUGUCUCAAAGCACCCGUUCGAUGUCGCUUUAGGUAGAACGAUGAUACAGACGUAUAAACUUCUGUCUGGACAUGCAAUCUUACAUCCCAUGUUUCUAUCAUUUUCGCUAACAAAUUGUUCAGUAGGCCAAUUUUCUUCCUUUAGGCCAGUUUCUUAAAAAUCCAUAAAAAUUCCCUGCAGAAUGAUACACAAUACUUUGGAGCUAUUGUUGGCCGGGUUGUUAAUCGGAUUGGUGGUGCUCAGUUCACUCUAAACGGAGUUCAUUAUAAGCUUGAUGCUAAUGAGAAACCAAACAUGCUUCAUGGUAAUUUACUCCCAGCUAUAACACAUGUAAAUUUGAGUCAUCAACUUUAACCACUGACUCUGUCUGUGGAUGCUAUGUAUCGUGAGGGAAACAGGUGGUAGAAAAGGAUUUAGCCUGCUCACUUGGAAGGUGGAGAAAUACGUGAAAGAUAAGGCCAAUCCUUUCAUUGUACUGUCCUAUUACAGUCAUGAUGGAGAAGAAGGAUUCCCUGGAAAUCUCCUGGUUAGAGUGACCUAUGCUCUACUUGAACCAUACAAACUGAGCGUAAUAAUGGAAGCGGAAGCCCUGAACAAGGCUACUCCUGUGAAUCUAGCACAACACAGUUACUGGAAUCUUGGAGGCCAUAACAGUGGUGAUGUCCUCUCGGAUACAGUCCAAAUAUUCGGCUUACACUACACGCCUGCGAACAACCAGCUCAUCCCGACUGGAGAAAUCUUACCUGUUAAAGGAACCCCGUACGAUUUCUUGAAGCCCCACAAAAUUCAAAGCCAGAUGAAAGGACUUCCGAGGGGCGGAGCUCCAUCUGGUUAUAAUGUGAAUUAUGCCCUUGAUGAAGGCAAGGACCAAAAGCUGAAGCUCGCAGCAAUUGCGUACAGUAAGAAGACUGGUAUUGGGAUGAGGAUAUCAACAAGUGCUCCAGGUCUGCAGUUUUACACGGCUAAUUACUUGAACAAUGUGACAGGAAAAGGUGGAUAUGUUUAUCAGUCACAUGCAGCAUACUGUUUUGAGACUCAAGGAUUCCCUGAUGCAGUGAACCAUCCAAAUUUUCCCUCAACAAUCGUUAAUCCAGGAGAUCUUUAUGUGCACUACAUGUUGGUUGAAUUCAAAAUCAAACAAAAAUAAGAGCUCGACUAAUGUACACUGCACCCGAAGAGCAAUUGAAGCUGCCCUGAUUUGAAUCAGCAAAUAAAUGAGACACAUUUUCAUGUUAAACACUGCUCUGUUACUUUAACCAUUACCUAACCUGUCGAUGGAUUCUAUCAAACAUAUAAUAUUUAGAUAUCUGCAUUCAUUCAGCAUACCUUAGAAUUAAACAGAUGCUAUUAGCAAUUUAGGAAUUCCAAUGGCUCCUCAAGAGGAAUUAGGAUAUAUGGAAGAAUCUCUAAUUUCACAGAGUAUUGAAAGGAUUGGAAAGAAGGAAUAGUAGUUCCAAUAGACUAGCGGCCUGAUAAAUCCAUGGAGUCCAUCCAAUGGGCAUUUGCACAGACCUUUCAGUGAAAAGGCCUUCAUUUUCCACUUUCUAGCAUACUAUUGUGAUGUUCUGGAUUCUGGGUCUACCAACAUUCCUUUAAUGAAACUGUCCAAUGUGUCUUUAGGAUUCUUUAUUACAGUAGUUGCCAUAGUUUUCCUUAGUAAUUUUAUCAUUUUCCUAUUCUCUAGUUGCUUCAUGUAUUGUUUUUUACUCUUAAAGCGGCUUCAUCUGGCUUGGAAAUUCAGAGCAGUUUAGUGGAUCAUGUUGUCUCGGAUAUUUCCGCGGAGGAACUUGCCAUUUCACAAAAAAUGUAGUGCCAAAAAGUCCCUCGAAGGAUGUCAGGAAUAGGGACUCAAUUGCAAUUGGACUAGAAGUUGGAGGGGCAUUAGUGUAAAUUGGUGUUGGAGCCAAAAUUGUUAAAAGUUAGUUAUAACCGUCUGCUGAAGGAGUUAGUUAGUCAUUUCCAUUUCUGUACAAGCAAGAUUCUGAUUCAUCAUUGGGGGGGGGGGGUAGGGUAUAAAUCGAAGCCAGUGUAAUGGAUUUGGACACGAAAAAUAUUACCAUUGAUUCCUUCCCAAUUCUUUCUCUCUCUUUCUCCCUCUUUCUCUCUGCCUCUCUUCUCUGCCUUUCCCUCUCAUUUCUUCUUCUUGUUCAUUCAAACCUUUCCCACGCCUGCUGGUCUCAACCUUUCCUUCAUCCUAUUGCUGAGAGCCUGACAAAUUGGUAUCAGAGUUGACCGAUCCUUGGCUAGCUCCUGAAAUCCAAAUGGCAGAAAGUACUCGAUUCAAAACACUGGAGGAUCAUCUCAAGAAGCAAGAACAGAAGCUGCAGGAACUAAUAGAUGAUGUCAGAAGUAUUCAGUAGCAAGUGAAAAAGGAAAUGAUAGGAAGAGAUCAACGUAUGGAUUCGAUUGUGAUUGGAAUGGAGCAGAAGUUCGAAGCACUCAGUUCGAUGAUGCAGACACUGCUGAUCAAGGAAAAGAGUACAGGUGAUGAGGCUAAGAUGGGGAGAGAUCGAACACCAUUACUGCCAACACCACCUAGUCAUCAGAGAUUAGAUCUGGAAGCAGAUACUGAGGCAAAGGAUUGUGAAUUUUUGGGAAAGAUCUCUGGCCACUCCCUUCCUAAGCUUGAAUUGCACAUGUUCAGUGGAGAGAAUCCAUGUGAGUGGAUCAGGAAAUGCAACAAAUAUUUCAUGUUGCAUAGAAUCCAGGAAGACCAUAAGCUACUGGUAGUGGAGAUGUUUUUGGAAGGGAAGGUUGAUAUGUGGUUUCAGGGAGUCAAGUUGGAGAAACAGCGGUUGUCAUGGAGAGAAUUUGAGGAAUUGCUUUGUCAGAGGUUCAAGGGGACCUGUUGUAGGGAUAUUGUGGAGGAAUUCAACAAAUUGCAGCAGACUAGUACAGUGGAGGCCUAUCAGGAGAAGUUUGAAGAACUGAAGACACUGAUGCUGAUCCAAAAUCCCAACCUGAGUGAAGAAUACUUCAUUUCCAGCUUUACCAGUGGCCUUAGGGAAGAAAUUAAACCUAUGGUGCGAAUGCUCAGGCCAAACACCCUCUCUGGAGUUGUAGAGAUAGCCCAUCUGCAAGAGCAAGCCCUUAAAUUGCAAGGGAGGACAGUGAAGGCGGGUAACAAGGUAAUGGCUGAACCAAGGUAUGGAAUUUACAGACAUCCUACAGCUAUGAAUGGUGGAGUCAGCACUUAUAAAUUACCUCAGACCAACGCACCAAAACUAGAGACUAAGAAACCUGAAUUUAAGAGGUUAUCCCCACAAGAAGUGCAGUAUAGAAGGAACAAUGGCUUGUGCUUUAAGUGUGGAGAAAAGUUUGGAGUUGGACAUCAAUGUAGGAUGAAGCACUUGAAUUUCAUGUUGUAUGAGGAAGAGGAGGAUACAGAAUUCCAAGAUGUGUUAGGGGAACAGGAUGAAUUGACUGGAAAUCCAGGGAAAUCAGUAGAGGUAUCUCUCAAUGCACUCUCAGAUUCUCUCAGGCGAAACACAAUCCUGUUGCAAGGGCAAUUAGCAGGGAGAAAUGUAAAAAUCUUGGUAGAUACUGGGAGCAGUGAUAGUUACAUCCACCACAAACUUGUAUCUGCACUAAAAAUUUCGCUUGAGCAUGUUAAACCAUUCACAGUCACCAUGGGAGAUGGGAGUUUGGUGACCAGUGGGGCUCAGUGCCCACAAGUCUUAUGGAAUAUCCAGAAUUAUAGGUUCAGUUUUGACCUCAUGAUUAUGGAAUUGGGGAACUGGGAUCUCAUCGUAGGGGUAGACUGGAUGUGUGUUGUGACUGUCCUGACUAGGAACGAAGGGGGAGAUACAGAAGGAAAAAGGGGAAAGAGAGACUUGGGAGAGAAGAUAGAGAAUACAGAGGAGAAAAGGAAUUGAAUUUGGUUGUAUCUUAUUGCCUGCCUUGCAUCUCACCCUUAGGUGUAUUUAUACAGGUUCCAUUCUUUAGAUCCUUCCGUAGCUAUAACAGAAUGCUCAACAGAAAAGAUCCUGCAUACCUGUAUGCCAUGCAGUAACGAUUCAACUAACUCAUCUGAUAUGCCAACUAACUUCUAAAAAAGGAAAUCAUGCCCUCUACAUUCUCUGCUGCAAAUAUCUAGGGAAAUAUCUAACUAUCUAGAGAAAAUAUCUAGGAUCAUUACAAUACCUCCCCCUCAAGAAUCCUAGUCACUAGGAUUGAGUUGGAAAUCUGGAAACUGUGAUCGUAUCACAGUGAUAUCCUCCCAAGUUGCAUCUUCAGCGCCUAGGUUCAACCACUUGAUCAGCACCUGAGUCACCUUCUGCCUCUUUCGUAUGAUAUCAUGAGUAGCGAUAACACUCUCAGGGGCAAUUUUAAUCUGUCCAUCUGUGGUAGUUAAGGGCAGCUCCUGAGUCACCGCAUGAUCUUUGGCUGAGGCCUUGAGCAGGGAGACAUGGAAGGUAGGGUGGAUCAAGGAACCAGCAGGUAACUCCAACCUAUAAGCCAUAUUACCUACCCUCUGAAGAAUCUUGUAAGGGCCAUAAUAUUUGGGAGAUAAUUUCAGAUUCUUUCUGACUGCCACAGACGUUUGUCUAUAAGGUUGCAGCUUCAAGUAGACACAAUCUCCAACUUGGAAACUUCUUUCACUCCUGUUUUUGUCAGCAAACUGCUUCAUUCGAUUCUGAGCUUUGAUUAAAUUUUCCUUCAGCAGCUCAUUCCAAUUCCUCCUGUCCCCUAGCCAUUGCUCCACUGCAGCCACUGGGGUCUCCAAGGCAUUGAUACCCAACUGAGAUGGUGGAUAAUCAUAUAGUGCUUGGAAGGGAGUCAUUUUUAAGGCUGUGUGAUGGUUGGUAUUGUACCACCAUUCUGCAGCAGCUAACAAGGACUUCCAUUUGUGAGGUUGCUGGAAACACAAGCACCUCACGUAUGUCUCCACACACCUGUUCAAUCUUUCUGUCUGCCCAUCUGUCUGGGGAUGGUAGGUAGUAGAGUAAUGCAGCUCAGUGCCUAGUUUCCCAAACAACUCCUGCUAGAAUAGGCUAGUAAACAGCCUAUCCCUAUUAGAUACAAUGCUUAGUGGCAAUCCAUGCAACUUAUAGAUGUUAUCAAAAUAUAUGUUAGCCACAGACUGUGCUGUAUACUUGGGUGGUAGUGCUAGGAGGUGGCAAUACUUAGUAAACCUGUCGAUGACAACUAGCAUUCCUUCAUAUCCUUGGAAUUUAGGUAACCCUUCAAUGAAAUUCAUUGAGAUGUGCUGCCAUGCUUGUUCAGGAAUAGGUAGAGGCUGUAGCAAUCCUGGUGUCUUGCAAUUUUCUACCUUGCUCCUCUUAUAAACAUCACACUGCUGUACCCAUUUUUCUACUUCUCUCUUCAUUCCUGGCCAGAAGAAGGGACCCUUCAAUCUUUGAUAGGUUCCCAGGUUGCCUGAGUGACCCCCAAUAUGAGAGUCAUAAAAGCAGGAUAUCAGUUUCUGUCUCAAGUUUCCUGAGAAACUAACGUACACCCUGCCCUUAUACCUGAGUAAUUUCCCCAGUAAAAGACUAAUUUGGAAAGGAAUCAGGUGUUGUAGUCAGGCCUCCAGUCAACUUAGUCACAUUAUCAUCCCCGUUGUAACUCUCCAGGACCUCAGACAGCUAUGCAGGUUUCAUGACUGAGAUGCUGUGUAUAGAAAUGUCCUCUUCAUAGCCUCUUCUGGAUAGUGCAUCAGCUACCAAGUUCUCAUUUCCCUUCUUAUACUGUAUUUCGUAAUCCAGCCCUAACAACUUAGUGAGCCAUUUUUGCUGUAGGGGAGUGGUUAUCUUCUGCUCUAGUAGGUACUUUAAGCUCUAGUGAUCUGUCUUUAUGAUGAAAUGGCUUCCUAACAGGUAAUGUCUCCACUUGGAAACAGCUAUAAUAAGGGACAACAACUCCUUCUUGUAUAUGGACAGUCCCAGGUUCUUAGGUCCCAGAGCUUGACUGAGAUAGGCAAUAGGCCUUCCCUGCUGCAUUACGACUGCACCAAUUGCCUUACGACUAGCAUCUGUUUCCAGAACAAAAGGUAAAGAAAAAUUAGGAAGUGUUAGGACUGGUGUACUGCUCAUUAGCUGCUUCAGUUUUUGAAAAGCUAGCUCAGCCUGUUCAUUCCAGUGGAAGUUUUCCUUCUUCAAUAGUUCAGUAAGUGGCUUGGCAAUAAGUCCAUAUCCCCUCACAAACCUCCUGUAGUACCCCGUCAGUCCUAAAAAACCUCUCAAUGCUUUCACUGAUAUAGGGGUAGGCCAAUCCAUCAUGCUUUUGAUUUUUGAGGGAUCUGCCUGCACUCCAUCUCCACUGAUAACAUGUCCCAAAUAUUCUACUUGAGACUGUUCAAAGAUGCAUUUGGAAAGCUUGGCAAAAAGAGAGUGAGCUUUGAGUGUUUCUAGGACAGUUUUGAGGUGCAAAAGAUGAGUGUCUGGAUCUAGGCUGUAUACAAGGAUGUCAUCAAAGAAUACUAACACAAACUUCCUCAGGUAAGGUUCAAAGACAUGGUUCAUCAGGUUUUGAAAGGUUACGGGUACAUUAGUAAGACCAAAGGGCAUAACAGUGAACUCAUACAAUCCAAGGUGAGUUUUGAAAGCCGUUUUUGGAAUGUCAGCAGGGAACAUUCUGAUCUGAUGGUAUCCAGCUCUUAGAUCUAUUUUAGAAAAGAGCUUGGCUCCAUACAAUUCAUCAAGUAAAUCAUCAAUGAUAGGUAUUGGAAAUUUAUCCUUGAUAGUCAAGUCAUUUAGUUGUCUGUAAUCAACACAAAAUCUCCAAAUUCCAUCUUUUUUUUAACUAAUAGAACUGGAGAGGCAAACGGGCUAUGGCUAAGAUGGAUAAUACCACUAUUGAGCAUGUCCCUUACUUGUCUUUCUAUUUCAUUUUUUUGGUUGUGAGGGUACCUAUAAGGUGCUAUCUUGAAAGGUUUGGCAUUAGGUACUAGGGGAAUUUGAUGGUCAUAGUUUCUGGAAGGGGGAAGGGACUGUGGUUCUCCAAAUACGACUUUGUAGUCUUCAAGUAGAGUACCUAGGGAUUGUUGAAAAUUAGUGUCCAGCUAAGUGACAGUGUUUACCUGAGUCUCAUUCAUUCUCAGUCCACAUGCAUGCUUCCAAAUUCUGGUACUCCAUCCCUUCUUCUCAGCCUUAUCACUAGGAAGUUUGAGAACAGUCUCCUUAGAUUCUCCAUGCAAAAGAAUCCUCUCCCCUUUCUCAUCAAAGGACAUGUUCGGCUGCUUGAAGUCAAAGGUGAUGGGGCUGUGUGCAGCCAUCCAGUCUACCCCUAUGAUCACAUCAUACGGCUCCAGGUUAAUGACAAAUAUAUCAUGAGUGAACUGUUUACCUUGCAUUUUCCAGCUCAUGUUUGGAAUCAUCUUGUCGCAGGUCAAGUACUCCCCAUUGGCCACCCUGACCCUGAAAGGCUUGAUAGACUAGACCAGCUCUGGGUGGAGUUGUGCCACAGAAUCUUUGACAAAACUAUGAGUGCUUCCUCCAUCGACCAGGAUUGAUAGUGGAGUUCCUUUGAACCUCCCUUGCAGCUUGAUGGUGUUGUAAGUCAUUUUCCCAGUUAAUGCAUGUAUCUCCAUUUCUACACCCUUGGCCGAUUGUGCUCCUUUAUACUCGAUCAUCUCCCCUUCCACCAAAUCAUCAGGACUGUCUUCUAUUGCUACAUUCAGAUGGAUUUCAUUCUGCUUACAUUGGUAGCCUGGACCAAACUUCUCCCCACACUUAUAGCAAAGAUGGUGCUCUCUCCUGUACUGCAGCUCUGCUGGUGUGAUUUUCCUGAAGUUUUGAGGAUUCUGUUUCUUGAUAGCAUUGGCAAUAGCAGGCUUGGUAUGAGGCGCGGUAUACUGAGCAACAGUCUAUGUAGUACUCCCUGAAAAAAGGGAUUUUUGGAGAGGUUUGUGCUUCUUGUGGUAAGCUUCAAAGGCAUUCUUUUGCAAUCUGGCCAGCUCAAAUGCUUUGGAUAAAGUCUUAGGGUCGUGAGUCUUCACCAUUGAUCUUAGCUCAUCUGGUAGUCCACUUAAAAAACAUGAAAUGUAAUAAUUUUCUGGAAGGAGAGGUGCUCGACUCAUUACCUCAGAGAGUAGCUCCUCAAAUUUUUCCUGGUAAGCUAGGACUGUGGUGGAGAGCUGCAAUUUAUUGAAUUCCUCCACUGGAUCCAUUUGCCCCAAUGUUCCAAAAUGCUUGCACAAUUCUCCCGAAAACUCCAUCCAAUCCACCUUGUUACCUCUAGUAGACUUGAAGCCUUGAUACCACACCUCUGCUUUACCUUCUAAAUGGAAUUCUGUUAGCUCCAUCCACUGCUCUGAUGGAAUGUGUAGAAACUGGAAAUACCUCUGAAGUUUUCUAAUCCAUUCUCUGGGAUUGUCUCCUUUGAACGCUGGAAUUUCCAAUUUAGGUGCGCUAGCAUGGAAGGUACUCUUGACAUUCCUCUCUCCUUGCUCUCGAGUCCCCAUGUCUGAGCUCCUGGAGUGACUUCCCUCUGGAGAGCCCAAUAUUCCUUUCUCAGAAUUCCCUCGAUUCACACUGGAGAGCUGCUGAGAAAUGGCCACCAUGAAUGCAUCUAAUUUAUUGCUCAGCUCCACGCUUAUUGCAUCCAACCUAUCUUCCAUAAUUUGUUUGUCUGUUGCAUUGGAUUCCAGAAUUCCUUGGAGUCUGCUGUCUUGCCUGCGUAGCUGUUCUUCCAUGGUCUUCAUUCGAGUUCCAUCUGCCAUUGAGUUAUAGUGAUUUCAGCUUCCUAGUCCAAGGACCGAAAGCUCUGAUACCACUGUUGUGACUGUCCUGACAAGGAACGAAGGUGGAGAUACAGAAGGAAAAAGGGGAAAGAGAGACUUGGGAGAGAAGAUAGAGAAUACAGAGGAGAAAAGGAAUUGAAUUUGGUUGUAUCUUAUUGCUUGCCUUGUAUCUCACCCUUAGGCGUAUUUAUACAGGUUCCAUUCUCUAGAUCCUUCCGUAGCUAUAACAGAAUGCUCAACAGAAAAGAUCCUGCAUGCCUGCAUGCUAUGGAGUAACGAACUAACUAACUCAUUUGAUAUGCCAACUAACUUCUAAAAAAGGAAAUCAUGCCCUCUACAUUCUCUGCUGCAAAUAUCUAGGGAAAUAUCUAACUAUCUAGAGAAAAUAUCUAGGAUCAUUACAAUGUGUAACUAUAGCCCUAUCACUUUUGACUUUCACCAGCUUAAAAUAUCCAUGUGCCACUAGGGAGAGGUUGUCACCUUGCAUGGGGCAGUGAGUGAUGCAACAAUGGAGUUGGUUAGGAGGAAGGACCUCAGAGGAUUUUUGCAAGCCAAGAGGAGGUGUUGUGCUACUUCUGCACAGAUAGGCAAUGUAACUGUAAAAGGAAUACCAGGGUCAAUCACAGCACUAUUGGACAAGUUUCCAGAGGUUUUCCAAGAGCCUACUCAACUACCACCAAACAGGAGUUUGGAUCACCAGAUUCCUGUCCAACCUGGAGCACAGGCAAUCAAAAUGAAACCUUAUAGGUAUCCCCACUCGCAGAAAACAGAAAUUGAGAGACAGAUAGCUGAUAUGUUGAGUUCUGGAAUCAUUAAGCCAAGUAACAGCCCUUAUGCCUCCCCAGUACUACUAGUCAAGAAGAAGGAUAACACUUGGCGUUUCUGCGUGGACUAUAGACACUUAAAUGACUAGACCAUCAAAGACAGAUACCUUAUACCCAACAUUGAGGAACUCUUGGAUGAACUGCAUGGGACCAGAUUCUUUUCAAAAAUUGAUCUCAGGUCAGGAUACCAUCAGAUUAGAGUGAAAUUGGAGGACACACACAAGACUGUCUUUCAAACUCACCAAGGCCAUUAUGAAUUCUUAGUAAUGCCUUUCGGAUUAACAAAUGCACCUGCAACAUUUCAAGCCCUGAUGAACCAGGUGUUUGAGCCUUUUCUGAGGAAGUUUGUCUUGGUGUUCUUUGAUGACAUACUGAUCUAUAGCACUAGUUUGGAACUCCAUCAGGAACACCUGCAACAGGUGUUGGAAGUGCUCAGGAAUCACCAACUAUAUGCCAAGCUCUCUAAGUGUUCCUUUGCUCAGCAAGAGGUAGAGUAUCUGGGUUAUGUGGUCUCUAAUAGAAGGGUACAUAUGGACAUAAACAAGGUGGAUUGUAUUUUGUCCUGGCCUUCCCCUAAGUCUGUGAAAGAACUUAGAGGAUUUUUGGGACUCACAGGGUACUACAGACGUUUUAUUAAGGGAUAUGGAGCAAUCAGCAAACCCCUAACCAAUUUACUCAAGAAGGAUGCCUACAAUUGGAGCACAGAGGCACAAGAGGCCUUUAACCAGCUUAAGAAAGCCAUCAGUAGUGCACCGGUGCUAAGGCUCCCUAACUUUGACAUUCCUUUUGUAGUGAAAACUGAUGCCAGUGGUCAGGGCAUGGGAGCUGUACUACUGCAGGAAGGACAUCCCAUAGCUUUUGUCAGUAAAGCAUUUUCUCUUAAGAAUAUGGGAUUGUCUGUUUAUGAGAAAGAACUAAUGGCAUUGGUUUUGCAGUCACCAAGUGGAAACACUAUCUGGUAGGGAACCACUUCAUUAUCAAGACAGAUCAUAAGUCACUUAAGUUUUUGUUAGAACGGAGAUUAACUACCACUGCACAGUACAAAUGGCUAACCAAGUUGCUGGGCUUGGUUUAUGAGAUUCAAUAUAAGAAGGGCUCUGAGAACACAGUUGCUGAUGUAUUGUCUAGAAGAGUUACCCCUGACUACUUGUCUGAGCAGCAACAACUCAUGGCAAUAACCACAGCUCAGCCUGUAUGGAUGCAAGAACUGUAGGAUAGUUACUUUGCAGACCAACAGUGCCAGAACCUACUGAGUCAGCUACUACUGGACCUUGAACCACAGAAUUCUGAUUUCAGACUCAACCAGGGGGUACUCAAGUAUAAAAGGAGGUUGUAUGUGGGAGAUAGUCAGGAGAUUAAACAGAAGAUAAUCAAAACCAUGCAUGAGUCCCCUAUUAGAGGUCAUUCUGGCCAAAGAGCCUGUGCUCAAAGACUGCAGAGCAUGUUUUAUUGGCUCGGGAUGAAGAGGGACAUUAUUUAUUUUGUGCAGGGAUGUGAGGUGUGCCAGAGGAACAAGAGUGAGCAUGUGCCUUAUCCUGGGCUGUUGCAGCCUCUUCCUAUACCAACUUAGGCUUGGUCACACAUCACCAUGGAUUUCAUAGAGAAGUUACCUAGUUCCAAAGGCUUUGAUACCAUUUUGGUGGUCAUAGACAGACUGACAAAAUUUGGUCACGUUAUAGCCCUUUCACAUCCCUUCUUAGCAGCACAAGUGGCUCAAGUUUUCUUGGACCAUAUCUAUAAGCUACACGGUCUGCCUGAAUCUAUUGUAACAGAUAGAGACAGAAUUUUUACUAGUAAAUUCUGGCAAGAGCUGUUCAAGUUGGCUGGAACUGAGCUACACUAUAGCUCUUCUUACCAUCCUGAGACAGAUGGUCAGAGUGAGAGGCUUAAUCAGUGCCUGGAGGCUUACUUGAGGUGUAUGACAGGUGAAAAUCCAACUCAAUGGAGUCACUGGUUAAGCCUGGCAGAACUUUGGUACAAUACUUCCUACCACACUAGCCUAGGAGCUACCCCAUUUGAGGCUCUCUAUGGCUAUAAGCCACUGUCCCUACCUAUGGGACCUUACUAAGACACUGUGAUACCAGCAGCCACCAAUAUGCUGCAAACUAGAGCUCAAAUGCUGCAGAGGAUUAAGGAGCAUCUGCACCAAGAUGAAGGUGUUUGCUGACAAACACAGGACAGAAAGGCAGUUUGUAGUAGGGGAUUGGGUUUUUCUCAAGUUGCAGCCAUAUCGCCAACAAUCUAUAGCAAUCAGGAAGAGUUUGAAGUUCGCUGCAAAAUUUUAUGGACCUUUUCAAAUCAUAGAGAAGAUCAGUGCUGUGGCUUACAAGCUCCAACUACCAGCAGGAGCCGAAAUCCACCCAGUGUUCCAUGUCUCCCUUCUUAAACCAAAAUUGGGGCCACAUCAAGCUACUAAUCCUAUGCUUCCAGAACUUGACCACCAAGAUCAAUGCUUAUUGCAGCCUGCUGCCAUUCUACAAAGGAGGGUCAUCAUGCAGAAUGGUGCUCCUGUUAUCCAAUACCUCAUCAAGUGGCAUCAACUGGGAGAAGAAGAAGCAUCAUGGGAAGAUCAAUCCUUUAUCAAUAGCCAAUUUCCAAAUUUCCAGCCUUGAGGACAAGGCUGCCUUUAAGGAGAGGGUAUUGUCAGGAAUAGGGACUCAAUUGCAAUUGGACUAGAAGUUGGAGGGGCAUUAGUGUAAAUUGGCAUUGGAGCCAAAAUUGUUAAAAGUUAGUUAUAACCGUCUGCUGAAGGAGUUAGUUAGUCAUUUCCAUUUCUGUACCAGCAAGAUUCUGAUUCAUUAUUGGGGAGGUAUAAAUCGAAGCCAGUGUAAUGGAUUUGGACAAACGAAAAAUAUUACCAUUGAUUCCUUCCCAAUUCUCUCUCUCUCUUUCUCCCUCUUUCUCUCUGCCUCUCUCCUCUGCCUUUCCCUCUCAUUUCUUCUUCUUGUUCAUUCAAACCUUUCCCACGCCUGCUAGUCUCAACCUUUCCUUCAUCCUAUUGCUGAGAGCCUGACAAAGGACCAAUCCUAGGCCGAAUCAGUUGAGGACCCUGGGCCUGAUCCUAUACAGGAUAGCCCCGGAUGGUCCUCCUUGUGCCUAGCUGGGUGGGCUCUACAACUACAAGAGCACCAAGCCAGAUGUUGGACUGGCUCUACGUUCGCCACUAACAUCUUUUAGUAUUUUUAAAGAUUUUUUGCUGUUUUAUUUCUUUAAAUAUUCUUACUGCUCUUAAUUUGCCGAUAUUGUCCUGGAUUAACUUUUUAUACACUAAUGGUAUAAUGGUUUUUUUACACUAGUAACUUUAGAUGUAUAUCAUAUAUAUAUGAUUUAAAUUUCAAAUUUGAAUUUAUAUUAUGUGACAUAAUCCAAACGUACUAAUGUAAAAGAAAAAUUAUACACUGAAAGUAUAUAAAAAAAAAUUAUCCAUAUUCUUCUUUGUGAAAAUGCUAUCCAUUUCACCACUACUUUGAUUGAUACAAUCAAUUAGGAUGCAUUUGAUAAAAUUGAAGUCUAAAAAUUUGAAAUCUGAAAUCUGAAUCCAUUAAGUUAUUGAAUAGUUAAGUAUUAAAUUUGAUACAUUUGAAUAUAUAUCAUAUUAAGUAACAAGUGAAUAACUUAUCACUCAUUUUUGGGACUAAGUUUUGCUUAGAAAAUUCAAUAUCAUAUAAUUAAUUCAGAUGUUCUAUUUUUUAUUAUCAAGUGCAACUGAAUAUAUUAAAAUCUGAAUCCAUUAAGUUUAAGUGCUGAAUUGAAUUAUCAAACAGGGCUUAGUCAAUUUUGUGUUGUUAAAAAGCAAUUUAGCUAAGUUAUACACAAAUACCAUAAUUGUUUGGUUAUGGUUCCUUUUCUAGUAUAGGAAAGUCGUUUUGACCAUUAAUUUUUAGUUAAAUGUUUUGUCUAUUAUGUUGACAUGGAGGUCCUUCUUUUAAUGUUGAAAAGUACUCCUACUUCAUGAAUACGAAAAAUAUUAAUUAUAGGGUAAAUUACUAGUAAUCUCCCUAUGAUUUUGCAUAUUAUCACAUAACUUCUCAAAUUUAUUCGUGUGGUUUUAUGUAAAAUGGUAAACAGCCUCUUUAACAUCUUUAGUUAAAUGCAAACCUUUAAUUAAAUACUAAAUAAAAUGAGGAUUUGACCAGCAUGUAUGACUAUGUUAAUAUAUGUAAAAUUGCAAGAGGUUAAGUGAAUAUUUAUGCAAAUUUAUAGGAGAGCUAAGUGGACACUAUAAUUCCAUCACAUUCAUUUUUGAGCGGGUCUAGGUCAAUAUUAAUCAGAUAUACCUUCGAUUCAUUUUUCACUUUAUAUAAAAUUUUGGACAGUUACGUGAAUAUUUUAAAAUGUUAGCGAGUCAUAUGGCAAGUGAUUUAGUAUCUAUCAUAGUAGCUGCUACUUAUUUGGUUGGUUGUAUGUCCAUGGCAUAAUGCUACAUGUCUCAAAACACCUGUUCGAUAUCGCUUUAGAUAGAACAAUGAUAUAGAUGUAUAAACUUCUGUCUGGGCAUGCAAUCUUACAUCCCAUGUUUCUAUCAUUUUCGCUAACAAAUUGUUCAGUAGGCCAAUUUUCUUUCUUUAGGCCAGUUGCCUAAAAAUCCAGAAAAAUUCCCUGCAGAAUGUUACACAAUACUUUGGAGCUAUUGUUGGCCGGGUUGUUAAUCGGAUUGGUGGUGCUCAGUUCACUCUAAACGGAGUUCAUUAUAAGCUUGAUACUAAUGAGAAACCAAACAUGCUUCAUGGUAAUUUACUCCUAGCUAUAACACAUGUAAAUUUGAGUCAUCAACUUUAACCACUGACUCUGUCUGUGGAUGCUAUGUAUCGUGAGGGAAACAGGUGGUAGAAAAGGAUUUAGCCUGCUCACUUGGAAGGUGGAGAAAUACGUGAAAGAUAAGGCCAAUCCUUUCAUUGUAUUGUCCUAUUACAGUCCUGAUGGAGAAGAAGGAUUCCCUGGAAAUCUCCUGGUUAGAGUGACCUAUGCUCUACUUGAACCAUAUAAGCUGAGCGUAGUAAUGGAAGCGGAAGCCCUGAACAAGGCUACUCCUGUGAAUCUAGCACAACACAGUUACUGGAAUCUUGGAGGCCAUAACAGUGGUGAGUUUUUUUUUUUUUUUUUUUUUUUUGUUUUUUUUCUCCCCCUCCCCCGCCACCCCUCUUCUCCCUCUCCCCUUCCCCUCCCUUCCCCCGCCACCCAUUUCCUCCCCUCUCCCACGGCACCCCCUCUGCCCGCCACCCCUCUCCUCCCCUCUCCCACGGCACCCCCUCUGCCCGCCACCCCUCUCCCCUCUCCCCAUCCCCCUUCUCUCUCCCGCCUCUGCAAAAGAAGACCGGCAUCUGAAAAUUUUUUUUUUUUUUUGCAAUUUUCCUUCUCCCCCUCUACUCCCCUUCCCCCGCCACCCUCACCCUCCCUCAGUGCAAUCUGGUCUUGCGACUAGAUCGGCCAAAGGGGAAGGGGAAGGGUGGUGGGGGAGGAGUGGGGGAGAGGGAAAGGGAGAAAAAAAAGAGAGAGAGGAUCAAAAUCGGGCAAAGUGGGAGGAUGGAAGGGGAGGAAGAGGGGGAGAGGGAGAAAGGAAAAAAAAAAAACGAAGAUAGGCACCGGAAGAGGUGAUUGGCGGCGGAGGUGGUGGCUGGCGACGGAGGUGGUGGUGGGUCGGGGUGGGGGAGGAAGAAGAAGAAAAGGGGAAGGGAAUUUUGGAUUUUUUGUGUUUUGGAUAUUUUAAAGUGUGUAGGUUAAAACUUUGAUAAGUUUUUGGGGUUUCUGUAGUAAAAGUUGUUAAAAAACUAGUAUCAUACAAACUUGGCAAAAAAUCAAGGUUCCAAACAGGCCCUUUAUUCUCUAAAGAAUCUUGUCUCUUUCUCCGUAUACCCAUUCUAGUUUAGUUUGUUUAUUUUCGGGCUAUUCUUUUUGUUUUGUCACACCAUUACAUUUAUGAUACUCACUUUUUCUAUAUAAAAGAUUUUAGUCCAUGAAAUUUGAACUAAGGGCAGAAAAUACAUCGAAUAUAUCACAAAUAUAAUAAAAUUGAAAAUUCACUAUAUUAGAUCCAGAAAAUGAUAAAAAUUACAACGUGAAACUCCAAUAUAUUCUAAAUCUAAAAAAUUCAUGAGCAAUGCAAUGAAUAUUACUGCAUGUUAGCGCCAUCAAAUUUGCUAUCCAACUAGUUUAAUCUCAAAUUUGAUGUUAAGAUAUGAUGGAGGAACCCAAGAAAUCCCACAUUUGAGAUGCAAAUCUGAAAAAAAAAAAUCUUUAAAUCUAAUAAAGAAAUGAUAAAAAUUAAAGAGAAAACUCUGACUAAAAUAUCAGGAGAAAAGAGAACUCUUAUUGAAUUACUCUAGAAGAUAGAAAAACUCUCACUAGUAAAUAUUAGGAGAGAAAAACUCUCAUAUGAUACUCUAGGAAAGACUUAUUGAAUAUAAAACAAGAGCAAAGGAAAUGAGACUCUAAUUUGAAAUCUCCCACCCACAAAAGAAAAACUAUUGAAUGGGUUUUUCAAGAGAAGGUAGAGAAUAUUUUGACUAUAGUUAUUUUCAAGAUAUGAAGGUGUACAAGUGGUGUUUAAUUUUAUGACUUGGGGGAAAGCCCACACGACAUGCAGGAGAUUAAAGCCCGUCGUUGAAGGUUGUUGGUAAUUAUCGUUUUAAGUUUUGUGUUACUGACUUUACACAUAGGAUGAGAAAAGUUGAAAAGUUGAAAGUUUAUAAUAUGAGACGAUGGGAUUAUUAGUUUAUGAUAGUGGAGAAGUCUGUUGCAUUGGAGACGUGUAUUUUCUAUGCAGUUUAAAGAGAUUUGUCAAAAAAUUCUAUGUCUAUGUCAUAAAUGGUUGCUUCAAUAUUUUACCCCUGCACAUUUUGAUAUAUAAUGCAUAAGAAUAUUCUUUAACAAUAGCAAAUUGUUAUAGUAAAAAUGAAGAAAACUAUGUCGAAAGGAAUUUGAGAAUUGAUUACCUGAGUAUUGACGAACACUAAUUUUUGAUGGCGUCUUCCAUCUUUUGAGAAUCAUGGUGUGUGUUUUUUGAUCACUUCAACAAAUAAUGGUCCAAUUUCAAGUUUAAUGUUGUAUCAUUGAUAACUGGUUCAAGUUCGUGCUCCUUUUUUUGAAGACACUUGAAUUUUGUUUUGUGCGAUUUAUAAGUGAUUAUAAAGAAUACAAAAAUGGAAAAACCAAAGUUAUUAAACUUUUUUCUUUUACCUUGUUUGCAUUUUUUGUGCAUGGAUCCAAAAAUAUUGAAAGGGCAAGUGGCAAACAAGAAGCUUGGGAGUUCAUGAAGCAAAGAAUUAAUCGUGACCUAUCAUUACAAUAGAAGAGGAAGGGAAGAUUAUUGAAAAGUGAGGAGUUAAAAAUAAAAUUCAACUAGAGGAAGGAAGAUCUAACAAAGACUGAUCUACAAGGUAUGGAAAAAGGUCUUACAAGAAUAUGUAUAAUUUUGUAUUACAUAGUAUGAGUUACUACAUUUUGCAACUAUGAAAUUUACAAUUGAACUGAACUAGAAGUAUGGUAGCAUAGUUAUCUGAAAUUUGAUUUGAAGAUGGGCCUUGGCGAGAUUACAAGUAGUUGAUAUUUAACUUUGUAAAGCAUUAGCUGUAGGCAAGGAAUUGAGGUGAAAGUAGUGGAUGUGGCUAACGAAAGUGGGAGACUUUAAAAGAGUAAGAAGAAAGGUGUGGCAUUGAUAAGUAGUAGAAAAAAACUGAAAAAUGAGGAAGGAAAAUGGAUUAGUGGUGAUUAAGUAGAAAGAAGUAUUAGUUACACAAUAAUGAAUUGAUUUGAUUAUGGUUGAGCAUUGACAUUAUUAUAGAUGUGGCAUUUUAAUACAAUUGAUGAAACGGAAGAAUGGAAAGAAUGGUUUAGGAAAACUAAAUCAAUUGUCCUUAUGUUAUAUAGGUUUUUUGGAUCUAACUAUUUGAAAUCACCUAUUAAUGGAAUACGUAAAAAAUUAGAAGCGGCUAAAACUGAUUCCUCAUACAUCAAAAAGCACUUUAAUAACAAUUGAUAAAACCUCCUGCUUCUCAAGCAUUUUUAAGGCCUUUGAUGGGCUUUUAAGACAACACACCAAAAAUAAAGCUCCAUGACUUGCAUCCACUACCAAAAAGACGAUUAAAAUAAACUCAUAUAUCCAAAAUGCUCAUAAGCCAAAAAUAAUGUAAGGACAUUUACAAAACAACAACAAAGCCAACGCUGCCAAAUCUUGUACCUAAAGCUCAACCUUCACUCCAAAUAAUUCCACAUUUCCAAAAUACCCCACCCAUACAGUGCUCUUUUGACCAAAACUCAUUCUUAUAUUAUAUAAAAAGAUAAGGAUACCUACUUAAUUAUGGUUAGUUGCAUUUCAACUCUAAGGGAAGCAACUAAAAUUGUAGUACUUGUUCUUUGCUCUUUCAUAUUUUUAGAUAUAUUACUAGUAAUCCAUAUUGGUAGGAUCAAUACAUAUGGAAUAUAAAUAGAGUAAUAACUCACAAAUAAUGCGAUAAAAAUUAACAUGAACUCCUUUGCGUUUUCUAUACACAUCAAAUUGUUGACAUGAAUUUAAACAUAGGUCCUUUUGUUGAGUUUGAUAUUAACAACUCAAUUUAGAAAUUUGAAUUAAAUGAUUUGGGAUAAUAAUUAAUGCCAAAAAACACAAAGCCAAUUAACUGUCCAAGGAAAUAUUAUGGCUUAAAGUGUCAUAGAGAAGCCAGACAAACCUCAAGGAUAUAGUUGUAAUUUAAUAAAUUUUUUAUUCACUGCUUAUAGUAAAUAUAGUAUUUAUAUAUUCAGGGAAGACUAGAGUGCCAAAAGCGUAGUUAGUAAAAUGUGGGAUGGGUAUAAUACGAAAUUUAAUAUGUACCUAUAUUAUACGGAUUUUUUUUUUCAAAAGUAUGAUUAAAAGCUCGACGUAAAAAUAUGAGUUUGGAAAAAUUAUGUAUAUGAAUUUGAACAUGCAUAAUAAGAAUAUUUUUAGAAGUUACAAACAAAAAUUCAGAUAACUCUUACGAUUUUCAAAUAUUAUGCUACAUUUAUAUCACUUUUAACUCUUAUUCUUGUUUAUUGGAUAUUUAAAUUUAUUAAAACUUUAUUAUCUUAAUAUGUUUAUAUCUUUAAACCUUUACAAAUUUUGAUAUAAUAUAGGUGUUAUAUUAUAUAUAAAUGGAAAGAUAUGUCAUUAUUUUUCCACAAAUUUUAAUUCGAGAAGUAUAAUAUGCCAAAAAUUUAUUAUAUUAUGUGAAAAAUAAGAGCAUUUUUCAGAAUAUUUUAAAAUAUACAAAAUAUGAAAACUUUUUGAAAUUAUACGUGAUAUAAUACAAUUACUUACUACUCAAUAGCCUGAAAGUGAAGGUCAACAGGUUGGCUGUGGUCAUUUAAAGAUGACUUGGACCGUGUCUAAAUUUAUCAAAAAACCAACAGCAGUCAUGGUAACGUCAGCAAAAUGAAGUCAAUCACAAACCCACCAACGAGUAAUCAACAAAUGUUUUGUUAAGUAUAGUUUUCUUCUUUUGUUGAUUUUGAUGCAUAAUUGAGAAAUUAAGAUAAAUUUGACCAUAUGGUGACUCCUAGACAAUGUACUUUGUAGCCAAGUCUAUUCAAAAAGGGUUGUCAAAUAGUUUUUAUUUAUUUUUUUCGACUGAAUUUCCAUGAUCUGCAGAGAAUAAUCAUUAAAAAUAGCUUUACCAAAUGCUCAACCGGCUCAAACCUUUCUCGAUCAAAUCUAAUUUGAAUACAUAAAAUAGAUGCCAAAAAGAAAAAGAAACCAAUGGAAUUUCAUGCUACAACAACAACUGAAGUUGACUAAGUUCUUUGCCUUUAGUUACAUAAUCAUUAGCUAGACGCUAUGCCUCUGGCUCGAACAUACAGCAUUGAGGCCUAAAAUAUUACUCGGUUCAACUUUGAUUGUGAUAAUUUACCAUGCAUAUGACUCUUCGUCUUCUUAAAUAUUCUUUUGGUAUUUAAUCAAACGCCAACAGAGGUAACUUACACGGUUACACCCGAAUACUCUCAUAUUGCUGGGAAAUGGCAGGCUUAAUUGGGACAUGUGAAAAUUUGAAGCAGAAAACCUGCUUCUAGAACAGUGAACUAUUGCAUCUUCUAGGGCGUGCUUCCAGUGCAAGUUGUGGGAGUUUUGGUGCUAUGAAUUCAGUGUGGUUGACUAUGAAUCUGUUGUAGACUUAGUUUUUCUUAGUGCAACAAAAGAAGCAAUAGAUACUUUUUAAGUUAGACUUUUUUUCCUUUCCAAAAUUAUGUGAGAUUAUUAGGUGGAAUAAGUAUACGUGAUAUGAUAAGAAUUUGUGUAGCCAAAAAGUAGGAAGAGAUUCAGAUUGAAAUUGAAAGUUUCACUAGUUUUAACGAAGGUUAUGAGGUACAUACUUGGACACAAUGAUUUUGACCCUUUGAUAUCAAAUUAAUACAUUUGUGUAUUAUCCAGAUGUUUAAUGAGGGAAUUCGAGAAAAACUAUACUUGGGAGGAGGCCAAUCCCUCCUUACAACUCCUUGACUAAUUCAUCACUUUCUCCCUUAACCUUUAUCAAUUUGUCAAUUGACUAAUGGGUUUUAUUAUCUCUAAAUUAUUUAGAAAUUUCAAAAUCUCUUACUAACUUCAUGUUUCUUAUCACCAAAUUAUUUUUAAAUUGCUUAUCUACGUAGUAAUUUAAUUCUUUUAUGACUUUCCAAUACUUUUUCAUAAAUUUACAAUUAUUUCUAUGUUUAUAAUAUUAGCUAAAGGUAGUUCUCCUAUUUGUUUUUUCUUUUUCUUUUUGCGUCAUUUUUGGUACAAUGUAAUUGUCUUCUUUGCUUUUGGAUUUGCUGUGAUUGUGAAAAUAGAUUUAUUCAAUAUAUAUUGCAUUGUUGUUUCAAAUUUUAAGUUAUUUUCAUUGAUGAAUCAAAGUAUUCUAACACAUUGAUGAACUGCAUGUGGAUUCAGAUGAUUCAUUUUAAGUGUUCAUAUGAUAAUAAAAAUGACAUAUUGAUUAUUUAUGACAUAUUUGUGAUAUCACCGCGUCAAUACGGACUUGACAACCGUUCGUCUUACUAUUAAAUUAGUGAUCAUUAAUGCAGUAACAUUUCCAGUUCGAUGAAUGAGUUCGAUUUUAAAAUUUUGGUCCUACAGGAAUUUACUAAAACCGAAGGUUUGAAUCUGAUUGAUCUCCCAUUUAUAAACUAUUUGUUAUCAAGGAUUAAAGAGCACAAGGCAUUUGCAAUCUGGAAACUUUAAGUAAAGCAGCUCUUCCAAAAGCAGUUGUGCUAGAGGCAUAUGGCAAAAUCUUGUAGCUAGAGGACUCUGAUCUCGCUUCUCAUCUUGUGGUCUGGUUGUAGAAUUGGUGCAUUUGGUUCAUCAUGCUACCAAGGAGCAUACCAAUUCUAACCUCAUAUGGAAAGUUUGAGAUCUCUUAGGCCAAAAUUGAGGAGUGCAAAUCAUGGCAUUUUUGGCGAGAAUACAAUUCCUGUGCUGGUUUUUUUUUUUAAAUAUCAGUCUUAGGGUGCGAUUGAUAAAACUGAAAUUUGAAAACUGAAGUCUGAAAUCUAAAAUUUGAAGUCUAAAUCCAUCAGAUCAUUGAAUUGUUAAAUAUUAAAUCUAAAAUAUUUGAGUACAUAUCACAUUCAGUGAUAAAUAAAUAACUUAUUACUUAAUUUUGAGAGUAAGUUUUGCCUAGAAAAUUUAGUGUCACUUAAUUAAUUCAGAUGUUCAAUUUUUGGUUAUCAAAUUGUUAAAAUUUGUUAAAAUUUGAAUUCAUUAAGCUUAUCUGCUGAACUUGUUUAUCAAACAGGGCCUUGGUGUUACACCGGCGAGAGUACAAUUCUCGCGCUGAUUAUUUUUUUUUUAAAUAUCAGUCUCAAUGUGCAACUUGGUGUUACUCUUUUCUCAGAUCCACCUGGUGCUGUUAAGUCGUCCUUGUCAUUCAAUGCAAUGAGUGCAACUCAGUCACAACUCACAAGUAGUCUUAUAAUUGCGACUCCGGCCUUCCUCUUACUAAAAAGAAAACAGGAUCGAUCUCCCAUUUAUUGCAGAAUGUAUGUUUAACUUAAUUCAGAUCAAAUGGACAGUCAUUGGUUUGCAUAUAAGCAAGUACAUUCAGUCAUUCAUACAUACAUACAUAUAUAUAUAUAUAUAUAUAUAUAUAUAUAUAUAUAUAUGUGAAAAAGAUCACUUGUUUCAAAUUACCAUAAUUACCUAUUCAGUAAUAAUAACAACUGGGAAGCAAUGGAUUUGCUCAUGUUUAAAAAUAGUCUUCAUGCUUGGACAUCCAUAUCAACAGCGAUAAUAUAUAUCUCUGCCGUCUCAAAUACAUUCUUUUCAUCAACAACUGCAUUUCAAAAAUAGCCCACUUAAAUACAUUCUUUUCGUCUAUAACUGCACUAAAAAAAUACAAGACAAGCUAAAGGAGUUUACUUGGAACAAAGUCCAAGUUAUGGACUAGUUAAAAUAUGAACUUUGAAAUACAAGGAGAUUAAAAAAUCAGAUCAAAGACUAUUAAGAUUGAAGACAAUGUCAUAGAAUUAUCAUUAUCAUUACUAUUUAAAAAAUAUGAUGUGUUUAUACAAUUAGAAUGUGUAAUAAACUUUUAAUUGCUUUGUGUAAAUAAAUAUUUUGUACAACUACCAACUGCUUAAUAUUGCUCAUUAUAUAGUUUCUCAGUUUAUAUUAUGCCAAUAAUCAAAGUUUUACAAAGAACUUUAUUAUAUUAAAUGUUUUUAUAUCUUAAAAAAAUAUGUUCACGUGCACAGCACAUGAAUUAUUAAGGAGAUCAAAGACUAGAAACAGUGUCGUAGACUAUUAAGACUAAAGGCAAUGUCACCGCCAAAAGGUGGUGUGUUCGAAUCUCGCUACUGCUUCAAAAUUGUGCUGGUGAGGUAUUUGUAAGAACCGCUCCAAGUAGCCUAUAAUCACAAAGGCAUACAUUGACUCGUGGUGGUAAUGAAUCCAUUCAAACAUUAAUUUACCCAAAAUUACAAUUAUUACUUUCAGGAUGACAAAAUUACAAAAUAUUUCCAAAAUCUUGAUUUGCUCCAUGUAUUGUUAGGUUUGGUCCAGAAAAUUGACGAAUGGGUUUUUGGCAACCCGAAAUACAAAUUACAAUAUAAAUAACAAAGCAAAAAUAAAUAAAAUAGAGAUAAAAAUUUAUGUGGUUCCAUCAAAUGACCUACUUCCACGGGGAAGUUUGAUACUUAACUCAAAAACCUGCAUAAGGCCCCGAAAACCUUUGGCAUACUUAAACUCACUUAAUCCAAUAUAUUUAUAACUACUAAAUAGAAAGACUUAUUUGUAAAACUCCCUAUGUGAAAUAUAAAGACAAACUCAACAAGUACGCAGGGUUUAUUCUUACAAAGAAUACAUCUGCAUCAUAUCAUCUUUUGCUGAUGCUUGAUUGUGCUAUGUAGGGGGGAAAAAGUAAGGCACUGCAUUCUGCAUUUAAUAGCUAGGAAGAUACUUGCAAAAAAAAAAAAAAAAAAAAAUCAUCCAACUUCUACAUAUCUGAUGCAUCUAUUAAUUUAACAAGAAAAGAAAUGGAAAAGAGAAUCACACGGCCACGGUUAAUCACAAGAAGUCACUUAGAUGGUUCACAAGCUGACAUCGACCUGGAAAUAAGGAGCAUUGUUGGCCUACAUUGAGGAUCAGCAUGUAGACAUUCUCUUGCUAGUUUGAGAAUGGACAUUAGGAUCUUUUCAAUUUCUUGAUUGGGAUACAGAAGUCUUUGGUCGAGCAAGUCUUUUAGUUCUAUAUCUUCAGGGUUUGAAGACAUUAGAUUAGCAAUCAAGUCUCCAGGAUGCUUUCCUUUGAUUACUUCCAUCGUCAGGACCCCAAAGCUAUAAACAUCACAUUUUUCAUCAACUUUCAUUGUGUAGGCAAAUUCUACAAGAUAAAGUUGGAAGAUCAUGAUAUGUGAUCAUAUUUGAAUUUACUAGUUAACAAAUUAAUGAAAGGAAAGAAAAGAAAAAAAACCUUUAUAAUUACCUGGUGCAACAUAUCCAUAGGUGCCUGCAAGAGAACUCCAAUUAGAUGAGUCUUUUUUCAGAAACUUGGAAGUGCCAAAAUCUGAAAUGUGAGCCUCAUAUUCUGGAUCAAGCAAAAUGUUUUUGCUUGAUAUGUCCCGAUGUACAAUCACUAGUGAACAAUCAUGAUGCAUGUAAGACAAAGCAUGAGCGAUGCCUUUAAUGAUUUUCAACCUCUUUUGCCAGUCUAGCACCUUAGCUUCUUCUUCUAUGCUCAAGAUUUUGGCCAAGCUUCCUCUUUCAAGGUGCUCAUAAACCAAAAUCGAAUGCUGAGCAUUUGAGCAGAAGCCAAAGAGUUUCACAAUGUUUCGAUGCUUGAUUUCUGUCAAAGCCCUGAUCUCAUUCAAGAAAUUUCUAUCCUUUGCCACAUUAGGCAUGUUGUGAAGUCUUUUUACAGCUACUACAUCGCCUGAUGGAAGCUGUGCUCUGUAAACACUUCCAUAACCUCCUUUCCCAAUGCAAAAUAUUUCACUAAACUCUUCCGUAGACCUCACUAUUUCUUUAUACAAUGCCUUGGCAUCAUGAGCACAGAUGGCAAAUAAAUUGCCCAUCUUCACCUCCAUAACUUCCGCUCUUGAAUUCCUUUUCCUUUGAUCAUGCAAUCUGAGAACUCCAAAGAAUGCACCAAGACGCAUGAAUGAUCCCAGAAGAGGUAAUACAAUUACGAGAACAAGUUCCUUCCUUUUAUUCAUGCCAUGCUUUUUACUCAAUGGGGAACUUUCACAGGCUUGUAACCCGGUAAUAUUGCCACACAAACCUUUAUUUCCCUUUACUUCUUCUAAGGUUAGAUUCGCAAAGGCUCUACCACUCGGAAUUGGACCCUCCAAAUUAUUAAACGAAAGAUUAAUGUGACAUAAACCGGGCAGUGCUGCCAAAGUUUUCGGGAUCAAACCAGAGAGGUUAUUAUGGGAGAGAUCCAACAUCCCCAGACUCUGUAAACUUUGAAGCUCGGAUGGUAUCUCUCCUAUGAAGAAAUCUUGACUCAAAUCCAAUUCAGAAAGUUGGGUUAACUUCCCAAUUUGGGGUGGAAUCUUCUGACUUAACAUUGUUGCUCAAGUUCAUGUCAUGAAACAAGUGUUUCAAAUCUCCCAGAAGUUUUGGUAAAUUUCCACUCAAGGAGUUUGUGGACAGGUCAAGAAAUUCCACUAGCCCUCCCAAUUCCUGAGGUAUACCACCAAGAAAUUGGUUGUCAUGUAAAUCUAGUUUAAGCAUAGAAGCUAACUUUGCAACUGCCCUUGGUAUCUCCCCUGAUAAAUAAUUUGAAGAAAGAUUAAGUGCACGUAGUUGUGUUAAAUUUCCAAUUUCUGGAGGUAUACCACCUGUGAUGUUGUUCUUUGCAACCAUCAGGGUCGUCAAAAGUUUGCAUUUGCCCCAAUUGCUGGAGAGUUCUCCGUAGAAUUCAUUGUUGCUGAGAUCUAUGAAAUUCAGGAAUGGAUAGAUUCCAAACAUUUCUGACAAGUUUCCGUGGAAAUGGUUACCAUUGAAACUGGCCCUAACUAAGCUUGAGCAGUUUCGCAAGCUUCUAGGGAUUGGACCUGAAAGCAUGUUCCCAGAUACAGCAAUAAAUUGGAGUGUUGCAUUUUGACAUAGUAGUUCUGGCAAUGGACCAGAGAACUGAUUUUGAGCCAAUAACAUAAAAGCCAACUUUUUCAAGUUUCUUAGCUCUUCUGGAACGGUACCAGAAAUUUGGUUAUCUCUUAGCUGCAAUCUUCUUAAGCUGCUCAAGUUACCAAUUGCAACAGGAAUGGGACCAUUAAGUUGGUUCUCACCUAUUCCCAUAUCGAUAAGGAAUUUCAGAUCACCCAGUUCCUUUGGAAUUGAACCCGAAAGCUGAUUGUAAUAGAGAUAUAGUUGAAUUAAAUUAGUUAAAUUUCCGAGUGACUUUGGGAUGGCGCCAGUAAGAUUAUUCUGACUCAGAAAAAGAAACUGAAGUGAGAUCAAAUUCCCAAAUUCACUAGGAAUGGGACCAGAUAGGUGAUUUUGGAAAAGACUUAGAUUCACCAAUCUAUUGAGGUUACCAAAAGUGGUUGGAAUUGAACCAGAAAAUUGAUUCGUUUGGAGAGACAAAUAUUCCAAGUUGCUCAAGUUACCAAUUGAAACAGGAAUGGAACCACUGAGUUGGUUUUCACUUAUCGCUAUAUCCAUAAGGCAUUUCAGAUCACCCAGUUCCUUUGGGAUUGAACCCGAAAAUUGAUUGUAAUAAAGAUACAGCUGAAUUAAAUUGGUUAAAUUUCCUAGUGACUUUGGGAUUGCACCAGUAAGAUUAUUUUGAAACAAUAAAAGAAAUUGAAGUGAGAUCAGAUUCCCGACUUCACUAGGAAUGGGACCAGAUAGGUAAUUUUGAUAGAUACUUAGAUUCACUAGUCUAUUAAGAUUACCAAAAGUCGAUGGAAUUGAACCAGAAAACUGAUUCGUUUGGAGAGACAAAGAUUCCAAGUUACUCAAGUUACCAAUUGAAAUAGGAAUGGAACCAAUAAGUUGGUUCUCACCUACUUCCAUCUUGGUAAGGAAUUUUAGAUUACCCAAUUCCUUUGGAAUUGAGCCCGAAAGUUGAUUGUCAUUGAGAUGCAGUUUAAUUAAAUUGGUUAAAUUGCCUAGUGAUUUUGGGAUUGCACCAAUGAGAUUAUUUUGAUUUAAAAUAAGAAACUGAAGUGAUGUCAAAUUCCCGAUCACACUGGAAAUGGGACCAGAUAGGUGAUUUUGGAAAAGGCUUAACUCUACUAGCCUGUUGAGGUCACAAAAACUGGCUGGAAUUGAACCUGUUAAAUUGUUGUCCUCGAGAUAAACUUCAAUGAGAUUAUGUAGAGUUCCUAAUCCUGUUGGAAUUGGACCUGAAAGUCGAUUACUUGCAAGAUCCAAAUGAGUCAAGCUUCUCAAGUUGCAAAUUUCAGAUGGGAUUUCUUGUGACAAUUCAUUUACUGAAAAAUCAAGAUAAAUGAGCUUCGCCAGGCUACCUAUCUGUUUAGGUAUGCAACCAAAGAUCUGAUUAUGGCUGAGAUCAAGAUACUCAAGAUUUGGGAGGGAUGAAAAUGGGAAAUCAAAGAGGCUACCUUUAAUACUCCAAGCUGAGAGGUUCAACCUGUUGACACCUCCAACAACGCAGGAAAUACCGGCACAAGUGCAUGGAAGGCUAGAAGAAUUCUUGGCAAUGAUAGAUUGAAGGUUCCAUGAGGUCAGAAAGCUAUUGUUCUGAUUUUGAAAACUGGCUUUCCAUUUCAAAAGAGCUAAAGCCUCUUCAGCAUAAGCUGAAGCUCCACAUUUGGGGUGAAAUGAUGGGAAAAGUAAGACCAGAAGGAAUAAGGAGAUCAUUUUGAAAGAACUCAUGAUUACAUUCAAGUUUAACUCAAGUUGGCUCACGUUGUUACGCUGUACCCCAAAUGAAGCCAGUAUUUAUCCUAACUGUACACGGAAGACUUCAGAGGUCUUCUUGCUCGGUUCCCUCUUCUUUAUUUUCAUUGAAUCUUGACAUUGAAACACAUAAGAUGUCUAUUACAAUGGGCCAAGAAAUUUAAAGCAAUGAAGUCUUUCCACGAGAUUGACUAUUUUGAUCUUCUAUCAGUAAUUUUUCCUACUGAAUCUACAGAAUAAUGUGACUCGAGUACCUUUGGAGAAGGAGUUGAGAUCACCUGAUUCCUAAAUAAUGAUGAACCUAUAGGCUGAGCAAGUUAUGUUAUAGUUCUAGCCCCGUUUGACAAAAGAGUUUUUUGGAUGUUUAUCUAAAAUUUUAUUGUAACUUACUAUAGAGGUUGUAGAAAAAAUUCUUCAAGUGUAUAAAAUUUUAAAUAUUUUGAAAUGUAUAAUUUAAAAACUUUGAAAAGAUUUUAAGGUUACUAUAACUAAAAUUGUUAAAAAACUUGUAGCAGACAAACUUGGUCAAAAACUUAUUUGCCAAACAGACCCUAUUUUCUGGAUAUGGAUUAUACAAAGCUAUUUGACAGUAUAUUUCACAAAAUGCAAGAGAAGUCAGAAAUUGCCGAAAGCUAUUUUUGCCAAUUGUAUAGGAAGAUUUAGUUGGUCGUAGCACUUGACAAAAAAGGAUAUGGCUGGCAUCGGCACUCUAGGACAAAUUAUAUAUAACCGCUCGUAGUUUUGUAUAUUACGAUAUAACUCCUCUGAAGUUUUAAAAUAGCUUUAUAACUUCCUUAUAUAACCCGCUUAUGUAUAAGAAUAAUAUUAUAAGAUAAGAAUCAAGUAAAAAUAUCGUAGGAUACAAUAGCUAUGCUUGUUUUUUACUGCCUCCGUCUCAAUAUGUUUUUAUCGCUCUUUGACAAUCCAACUUUUUAAAAAUAGUGUUUUGAUUAUGAUGUUAUAUUUUUCUUUCUAAUUUUAUCUCCGAAUUUCAGAUUUUGAAUUUGAAUAUACAAUGUGUAUGAAUAAAAAAAUGGACAAUAUCGGGAAUAAAAAUAUAAAAUAAUUUUGACUUUUGUAACAUGAGAAACAUUUUGGAACAAAUGGAGUAACAAAUUUGAGACUGGGAUCUUGUUGCCAAAGGUCCCAAUGAAUACUAAGUCAAAAUGAGGGCCUACCUUAGUCUGUUAAGGCUUGAUGAUGAAACUUUCGUGAGCAAUUAACUAUUUUUCUUUAGGGUAAGCAAUAAAAAAAAUCCCUGUGGUAUAGCUAAAAGCUUCUUGUAGUUUCAAAUCAUACGUGUUGGUACCUUAUAGUUUGAAAUAAUUUGAAACAUUGACGAAAAUCACUAAAACAAACAAUUUUGAGUGAAAUGACAGAAAUGCCCUAAUAAUAAAAGCAAAAAAUAGUCUAAAACAAAUGGUUUUGAUUCAUUAGUUUCAUUCACUAAUAAUAUAAGCAAAAAAUGUCGAUUUCUACAAGUUCGAAGCAAAUUUGAAGAAGAAUCAUGGUUGUUUUAUUAAGGUAUGAGGAGCAAAAUAGGUAUUUCAGAUAAAAAUUUGCCUUAAAAAACUAUUUUUUGGAAGAACCAUAUGCAUUUCCAGUGCGUUUACGUCAAACGCAUUAAAUUUAACGAUUUCCGUUGAUUUUUCACUUUACUUCAAACCAUGAGGUACCAAUGUGUAUGGUUUGAAAUCAUAGGGGGCUUUUUUCUAAGAUAGCUAUACUACAGGAGGCUUUUUUGUUGUUUAUCCUUUUCUUUAAAAUCCUACAAAUUGUAUAAGACACAACAUGCAAGAAAAUACAAGGAAAUACACAAAAUUGCUACACUAAUGAAAAAAUAACACUAACAAAAUUGCUACAGUAAUUUUUCCUACUAGCCAAAUAUGCAUGAAGAAAAAAUAACUAAUUUUUCUUCACUUUCCUCCACUUUUCCUUGCAACCAAACACUAUCCAAGAUUUUGAAAUUCUUCUUGACAUUGGAGUUUGGGUAAAUGAGCCUAAUCGAUCCGACUAUUUUAAUAUUUAAAUUUGUUUUAUUAUUUUAUCAGAUUUGAAAUUGUGUUUAACCUUAAUUUGUUUAUUUAUCACUUCAAACUUAAGCAAACUUUUAUCGAAUCAAAUUUAAAUCGAGCUACUUUGAGUUAAGUUCAAGCAGUUUGAACCUUCUAAAUGUAAGUUUCACUUUUAUACUAAAUAGUAUGGGAGUAUGUGCGUUGCACGCUAUAGGUGUUAUGUUUAUAUGAUACUUGUUCAAAUAUUCAUUCUCGUAAGAUUAAUUAAAAAAAAAUUAACUGUUUAAAAAGUGUUGCAUCGAUAACAAUCUUCUCGUUUAAUGACACAUAUAAAAGACUUUUGUAGGUUUUAACAAAACUUAAUUAAUUGUAUGUCUUGAUAAAAAUCUUAGACAAAAAAAUAGAAGUAAUUUGGAAAAUAAAAGAAAAAGAAUUUAUUGAAGGAAAAAAUUCAUUAUUUCCAUGCCAAUUAACAUGCAUGUCGAGUUUCUUAUUGUUUAAAUAUUUUGAUUACCAAUGGCAUCAUUUAAAUAUUUUGUUCCAGGAUUACCAGGCAUGUCUAACUAAAUCUUAAGUGUGACUUGGAAUACAUAUUAGAAUCAUGCUUCCUUUUGACCUCUGAGUAAUUUUAUAACAAAUUGAAAGAUGUUAAAAUAAAAAUUACAGUGAUACUGGUUUUUUUGGCAUCAUUAUAUUUUGCGAUACUGGUUUCUUUGACAUCAUUAUAUUUUGUUAAUUAAGGUUAGUUUCACAUGAACUCUAAUUAAUGCUAUUACACUUCAUUUUACUUGUACUUAUAAUUUACUACCAAAUUCUUGGCAUGAAUUUAAAGGUAUAAUCGACUUGGGCUUCUCGUCUUCCGUUCUAUUUCCUUUUCUUGAGUUUAAUGUCAACAGACCAACGUUAAAAACUUCAACGAAUUGAUUUUUGGGUAGUAAUUAGCACUUGGGAUCCUCGGUGACAUGUUUUCUAUGUCAAUCCAAUGCCACCAAUAGUGUUGCGCCAAGUGUCAUAUUAUUAUUUAUAUUUGUGCUAAACCAAGCCAAGUUGAAUUAUUAGAAAAUUAAAGUGUAAUUAAUAACAAGACACUUGGCGCAACACUAUUGAUGGCAUUGAAUUGGCAUAGAAAACAUGUCACCGAGGAUCCCAAGUGAGUAAUUAGUGCCAAAAACUCAAAGGCUAACUGUCAAAAGAAAAUUUUAGAGCAUAAAUUAGAAUUGUAAUCUAAUCUUAUAUUAUAAAAUUUAUAGCUACGAUAGUUAAGAAAGACCGUUCUGACAGUGAAGUUCAUCAGGUUAUUUGCGGUCAGUAUAGGCCAUUUUAAAUAUGACUUGGACAGCGCUAAAUUUUCAAGUACCAAGGCCUAUGUCUUGACAACCUUAGCAAAAUGAAGGAAAUUCUAAAUCCACCAACGAUGAUCAAUAGUAUAUAUGACUAUUGGAUGAAUCCUAGAGAAUGUAUUUUGAAGCAAAAUCUAUUCAAAUGAGUUACGAGAUGUGAAGACCCCACCUCCCCACGGAACGAAUCCAAGAGUUUGGCAGAUCGCCUGUCCAACUUUCGUCGGAACUCACUCGCUAGCAUUCUUAAAAAAGGUUAUUUACGCUUCUAAAUUUAUAUAGGAGGUUCCCAAAGCAACCAUAAUUCAAACUUCGUUUACAAGUUAAAAGUGAAAUGUAACUUUACAUUGCCAAAUAUUCCAAAUACAUUCAAUCCAUAAAAGUACGAAUACAAGAAACUUAUAUACACUAGUUCAUGCCUACUUGCUCCGACUUCCACUCUUAUAAGAAAAACAAACUAACAGAAUGACCUAAAAAGUCAAUGAGAUUCCUAAACAAGCAAUUAAGCAGGUAUAUACAGAAACAUUUACAUUUAAUACUUUGCACACUUGACACAGUAAUAAGCAGCCAUUCAAGAAUCAAUUAUUCAUUUAUUGAAAGAAUACGUGCUCACUUGAAACCAUUCAUUCAUUCAAUCGUCGAUCGUUUUCCUUAUCCCUCCAAUGUAAUCAUUGGCCAUUCGCCAACCAUCUGCCCCUCCACCCCACGCGACCCACCCAGCCCAUCAUAAUCAUUGGCCAUUGCCAACGCUUUCCCUUAGUCAAUUCUCUCCUUCUCCCCUUCUUGUCCUAAUGUCCCCCACCAGUAUUUUUCAAACGUUGCGUAUUGACUCAGUUAUCAUGAUGGGAAAAGUAGGACCAAAAGGAAUUUGGAGAUUAUUUCGUAAGAGCCCAAUGACAAUUUCAACUUCAACUCAAGUUGGCUAGCGUUGUUACUCUGCACCACAAAUGAAGCAAGCACUUAUCCCCUCCGUACAUGGAAGACUUCAAGGGUCUUCUUUUUCUGUCCGCCCUUCUUUGUUUUUUUUUUUUUUUUCUUUUUGAGAUUGAAACAAAUAAGAUGUCUACAAGCGAAAUUUAAAGCAAUGAAAAUGUUUUCAUGAGAUUGACCAUUUUUUAUCCUCUAUGACUAAUUUUUCCUAUUGAAUAUACACAAAAAAGGUAACUCGAGUAACUCUUGGAGAAGGAGCACAAGGCUGAGCAAAUUUUGUUAUAAUUCUAUAUUUUCUUGGCAUGGAUUAUGCAAAGUUAUUUGACAGUAUAUUUUCAUGAAAGGCAAGGGCAGUCAGAAAUCGCACAAAGCUAAAUUUUUACCAAUUCUAUAGGCAGAUUUAGUUGGUCGUAGUACUUGCCCAAAUAGAAUUUAGUUGGUAUUGGUACCAGAACAUUUAUGUGUCUGUUUAAUUUCAAGCAUUGUCUGCCUUCAGGUUAAUAUAACCUUUUCUUUUCCUGUUAGUUAAAGGCUGCAGAACUUCCUCAGAAGUGAGGAUAAUUUGGCCAGAAUUAGGAGAAGCAUUUGAUUGAAUUCUGAGGUGAAAGUUUAGAACUAAUGGUACUGGCGAAUUCUAAAAUUUUACAUUGCAGUUAAAAACUUAACCACCAUCUUGAAGAAUGUCCAAAACACAGAAGUUUUAAUUGCUGAUGUAACAAAUGCAUUGCAAAAUUUUUCCACCUGGAACGUUAGUUGAGUGGUUAAGGAUAUUAACAUUGUUGCCUUGAGAUGGCAAAGUAUGCUAGUUUAAUUGAUGAUUCUAUCAUGUGGGUGGUUUCUUGCCCACACUUUUUUCGAUCCACUCUUUAUAUCGGCUCAUCAAUUCAUUAAUAUUAUAGGUUUUUUUUCUAUCAAAAAAUAUAUUUGAUUUUCAUUCAUAUUGAUCUAUUGAUCAAUAUAAGGACAACAUAUAUAUAUAUAUAUAUAUAUAUAUAUAUAUAUAUAUAUAUAAUAAUUCAGUGUAACCAGAUCAAUAAGUUAUUCUAUAAACCCAAGGACACGCAACAUCAAAAAGUUAACGAUAAUAUUGCAGUUGUGCUUGUUUUCAAAAUUAUUAGAUAUGGUUCAAUUAAAAAUUAUUUUGGAAUACGGCAGUCGUGCUUGUUUUCAAUCAAAUUUGAGGUUGUGCCCUUGUUGGCAAAGGUCCAAAGGACUUUUAAGUCCGGACAAGAACCUAUCCCAAUCUUCAAGGUAUAAAAAUAUAGCCUCAUCGCUUUCUUAUCAUAAAUUCACGAUGCACCAAGGUGGGAACGGGGUGGCAGAUGGGUCUACCAAGCGCUAAAAUUUUGAAAAUCUUAUUGCUAGACAAUCAAAUUAGGGGAUAAACGAUCUUAAUCAAGUGAAUAUUCUCAUGUUCAAAUUUUUUAAUUGUUUUUAAUAAAUCUAAAAUUGUGCUAACAUUAGUUUGUUUAUUUGCAGAAUCAAACUUAAACGAACUUUUAUCGAAUUAAACUCAAGUUGAGUUCGAGUAGGUUAAACUUUUUAUGCUAAUAGAGUCAAAUUCGAAUCGAAUUUCACAAUUUACCAAAUACAAGAUGUUGCUGGAGUUUGACUUGAGUAGCUGACAAUACUAAAGUCAAACGAGUUCUUACCAAAUCGAAUUUAAUUUGAUUUGUCUUUUAAUCCUUAUUGCAACAUUAUUUCUUUCAAGUGCAUUGUUAGUGAAAUUAGUUUUUCCCACUUAACAGUAUGUUUCCCUCCCUAGUCUUGUGUGUGUCCAAGUAUUGCUGCUCCUCUUCAUUCCACCCUACCCCACCCUAUUUCACUCAUUGCCAAAGCAUUCCUUUCUUCAAUUGUCUCCUUUUCCCUUCUUGUCCUCCAUUAAUAUUUUACCUACAUGACUUUCAUCGAUGUGAUUGGUUCGGUAUCAUGACUUUCAUCGAUAGCAAUCGCUUUUAUAAGUCUCCCGAAGUAACGGGAAAAGUAGGACCAAAAGGAAUAGGAAGAUUGUUUCGAGAGAACUCGGCUCUGCUUGGAUUAGCUAUUUUGGAAGUGUUUUUUAAAAAUUUUACUGUAACUGUGUAUAUGAAAAACUUUUACUGUAGAUGUUUUUAGGAUUGUUUUUAGGGGUAUUUUUAAAAUAUAUUUUUGAGUAUUUUUAUAAUUUACAAUUUUUUGAGAUUUUUUUAAAUAUAUACUGGCUCUGUUUCUAUAUAUUAAUAUUUAUUUAGUUAUAUAUAUAAUAUUUUUUAUUUCAAUUUUGUUUUACAAUAUGUGUAUUAAUAUAUAUAAUAUAAAUAUAAUAUGUAUAUUAAUAUAUAUUUAAUAUAUAUAUAAAUAUAUAUUAGUAUAUGUUAAUAUACAUAUUAUAAUAUACAAAUUGAAAUAUCUACAUUUAUAUAUUUAUAUAAUAUAUUUAUAUAUUUAUAUAAAAAAUAUAUAUUUAUAACAAAUCCCGUCUGUUUUCAUAUAAAUAUAUAAAAAUAAAUAUAUUUAUAUAUUUAUAUAAAUAUACAUAUACACAUAUUUAUAAAUAUAUUUUAAACAAAAAUAUUUAUAUUUACAUAUAUAAUAUAAUACACAAAUUGAAAUAUACAUAUUAACAUAUAUUAAUAUACAUAUUAUAAAACAAAAUUGAAACAAAUAUAUAAAUAAAUAUUUAUAUAUAUUUAUAUAAAUAUAUAUAUAUUUUAAAGAAAAUAUUUAUAUUUAUAUAUAAAUAUAUAAUAUUUAUUGCAAUUGAUAUAAUAUAUAUAAUAUACAUAUUAAUAUACAUAAUUGAAAUAUACAAAUUGAAUAUACAUAUUAAUAUUUAUUAUUAUACAUAUUAUAAAACAAAAUUGAAAUAAAUAAAUAUAAAUAAAUAUAUUUAUAAAUUGAAAUAAAUAUAUAAAAAUAAAUAUAUUUAUAAAUUUAUAUAAUAUAUAAAAAUAAAUAUAUUUAUAAAUUUAUAAAAAUAUAUAUAAAUAAAUAUAAACCAGGAAAGAUAAGAAAGCAGAGGGAAUUAAAAGCAUAAAGAUUAGAAAGUGGGUCGCAGUUGGACUGCCACUAGUUAGUAUAGGCGGUUGAACCAGCCAUAUAAAACAGAAUGUAAAAACAAGAAUUAAAUGGAUAUGAGACGGCUCGGCCGACUAUUUGAUUGAAUAUAAGAUUUACAAAAAUAAAAGAAAACUUACAAGGAUAUGAAGCUUGUACCAAACUCCUUUGUUUGAUCUAAAAACUAAAAUAUAAAAACUAAGAACUUGCUUGUAGAGAGAGGGAGGAGAGUUUCUUCAAACUAGAGAGAGAAGUGGUCUUGAAGAAAUGGUGUUCGAAUUGUGUGUGGAAUGUGUUGGGUUUGAGGGGUAUUUAUAGCAAAAUUUUCCGUAGUGUUACAGUACCCGCUACAGUGAUUUUGCUACAGUACUGCUAUAGUGUGCUCUACAGUGCAUUGUUUGUCUUUUGUUGCUGUGUUUGCACAGUAACCUGCUGGACUGCUACAGUGCUUCCGGUGCUACAGUGAAAAUGAAUUUUGUUCCGAUUGAGCCAGCUUGAAUAUCUGCUUGUUUUUAGUAGAUUGUCAAGGAUAGCUCUUGUUUUGUUUCCUGAAUCAUUUUGUCAAAUUCAGGUGCUUGUGUUCCCCAUUGGUGCUUGAUCCAAAGUUUGUGAAGAGUUAAUCUCUGAAUUUUUCUUCGCCUCAUGAAGCUUUGGUCCUUCAAGCUGCGAACUGUAUAGUUCGUUGGCUUUGCAACAAUGUUGUCAUGUUGGUACUGAAGAUGUGGAGAAAUGCUCUGUCCAGUUUCAGUGUUGUAAAAUACAACAUUGAAGUAUUUGAUUCUCUCCUCCCUGCAUUGUUGUUUGUAAGAAUAAUAUUCUUUUGCAAUAGAAUUAUUAGUAAGGUAGUGAGGUAUCCAUUCGUUGGCUGGCGCUGAGUUUGUCAUUUUUCCUACAAAACAGAAUUUGUUAGUUUUUUUAGAAAAAGGCAGGAGGGCAUUUGAAUCAAGAAAUUGGGGUAUUAUGCCCUCGUUUGUAGUAAGGUAAGGAAUAAGUUUAUGAAUGAGGGGUAUUCCAAAAAUAACAUUAUUGGAUAAUUUUUUGGCUAGAAGAAAAGUAUUUGGAAUGGAUAAGGAAAAGAACUGGAUUUGCACAUUUGUUAACUUGAAGUUAAUUUCAAGUUUAGAUCCAUUAGCUCCUCUUAGGAUUUCUUGGUUUUGUUCAAAGAAUUGAGGUGGGACAAGGCUUUCAAGAAUACAGUUUUGGUCUGCCCCAGUAUCAAACAGAGCUUCAGUUUCAAUUACGUAAUUGUUGUUAAUCAGUAAUCGGAUCUGGACCAAAUAAUCCUUGUCUUCCUUGGAUUUUUUAGAUAAUUGUUUUAGGAAUUCGGAAUCCUCCUGGUUUAUAGGUUCCUCAAUUGGUGUCAGGUUUUGAAGAACAAGGCUGUUAAGGUCUUGUUUGGCAUUAAUUGAUCUAAUUUCUUCUUUGAGUAGAUCAAUUUCUGUUUGAAGGUGUUGAAGAGCCAAACGUUUAAUAGGUUUGGAGGGAAACCUAUCAAGAAUAUCUGUGAGAUUGUAGGUUUUGAGAAUUCUAGGGUCUCCGGCUAAAGGAUUUGAAGAAUUUGUGGCUCGGUUCAAAUAGAGUUGUCUCUUCUCUAUUUCAGGAGUAUCUUCAAUGAUAUCAAGAAGAAGGUUUUGGUCUUUUGUUAAGAUAUUGAUGGUAGGACUUCUUUCUUCUUUGUCACUGGUGGGAUGAGAGGAAGAAGAUGUUGAAAUAUCAUCUUCUAACUAAUUGAGAUAAUCUUCUUCUCUUUCAGAAUCAUCAAUUUCUGAUUCGAUUAGAAGAUUUGAUAUUUGGGUUCUAACAUGGUCUUCUAAUCCUAAGGUACUGAUCCUUUGGUUGAGUUUACAGUAUUUGGCUAUAUGUCCGGGUUUGUGGCAUUUGUAGUAAACUGGAGAAGAGUUUGUUAUUUGAGGAGGUUGUAUGGGUAAAGGUUGUUUGGGUUGAAAUUUCUUUUUGUAUAAGGAUGGUUUUUCAAGAUGUUUUGUGAUUUUGGGCCGUUUGUGAAGUUUUUUGUAACAAUUGGGUAACCCAAACUAUUCACAAAAGGAUUCAAGGUCUUUUCUCCUUUGCUAGUUGUCUGAGCAUCUUGUCUUGUCUACACACUUUGAGUGCAACUUGUUGAAUCUGACUGGUUAACUGUCCAUAGGUUAUUUCCUCCUGAUAAGUGAAUAUUUAACGUGUAUUUUAUACAAUUUUGGCAUGAACUUUUGGUAUGUUUUAAGAAGAUUAAAGUCAUAUUUGAACUCUAUUGGUGAUAAUUGCUUAAAUAUUGUUUAAGUGUUCAAAACUUGAUAAAUGAGUGGAUUAAUGCGUUAAUUUUGUGAAAUUGUGAAGGAUAUCGAUGUAUGAAAUUCAUGCACGAGCUGAAAGAAGUGUAAGGAUUGUCCAAAGGAUAAAGUACACAAGAAAUUAGGAGCAAAAAUGAAGGAAAAAGGAAAGAAGUGAAAAAUUGAAAAUUUAAUGGCACGGAUCCGAGCUCGGAUCCGUGAGAGCAAAGAGGGAUCCGAACUGUGAGAGCAAAGAGGGAUCCGAACCCUCGUCUGUACUUCUGGAGGAGUGUAUCUGAGAUCAGACGAUCCGACCUUGGAUCUAUCAUGGGAAGUCCUCGGAUCCUGGAGAUCCGAGCUCGGAUCCAUUUUCACCCCUCGGAUCCGAGGCUCGAAUCUGUCUCUUUCUUAAGCAAGUGGCACAGUCAUUUUUCUUUACCUUUCUCACAACUUUUCCAGCUAUUUUAAGGGACAGAAAUCGGUGGCACAUGCUUCUGCAACAAAAGAGAAGACCAAAUGAGUUGUAGAUAAAAGGAAACAUCAUAUCUUUGACUUCUUUUUACAAAAUCUGAGUGGAGGAAAUUAUGAAGUGAGAGGAGUAGACUUUCUACCACUUCUUAUGCAGAGACACCAGGAAGAAGCAGAAAAGGACCAUACGUAGCUAGUUUUCCUUCUUUUAUCUAGUUUCUCUCUAGCUAGGAGUUCUGGGGGAAGUAUUUAAAGUUUUCACUUGUAAUCAUAUUGUGCAAGAGCAUGGCAGGAAUUGGAGAGCUUCACCUUCAAUUGGCUAAGCUUUCUUUUAUCUUUCUUGUACUUGUACUUUAUGAUGUUUGGCAUUAAUAAACUUGUGAGUUUGAUUAUUAAAUCAUUCAUGAGUAGCUAAACUUCUUAAUCUAGGGAGUAGAUGAAACUUAUGGUUAAAUAAUAUGAAUUGAAUGUGAUUUACACUUGUUAUAUCUUGUAUUAACUUGUCUACUUGUGUAACUGUGAUUACUUGUUAUUGAUUGAUCACUAAUAGCAUGUUUAUAGUUGUUAUUGUUCAAUGAGAAUUGGUAGUGGCAAUGGAAAAACAUGAGUAGAGCUUAAGUUGUAUGUUCAUAAAAAUAGAGAUACACUUAAGUGGAUUACUUAGCAUUGCAUGAAAGAAAACAAAGGAGUAUUAGUAUUUCACCAUGAAAAUAGGGAAAACUAAACUAGUUUAGGCCAUUUCAUCAUGAGAAUGAGAUUUGGUAAUUUUGGAAAUGAAUCUCUGGUUAAACAAGAAUAAUAACAGGACGCAAAUCCAUUCAUUUGUGUGUUUAUGCCAUAAGUGGAAUCUACAUCCCUAGAGUCUUUCUUAAGUAAGAAUUCUUUAUUUGCAUUUAGUAUUUGUUAAACUAGAUUUGUAGAUCAGAUUUGUAGAUUAUAGCAAUAAACUUUCUCUGCUCAAAUUUAUUGUAAGUCUAAAUAAUAGAGAAAAAUAAGGGUCUAGUACUUGUUUAAAUUGCUCCUUGUGGGAUCGACCCGAUACAUACCCUACAUUACAGUUUCGGCCUGUAUACUUGCAGCUAACGGGUAUAAAAAUCGGAUUUAAACUUGCAUUGAUAUAAAAAUCCCGUCACCUCCCAUGAUACAGUUUCAUUGUAUUGAGUCCUUAAUUCUUCUCGAACAAGGUCUCGUAAAGAUUUUGGAAGACCAUCAAGGAAUUUUUCUUUCCAAUAGGCCUUGUUGCCAUCUGUCCUGGAGUAUAUCCUAGUUAAGAAUGUAUCUUUGUACCAUCGAAAGUCUGAGAGGCUUUUGUAUUUGAGAUUGUUUAGUAGCUCCGAUGAUUUUUCCCUGAAUAUCCCUGGAUCACCUACAAAUGUUUUUGCAAUAGUGAAUAUUAAUGUUGCCACCGCAUCUGAGAUAGUGUCUUCAUCUCGAAGAAUAGGUUCACCAUUGGUUUCCACUUUAAUUGCAUUGAGAAUGUUGUCUUUGUCUUCCGUGGUAAGAUGUUCAUCCCACCAACCUUUUAGUUGCCCAGUAAAUUCUAUUAUUAGGAUAUGAGUAGCUAAUUGGUCAGUACAACCAUGUGAUGUUCGAUAGGCUAUUGCCACCAUUGUCAUUUGUUGAAGGAUUAUCAAAAUGUUGUAUUCAGAAAUUCCAUCUAUGCUCCAUUCAUAUAUGUUGUUAGCAUUAUAUGAAUUUUGUAAAAUAUUUAAUUUUUCUUCUAGAAGGAUGUCUGGAUAUGUGGCACUGGAAUAGUAUAGUUUUUGUGGAUUUUUUCAGUUGGUAAUCUGGUUUUGUGAAGAAAAAGGUUGAUGUAAUUUGUUUAAGGUUAAAGACUCUUGAGGUUCUCCUUUGGUAAUGGUGCAAGCUGUUUGACUAACACUUGCAGAACCUUGGUUAUUUGACCUUUGUUUGGAUAUUGGGGUAGAAAAUGAUUGUUCUAUUUUGGCUAUUCAUUUUUCUAAUUGGGUUAAGGGUUUGUUUUGAAGUUCUUUCUGAAAUUUGGUUGGUAUUUCAUGAGGUUUGAAAAUUGGGUUUGAUGAAGAAGUGGUUACAGAAGGAAUUUUGGGAAUGGGUUAGGUUAAGAGAUAUUCUCCAAGUGUUUGAAGGUACUUGUUGGUAUAAUUAUUUUGCUCAUAGAUUCCCUGAAUGUCUUUGCCAUUGAUUGCACUUUCAUCCUGGGUACUUUUGAGUUUGAAAGGUUUGGCAUUGAUCUCCGUUGAUUUGUAUGUGAAAGUGAUUGACUUUGGUGGUGGAAGUUGUGCUUGGAUUUCUCCUUCAGCUGUCUGCCACCUUGUUAUCACAUUUGUUGUUUGCGAAAAAGAAUAAUCAAUCCCUUUUCUUUGUGAAUAUACCUCAAACCAAUUGAAGAAUUGAAUGUGUUGUUUUGUUCUUCUAAGAAACCCAUAGAAAUCUUCUUGUAUUUUUUGUCGAUACUGUCCCUUGUACUUGUCAAAGAACCACAUUCUUUUUCAAUAAUUGUUGUCUGCAUAAAAUUCUGUUAUGAUACUUUGUCUAUCCAAAGAAAUCACCCUUAACUCAUCAAGUUGAGAACGACUCUCUGUUAUUGAAGAAUAUGUAGGAGAUCUAGGAAGUCCUUCUUGCUCCACAUCAUCAGAGGAUUCAUCUUGGACCUCUGAAGGAGUAGGUCUGCUAGUUGCAUACCUUGCCUGUGGAAUCUUAGAAGAAAGAUCUAGAUUUUGUAGUCUGGUUGAAAUGGAAGGAGUCAGUGGCCUGUCUGAAACUGAUCUUUUUUCUGUUGAGUAUCUAGGUAUGUCUAUACCAGUUGUUGAAGAAGAUGAUGCCUUGAAACUCAUAGAUCUGUCAAAUUUGAUUUGAACAGCUCCAAAAGCAAAUUGUUGGAUGUUUGAAAUUGUUGUAUUUUGUAUAGGAUCUGCUGGGGCUACUUCAGGAAGAACUCAGCUUUCUGAUAGUGAGAUCUGAUUCCAGGUGAUAGAUCUUGGAACUGUAAUCCGAGAUCUAGCCAAAUCUGUUUGAAAUAAGACUGUUUCUCUUUUUCGUAAUGUUUUUAAAGCCCCUGUUCUAAAAGCUGAAUUCAUAACUUUGUAUUGAAUUCUAUAAAUAAUAGCUACAGGAAGAGUCCCAGUUUUGACUCUAUAGUUAGCAAUUUUUAUGUUUAAUGUUAAAGCAUCUAGAAUAUUUUUGUCUUUUAAAGAGACUGUAAAGUUUGGAAAACAAUCAAAAUAUGUUGGUCCUCCACAAAGGCUAGUUUCUGACAUUUCUAGGAGGGAAUCAUUGAAUUCUAAGAAUAUGUUAUCUCUAAGACAAAGGAGUAGGGAUGUGUCAAAUCCUUCUCUUGUCAGAAGUUUAGCUGCAAUUUGUACUAAUCCAAAAUGAAUACAAUUGUAUUUUUCUUUAUGUUUUUCUAUUGUUCUUUUGGAUAAUAGUUUGAUUUCUUCAUGAUCAGUAUCUAAAGCUAUAGUUUGUUCUACUGUUUUAAUUGUAUAAUCUGAAGUGGAAAACAUCCACUUUCUAUCUCUUUUGUAUAUAUCAGUUUGAGUAUAUUUUGGAAUUUCCCAAUUGUUUAUGUCUUGAUUGACAUAUUGUAUAUGAAUUUCUUCUUUUAGUUUAGUGUUUGAAGAAGAACUAGAAGAGGUAGAAUUGGUUCUAAAAAAGGAAGCCAUAAACAAAGACAACUAAAAAUAAAAUAAGCUUAAAUAAAUGAAUGAACUUUAUAUUCCUCUUCCCUUUGGCACAGAAUCCUUCAGGAUCCAUGGAGAAUAACUAUUUUUCUUAAUCAAAUUAUAAAGGAUAGUGUGAAAAUUUACAAGAAAAGAUUUAAUCUUUUGAAAAAGAUUAACUAUACAUGAUGACCAUAUUUCCAUCAUAAUAAAGAUAAUAAUAAACCUACGAGAAUAGAUCUAAAUCCUCUGAGAAAGAUUAACUAUGCAUGACAACUAUAUUUCCAAACAAAAUCAUAAGAUUGAUAGUUAAAAUCCAUUUUCCCUGGAUCUGAUCUUUUGACACUUCCCCGUCCUGGAGCAUACCACCCCAAGAACCUUAACACCCUUACAGAGCCAAAUCCCCAUGGUCUUACCUGGACCGGAUGCUAGCACUUACUGGUUCCAUGCUCUUUAACCAAAUCCAAAGUCAUGAAAUCAAUACUAUCAAAAUUAUAAAGUGCUUGAAUACAUUAGAUAGUAAUCAUGAAAUUGACCAGUCUCAUCUAAUCAGAUCUAAACUUGUAGAUCUACACUAUCUCUGUAGCAUAAAUAAAGGAAUAUGGUAAUCACGAAGUUAAUAAAUCUCAUUAGAAGGAUAUAAACUUGUGGAUUUACACUAUCAACAUCAUAAUAAGUAAAGAAGGAUAGCCAUCUCCAUUUUCCCCUCUGGCUCUGAUACUAAUAGAUCUAAACUUGUAGAUCUACACUAUCAAUAGCAUAAAUAAAGAAAGAUGGUAAUCACGAAAUUAAUAAAUCUCAUUAGGAAGAUAUAAACUUAUAGAUCUACACUAUCAACAUUAUAAUAAGUAAAGAAAGAUAGCCAUCUCCCCACUUCCCCCUCUGGCUCUAAUACCAAAUGGGACUGGUCAACUUCGUGAUUAUUAUCUAAUGUAUUCAAGUACAUUAUAAUUUUGAUAGUAUUGAUUCAUGACUUUGGAUCUGGUUAAAAGGCAUGGAACCAGUAAAUGCUAGCAUCCGGUCCAGGUAAAACCAUGGGGAUUUGGCUCUGUAGGGGUGUUAAGGUUCUUGGGAUGGUAUGCUCCAGGACGGGGAAGUGUCAAAAGAUCAGAUCCAGGGAAAAUGGAUUUUUACUAUCAACCUUAUGAUUUUGUUUGGAAAUAUAGUCGUCAUACAUAGUUAAUCUUUCUCAAAAGAUUUAGAUCUAUUCUCGUAGGUUUAUUGCUAUCUUUAUUAUGAUGGAAAUAUGGUCAUCAUGUAUAGUUCAUCUUUUUCAAAAAGUUAGAUCUUUUCUUGUAAAUUUUCAGACUAUCCUUUAUAAUCUAAUUAUAAAAAAUGGUUAUCCUCCAUGGAUCUCGAAGGAUUCUGUGCCAAAGGGAAGAGGAUUAUAAGUUGCUUAAAUCAUAAGUUGUUUGAUUAUUUUAUUAUUUUGUUUAUGGCUUCACCAGUUAAAGCAUACUUCAUAUCUUCUGGUUCUUCUUUAAACAACAAACUUUUAAAUGAUCUCCAAACCAGAAUUGCUCGAAUUGAGCAUUCAAUUCUUAUUCAAAGAAAACAAGAAGAUAAAUCUCCUGAAUUCUAGAUUGACAAAGAAAAACUUAUAUCUGAAUUCUAUGCAAACCACAACUAUUUUAAAAGAAAACAAUUUUUUAACAAAUACCAGGGAAAAGCCCGAAAAAAUAUACAAGAAAACUUUUAUGAUUUUUUAGAAAAAACAAAACAGAAUAUUCAUUUCUUUGACUGGUAUGAGUCUCAAACAUCUAAGGUGUCCACACCACAACUCAAAAAUCCAGAUCAAAAUGCUUUAAAACCUGCUUUCACUAAAUCAAAAACUCAGGAUUUUACAUCAGAUCUUGUAGAGCCGGUCCAAACUAAGUUAAAAUCCAUAAAUCUAUCUCAAACAAUCCAUAUACCAGAAACCUCUCAUAAAUCCAUAAACCCAGCAGAUAUAGAUCUACCAGAUUCUCCUAAAGAAUUAUCAAACCUCUUGUCUAUUGAAAUUGCAAAACUUUUAUCCAAUCAACCAAUAGAAAAUUUUGAUCUUGAUAUUAAAAAAGAUAUAGGAAAAUCCUUAGACAUAGAAUAUUUCUCAAUAAAAGUUUUAACUAAAAUUCAAACUAGUUUCAAACUUGUUACUAUUAAAGAUCUUCAAACAGAAAAUACCUCUCUCAAUAGGAAAGUUAAAACAAUUGAGAAAAUAGUCCAAUCAACUACUAAAGAAGAUCCUUCUCAAUCAAAUAUAAUAUUUUACAAAAAAUAUUUUACUCUUAUAAGACUAGUUAUUAGUGACAAUAUAAUUGCAAAAACAGAAGGUUUAUUUGACACAGGAGCUGAUCUCAGUUGUAUUCAAGAAAGUCUUAUUCCAACAAGGUUUUUCGAAAAAACAAAAGAAAGCCUUAGAGGAGCCAAUGGUUCCCAAUUAAACAUUCAGUUUAAACUUUCAAAUAUUCAAGUUCAAUUUUCCUCUGCUUCCAUUAAAGAAACAUUUCUCUUGGCCAAAGACCUAACUAACAAUGUGAUUCUUGGAACAACUUUUGUUACCAAACUUAUUCCUUAUUUGACUACUGAGGAAGGUAUCAUACCCCAAAAAUAUGGGCAAAAUGCUCUCUUACCCUUCUCCAGAAAAACAAUUCAAAAAACAUAAAUUAUCUAUCUCUCAAACAUAGCCAAAUCAAUUUCUUAAAAGAAGAAAUUGCCUAUAAAAGGAUAGAUGAACUGCUCAAGAAACCAGAAAUCCAGCAAAAAAUUCAGAAUUUACAAACAAAAAUCCAAGGGAUAGUUUGUGUAGAAGUUCCACAUGCAUUUUGGGCAAGAAAACAGCAUACUGUCCAUCUUCCUUAUGAACCUGACUUUGAGGAAAAGGAUAUUCCAACAAAAGCCAAACCUAUACAGAUGAAUCAGGAGCUACUCCAACAUUACCAGAAGGAGAUUAAUGACCUCCUAUCCAAACGCAUUAUUAGUCCAAGUCAAUAUCCAUGGAGCUGUCCAGCGUCCUAUGUUAACAAACAAUCAGAGAUUAAAAGAGGAGUUUCUAGGCUUGUAAUGUGAGAACCAGUAAAUUUCUCAAUUUCUAGGCCUUAUUUUAUUUAUUUGCACAUCUUUUCCGCAUUUUCUUUAGUAGAAAAAUUUUCUAAAUAAUUUUUAUGGGUAAAUAUAGUUUUUAGACGAUUUUUCUAGUACCGGUUAGUUUUUAAGAAAUUAAGAGCGUAUACCGGACGUGGGACCCGCUAGCGCGAAAAGUUCGAAAAAAUUCGGCCAGUUAGGUUAAGUUUUGAAUAUCGGGUUUAUUUUAGCAGGUGUUAAGAGAUAACUAGAGGUUACUAAAUGGAUUAGUGUGAGAGGAAGAAAGAGAUAGCCAUGCAUUAAAUGGAGUGACAAGUGUCAUUUGGUGAUUAAUUCUUACAUUUUGACCACUAUUCACCAUUUUACCAAAUAAACCAAAAAUUGACCAAAAAUCUCUUCAUUUCAAGCUUCUCAUAGCCGGCCCUCUCUAGGAAGAAAAGAAAAGAAAAGCUCUCCAAUUUCUUGCUUCAAUCUUGCUCAAUUCAACAAACCAACCGAUUAAUCUUGUAUUUGUUCCAUAAAAAUCCUUAGGUUAGUGAUUGUGAGGUGAUUAGUGAAGUGAUUUGGAAGGAUAAGGUGCUAAGUGAUCUCUUUUCCUUGGUUGAUAAGGUGAGUAGUUCAGGAACCUCUUUUUUCUAUCUAAUGAUGCUUAAUUAGUGGCUUGUGGUAGCCUAAGAGGUGAUUUUGUGGGUUAUAUCAUGAUUUUGUUGAGAUUGGUGAAUUUUUCUAUUUAUUCCAUGAAUUUUUCUGUUUUAUAUGUGUAAUAUGGUGUGGCCAUGGAUGAUGGUUGAAAAUGGUUUAGAAUGAAGCCUUAGUGCGUAAAUUGUGGCUAUUUGCGGAAAAAUUUCUGCUUUGAAAGGAAAUUUCGGAAUUAGGGUUUCAAUUAACCACAUUCUGCCCGGUACUGUUUCCCUUAGUUAGAGGCUGAAUUAGCCUUGGGUUAAAACAUGAAAUUGUAGAGAAUAGUAUUUUAUAGUUGUCUGCAAAAUUUCAGACCAAUCAGAGCAACGUAGCCUAUGAUAACACUGAAAUACGCGUGCUGCCCUGUUUCUGUCCGAACCUGGUGAUCAGCUUUGGUAAUUGGUUAAUUUGAUUGGGAAUACUACUAAUUUGGUUGUUGAUAUCUUCUUAAGAAAUAUAGCCUGGUAUCUUAGCUUUCGGAUGGCUUUGAAAUCACUUGAAUUGGACUUCGGUAGCCUAAAUUAGGGUUAUUUAACCAGAAUGCGGUUCAUUAACCUGUUUAUACGGUUCUGGUUUAGUACAUUGAAUUUUGACUUAGUUGCACUACAAACUGGACUGAGUGGCCUUCUUCAACAUUGUAGCCCUUUCUGUUAGUUUCAAAAUGGUGUAUAUUGUACUCCCAUCCGAUAAUCGUAGCGCCAGUUGUGUCUAAUACGCUAAAUGACGUCAAAACUGUUUUUGGGUUUUAGAGCUAAACUUUCAUUUCCGGACUUUCUCUAGUUUACUCUAGCACUUAUAGUUCUAAUGGAACCUUAUUCUUGGUAGUAUGUGGAAUUGGUUUAUGACUUGUAAUAUAGUCUUAUUGUGCUUGUUUGAACAUUUUAGGGCGUGACGGUGAUUCAAGACGCUCUUUGGGCAGAAGUGUAUGAAAUUUCACUUGCUUGCUUGGUGAGUGUACUACUCACUUGCUUGUUACUAUGUGGAUUUGUUACAUUUGAACUUGAUAUCUUGAAUGCUUAUUUGCACCAUUGAAACUGAUUAAAGUGAGGGUGUACUUGAUCGCCUUCACCCCUUUUGUAUUAUAUAUGACUGUCUACUGUGGUACUUGAAUGGUACAUGAAAUACUGGAUUUGGUGUCGUUUGGACGAGUAUCCAACGGCCAUUACUAUCACUACUGAGUUCAACCCCAUUGGUAGUCGAUUGAAUCGAGCCAACGAGAGAUUGGUCGUGAAAAUUGACGAGCCAUGGGGACUGUUAUAUGGAAUCUUAUAGUAUGAGACUCUCGAUUCCGGUAUACUCGAGUAUUACCAAUUUUAUACUGAAUGGAGUUUGGACCCAGUAGGGGUAUGUUGGGUGGAAGGAAUGGAAGUAAAGUGAAGCCUACGGUUGGUUAUAUUGUAAUAAAGUCCGAUUAAGUAUACAAGCGAGGAAAGGGGCUUUUGAGAGCCGUCCGUAUCCUUUUAUCAAUUCUAUGGAUAUGUGCCCUUGGUUCACUUCCUACUAGAUGAAUUGGAAUGAAAUACUAUAUGCUUAUAUGAACUUCGUUGCUUGAAGUGGUAGUAUAUCACUGGGCGUAAUCUCACUCUAUCCCUUUUGUUUUCCUUACAGGAAUUUGAAUACUUUUGGAAUGGCUUUGAUAGUUGGUUGCCGAGUUGAGCUAGUUGAGAAUACAUUUUGUAUAGCUCCUCAAUGCAUGAAACCUUAGAUGUAUUUUGAUCCGUUCCCUCUUUUGAAUUGUAAGAUUGAACCCGUACAUGUGUACAUGAGUUUGGUAACUUUGGUAUGCUGUUUUGGCUUGUAAAUGCUAAAUUUCAAGGUGUAUAUGUUUGAUUGAUGUAUGGUUGGAUUUCGAACAGAUUCGAAUUUCAAACGGCGAAAGGAAAAAUUUUGGCGGGAAAGAACAGGGUCGAAUCCGACCAAGAAUCCGGCCAGAAACUGGCUUGAUUGGCAGCCGGAUUGACCUAAGAAUUUUUGGAAAUCCGGCUUUGCUCUCUGGCCAGUAUCCGGCCAAGAAUCCGGCCGGAAGACGUGUCAGUUACUAUUCAUGUUCGGCUCCGAUUUUCAUUUUUUUAUUUUUAUGAUUUUGACUUGUUUAAGCACACUUGUAUGUUCCGGAAUGUUUUAGCUCACUUUGAACUAUCUCGUUAGUUCUAGCGAGAGUUGGGCAGGCAGUCCGCUAACCCCUUUGGUUCGCCUUAGAGGAAGGUGGGGCUGUCACAGGUGGUAUCAGAGCCUAGGUUUGAAUUGGUUUGGGCGUGUUAGAAAUGCUCGACUUGAGGAUUAUUUUGAUUGUGUCCCUUAAGGUUAUUUAUGAUUAUUUACUCUUUUGGUAUAGGAUGGACGGGCAUAGUGGGCCUAGUGGUAGCCCUACUGGUGAGCGACCGCAUGGGGUGCUUCCGAUGAUUAAGUACCAGAUCCGGCCAAGAGGGGCUGUCGUGCAUUGGAGUUCGGCGAACCGCCUCCGACGUUAUGAGUGUCGUCACACUUACGCCUACCCUAACAUCUUAGUGUUGGCCGUGGCAGAGGAACAGAAGGAGUUGGCAAAAGAUAACGCUAGGCUCGAGGCCGAGGUAAACCAACUGAGGGCGGCCAACGAGAAACAAGCCAAGCGAAUCAAGGAUUUAGAGUACGAUGUGAUCGAGUGUGAAGAUAGGCUGGACGACCUCUGCGCUCAGUUUAGAGAGGCACGCGAGCGUAUGACUACGCGAGCUCAGAAGGUUAGGGUUCGAGCCGAGUCGAUCCUGAACCUCUGCGACGACUUGGUCGAGGAGGAAAGCAACAGGGCAUCGUGCACAGGGGCCGGGGCAGGAGGUGAACCCACCUCGUCGGGUGGAUCCAUUAGCCCAACUACGGAUUAGGUCGUACUUUUGGGGGGCCUUUUGGAGGUUUUUGACUAUUGUAUAUAGGAUGGAUAGGGAUGGAUAGACCUGGGAAAGAGCGUUAGCUAGCCGUUGUGUACGUUUGGACUAGCAAUGUGUAUAUUACUUUUGGUGAUGCCUUUCCCUUGUGGACUGUUUUGUUGUACCUGACUUGACUGCUUGAUGUUAUGUGCUUUGUUUUACUUGUUUGGAAUGUAUAUAUAUGCUUUGUUAUUAAAGUUUUGGGUUCUUAUUUGCUGGUAUGGUUACUUAUUGCUCUAGUUACGUUUGCCUAAAUUAAUAGAUUUCAUGGAAAGCACACGUAGUGGACGGGGACAUGGGCGUGGGAGUAGGUAACCUACGUCGGACCGGGGUGCUGGGGAAACCUCAUCGGGACCUAAUUCUGAACCGAGGGUUGACCCCAACGUGCAAAUAGUUGACGCUAUGCAGCAAAUGACCAACCUGCUGACACAAGUGGUGCAGCAACAGGGCCAAAGCCCGAACCCUAAUCCUGGAAAUCCUGGCAACCACGUCGGGAGCGAGGACAGAGCUCUCGAAAGAUUCCAAAAGUUUGCUCCACCCAAGUUUAUUGGGGGGUCCGAUCCGGAUAUAGCCGAAAGAUAGCUCGAGAAGAUGGUGGAUAUUUUUGCGGCCCUGCACUACACCGAAGAAAGGCAUGUGACUUUUGCUGUCUUUCAGCUAGAAGGGGUGGCCCAUUCCUGGUGGAAUGUUAUUCGGCAAAAAUGGAAACGGGAACAAAUGCCCAGGAUUUGGAUGAACUUUAUGCGGGAGUUCAACGCGAAAUUCUUCCCUCCUCUAGUCCAGGAACGGAAGGAAGAUGAGUUUAUCCGACUCCGCCAAGGGGCCCAGUCGGUAGCGGAGUACGAGAGUUAGUUGACCCGCCUAUCCAAAUUUGCUCCUGAGCUGAUCAUGACCGAACAACGUGAAAUAAGGCGCUUUAUCCAGGGUCUGAACGUAGAAAUCCAGAAGGAUCUCGUGGUGGCCCAGAUUAAUGCUUUUAGCGAGGCCGUGGAGAAGGCCCAACGGGUAGAGAGCGCUAGGGUUCAAGUACGGAACUUCCAGGCAAAGAAGCGAGACUUACCUGAAAGCAAUUCCGGGCAAGGAGAUAAAGGUACCCCCUCCAAGUUCGGACGGGGAGCUGGAGGUGGUUGAUAGUCGGGUUUCAGCCGAGGGGCUCAGUCCAGGGGUGGCUCAGCCGGGAGAGGCCAGGGCGGGAACUUCCAGAAGGGUUCAGGUUCGGCGUCCUGUGGGCCUUGUGGGUACUGCGGCAAGCCGAAUCACUCCGAGGAUAAUUGCUGGAAGAAGGAGGGCAAAUGUCUGUGCUGCAGAAGUGUAGACCACCGACUUGCCACCUGCCCAGUCCUAAAGCAAGACGAAAAGGGAGCCCAACGAGCGCCAAAGACUAAUGCGGGACCAGUUAAGGGAGACGAGACAAAACCCAAGGUACCAGCUCGAGUGUACUCGUUAGAGUCCCAACAGGCCCCAGAUUCCUCUGAGGUCGUAGAAGGUACGAUCCUUAUCUUCCACCGCUUUGCCAAAGUUUUAAUAGAUCCUAGUGUCACUCAUUCCUUCGUUAACCCUAAUUUCAUGUGUGGCAUUGAUAUAAAACCUGCUAGUUUACCAUACGACCUAGAAGUUAGUACACCUACGGGGAAUCAACGUUUGGUUACUAGUGUGGUUUAUAAGGAUUGUGAAGUGUGGGUAGGAGAGAAGAGAUUGUUAGGAGAUUUGAUAAGUCUGUCCAUCAUGGGGUAUGAUGUGAUUCUGGGCAUGGACUGGCUAGUUAGGUAUAAUGCCCAACUAGACUGUAAAAUGAAGGUGGUAGAGUUCCGCAUUCCGGGGGAGGCGACGCUACGGUUAGAUAUAAGGGGAAGAUUAGCCUCAUCUGUCCUGAUCUCGGACAUUCGGGUUAGGAAACUGUUAAAUCGAGAGGUGCAAGGAUUUUUAGCCUUUCUAAUCAACACCCCCACGGAUAAGUUAAAGGUAGAAGACAUACCCAUAGUAAGGGAAUACCCGAAUGUAUUUCCCGACGAGCUAGUAUCUUUGUCUCCGGAGAGGGAGAUAGAAUUCAAAAUCGACCUGUUACCUGGAACCUCGUCUAUCUCAAAAAUCCCAUACCGAAUGGCCCCUGCGGAGCUCAAGGAGUUAAAAUUGCAAUUACAAGACCUUCUGGAGCGGAGGUUCAUUCAAGAGAGUGGGUCUCUUUGGGGAGCUCCUGUCCUGUUUGUAAAGAAAAAGGACGAUAGUUUGAGAAUGUGUAUUGAUUACCGGGGUCUGAACAACGUUACAGUUAAGAAUAAGUACCCACUGCCCCAUAUUGACGAGUUGUUCGACCAGUUACAAGGAGCGGUGGUCUUCUCGAAAUUGGACCUCCGCCAGGGGUAUUACUAGUUAUUGAUUAGAAAAGAGGAUAUUCCAAAAACCGCUUUCAAUUCGAGAUAUGGGCAUUACGAGUUCGCAGUUAUGCCCUUUGGAUUAACCAAUGCUCCUGCCGCCUUUAUGGACUUAAUGCAUAGGGUUUUUAAACCCUACUUGAAUUGAUUUGUCGUGGUCUUCAUCGACGACAUUUUGGUUUAUUCGAAGACGCAGGAGGAGCACGAACAAUACUUGAGGAUCGUUUUACAAACCCUAAGAAACCAUCAACUGUACGCCAAGUUCAGCAAGUGCGAAUUUUGGCUGGAGAAAAUUUCUUUUCUAGGGCACGUAAUUUCUCAAGAGGGUAUCUCAGUAGACCCGGCGAAAGUAGAGGCCAUGACUAAUUGAAAGAGGUCAGAAAACCCAUCGAGAUUCGUAGCUUUCUAGGUUUAGCGGGAUAUUACCGGCGUUUCAUUAAAGAUUUUUCUAAGUUGGCCGGUUCUUUAACUGACUUGACGAAGAAGCAUGGUCGAUUUGUGUGGAAUGUCAAAUGUGAUGUGAGCUUUCAGGAGUUAAAGAAAAGGUUGACUAUGGCACCAGUUUUAGUCUUGCCUAACGGGGUUGAUGGAUUUGUCGUUUACACUGAUGCGUCACGAGAAGGCUUAGGGUGUGUACUGAUACAGAAUCGAAAUAUGAUAUUUUUUGCCUCUAGGAAGUUAAAAUCCCAUGAGCAAAACUACCCAACCCAUGAUUUGAAGUUAGCCGCGGUUGUUUUCGCUCUGAAAAAAUGGAGGCACUACCUAUAUGGGGUAACGUUCGAGGUGUAUUCCGAUCAUAAGAGGCUCAGGUACCUUUUCUCUCAAAAGGAAUUGAAUAUGAGACAGUGAAGGUGGAUGGAGUUUUUGGAGGAUUACGACUGUACCAUCAACUACCAUCCGGGGAAGGCGAACGUAGUGGCCGAUGCCUUAAGUCGCAAGGCUCAGGUAGCAGGGCUGAUGAUCAAGGAAUGGGAUUUGUUGGAAUCCGUUUGCGAGUGAAAACCCUGCCUUGGGAGUCAUAAGGUGAUUUUCGAUAAUAUUAGGGUAACCUCCACCCUACUGGAGCGGAUUAAAGAAGCUCAAAAGGGGGAUCCAAUGGUGCGAAAAUGGGGAGAGAAGGUGGAAAAAGGGGAAACGACUGAUUUCAACUUUAAUACUGAAGGUAUUUUAAAAUACCGGAACCGAAUAGUGGUGCCGAAAGAUGAAGCGUUGAAAACGGAGAUCUUAGAGGAGACCCAUCGAUCCAAGUAUACGAUCCAUCCGGGUAGUAGUAAGAUGUACCAAGACCUAAAAGGAGCCUAUUGGUAGGAUAAUAUGAAGAAGGAAAUCGUCCUGUAUGUACAGAAAUGUCUCGUUUACCAACAAGUUAAGGCGGAGCACCAAAAACCAUCAGGUUUACUACAACUCCUUGAGAUACCCGAAUGGAAAUAGGAGAACAUCACCAUGAAUUUCGUUUUAGGGUUGCUGCGGACGCAAAGAGGGCACGAUGCCGUUUGGGUGAUCGUUGAUCGAUUAACCAAGUCGACCCAUUUCUUGCCGAUAAACAUGAAGUAUUCCAUGGACAAGUUGGCUCAGAUGUAGCUGGACGAGAUCGUGAGACUACACGGCGUUCCGGUCAGCAUCGUUUCCGAUAGAGAUCCUCGUUUCAUAUCUAGGUUUUGGCAGAAAUUUUAAGAAACUCUAGGGACUAAACUCAACUUGAGCACCACCUAUCACUCUCAGACGGAUGGGCAAUCGGAGUGCACAAUUCAAACUCUUGAGAACAUGUUAAGGACCUACAUUCUGGAUUUUGGAGGUAAUUGGCGUCAACACAUGACCUUAGUGGAGUUUGCGUACAAUUAUAGCUAUCAUUCAUCGAUUCAAAUGGCUCCAUACGAGGCACUAUAUGGGCGAAAGUGCCGGUCACCGAUCUAUUGGGACGAAGUUGGCGAGAGGAAAGCACUGGAUCCAACAACUAUUCUAUGGAUGGAAAAAGCUCGAGAAAAAGUUAAAUUGGUACGACAACGACUCCAAACAGCUCAAAAUCGAUAAAAGAGUUACGCGGAUAAUCGAAGAAAAGAUUUGGAGUUCGAAGUUGGAGACCAUGUGUUUCUUAAAGUUACACCGUUACAGAGUGUCACGGCAGGUAGAGGAAAGAAGCUCCAACCUAGGUUUGUUGGACCUUACAAGAUUCUCCAAAGGGUUGGUAAGGUAGCGUAUCGCCUGGAACUACCGUCCAGUCUUUCUCGAAUUCACGACGUCUUCCACGUCUCGAUGCUUAAGAGGUACUAUCCCGACCCAUCCCAUAUCUUACAGUCAGAGGAAAUCGACAUAGAUGAAUCGCUCGCUUACAAAGAGAAACCUGUUCAAUUGCUUGACCGGAAAGUUAAAAAGUUGAGAAACAAGCAGAUUCCGUUGGUUAAGAUACUGUGGAAAAACCAUGGGGUAGAGAAAGUUACCUGGGAGGUGGAAGAAGAGAUGCAAAAGAAAUAUCCAGAACUAUUCGUGAAUCAAGGUGAGAAAUUUCGAGGACGAAAUUCUUUUAAGGGGGAGAGAGUGUGAGAACCCAUAAAUUUCUCAUUUUCUAGGCUUUAUUUUAUUUAUUUGCACGUCUUUUCCGUAUUUUCUUUAGUAGGAAAAUUUACUAAAUAAUUUUUAUGGGUAAAUAUAAUUUUUAGAUGAUUUUUCUACUACCAGUUAGUUUUUGAGAAAUUAAGAGCGUAUACUGGACGUGGGACCCGCUAGCGCGAAAAGUUCGAAAAAAUUCCGCCAGUUAGGUUAAGUUUUGGAUAUCGGGUUUAUUUUAGCAGGUGAUAAGAGAUAACUAGAGGUUACUAAAUGGAUUAGUGUGAGAGGAACAAAGAGAUAGCCAUGCAUUAAAUGGAGUGACAAGUGUCACUUGGUGAUUAAUUCUUACAUUUUGACCACUAUUCACCAUUUUACCAAAUAAACCAAAAAUCUCUUCAUUUCAAGCUUCUCAUAGCCGGCCCUCUCUAGGAAGAAAAGAAAAGAAAAGCUCUCCAAUUUCUUACUUCAAUCUUGCUCAAUUCAACAAACCAACCGAUUAAUCUUGUAUUUGUUCCAUAAAAACCCUUAAGUUAGUGAUUGUGAGGUGAUUAGUGAAGUGGUUUGGAAGGCUAAGGUGCUAAGUGGUCUCUUUUCCUUGGUUGAUAAGGUGAGUAGUUAAGGAACCUCUCUUUUCUAUCUAAUGAUGCUUAAUUAGUAGCUUGUGGUAGCCUAAGAGGUGAUUUUGUGGGUUAUAUCAUGAUUCUGUUGAGAUUGGUGAAUUUUUCUAUUUAUUCCAUGAAUUUUUCUGUUUUAUAUGUGUAAUAUGGUGUGGCCAUGGAUGAUGGUUGGAAAUGGUUUAGAUAUAUGUCCUUGGUUUACUUCCUACUAGAUGAAUUGGAAUGAAAUACUAUAUACUUAUAUGAACUUCGUUGCUUGAAGUGGUAGUAUAUCACUGGGCGUAAGCUCACUCUAUCCCUUUUGUUUUCCUUAUAGGAAUUUGAAUACUUUUGGAAUGUCUUUGAUAGUUGGUUGCCGAGUUGAGCUAAUUGAGAAUACAUUUUGUAUAGCUCCUCAGUGCAUGAAACCUUAGAUGUAUUUUGAUCUGUUCCCUCUUUUGAAUUGUAAGAUUGAACCCGUACAUGUGUACAUGAGUUUGGUAACUUUGGUAUGCUAUUUUGACAUGUAAAUGCUAAAUUUCAAGGUGUAUAUGUUUGAUUGAUGUAUGGUUGGAUUUCGGACAGAUUCGGAUUUCAAAUGGCGAAAGGAAAAAUUUUGGCGGAAAAGAACAGGGUCGAAUCCGGCCAGAAACUGGCCGGAUUGGCGGCCGGAUUGAUCUGAGAAUUUUUGGAAAUCCGGCUUUGCUCUCUGGCCAGUAUCCGUCCAGGAAUCCGGCCGGAUUCUGACGUGUUAGUUACUAUUCAUGUUCGGCUCCAAUUUUCAUUUUUUUUAUUUUUAUGAUUUGACUUGUUAAAGUACGCUUGUAUGUUCCGGAACGUUUUAGCUCGCUUUGAACUAUCUCGUUAGUCCUGACGAGAGUUGGGCAGGCAGUCCGUUAACCCCUUUGGUUCGCCUUAGGGGAAGGUGGGGCUGUCACAUGUAAUCAAUUACAAAGCCUUAAACAAAGCUCUUCGAUGGAUCAGAUAUCCCAUACCUAACAAGAAGGAUCUACUUCAAAGGCUUUAUUCUGCCAAAAUAUUCUCAAAAUUUGAUAUGAAGUCGGGAUUUUGGCAAAUUCAGAUUCUUGUCUCAGACAGAUACAAAACAGCAUUCACAGUACCAUUUGGGCAUUACGAAUGGAACUUAAUACCAUUUGGACUUAAAAAUGCUCCUUCUGAAUUCCAAAGAAUUAUGAAUGAGAUAUUCAGUCCUUAUUCCUCAUUCAUCAUUGUCUACAUUGAUGAUGUUCUAGUUUUCUCAAAAAAUAUUGAACAACAUUUCAAACACCUAAAUACCUUUCUUCAUAUCACCCAGAAAAAUGACCUUGUUGUCUCUCAAAAGAAAAUUAGCCUCUUUCAAACCAAAAUUAGGUUUCUUGAACACCAUAUUCACCAAGGAACUAUUACCCCUAUAAAUAGAUCAAUUCAGUUUGCUAAUAAAUUUCCUGACCAAAUUUUUGACAAACAACAACUUCAAAGAUUUUUGGGUUGUCUAAACUAUGUAUCAGAUUUCAUACCAAAUAUUAGUAAUUUAGCUAAACCAUUAUAUGACAGAUUAAAAACUACUCCACCCUUAUGGACUGAUAUUCAUACUAAGACAGUUAGAAAAAUCAAAACUGAAUUCAAAGCCAUUCCCUGUCUUGUUCUUCCAGAUCCAACAGCUCAAAAGGUUAUGGAAACGGAUGCUUCAGAUUUAGGAUAUGGUGGUAUUCUUAAACAGACAAAAAAUAAUAAAGAACAAAUAAUUGCUUUUGCUUCUAAAAAUUGGAACAAUUCGCAGCAAAAUUAUUCUACUAUCAAAAAAGAAAUUUUAGCAAUAGUUUUAUGUAUUACAAAAUUCCAAACUGAAUUACUAAAUUAGAAGUUUUUACUUCGGGUUGAUUGUAAAUAAGCUAAAGAUGUUUUACAAAAAGAUGUUAAAAAUCUUGCCUCUAAACAAAUCUUUGCAAGAUGGCAAGCAAUUUUAUCAAUUUUUGAUUUUGACAUUGAAUACAUUAAAGGGUCUUCGAAUUCUGUUCCUGAUUAUCUAACUCGAGAAUUCUUGCAGAGAAGAUAAGAUGCCCAAGAAAAAGAAACAACAGGAGAAAUCCUCAGAUAAACCAGAUCCCUCUUCUCAAACAACCAAACAAGACUCUUCGAGUUCUUCCAGUUCAUCCCAAACAGAAAAGAAGUUAUCUUCUUCAAACUUAACUCCAAACAGGUUUCAAACUCUUUCUUCUCCUCAACCCAUAUCUAUAGCCUCUCUUAAAACAUGGGUUGAUAUAGCCAAAGAAGAAGAUGAAAAACAAUUAUGCUUUGAACACCUCAAACAAUGGGUUGAAUCACAUGGAUACCAACCUGAAUCACCAGGAUACCCUAUUUGGGAUACACCAAAUCAUCUCAAAAUAGUUUUGGCUCAAAAUUUCAAACCAAAACCUCUUGUUAUUCAAGAACAAAAACCCAAAUCACUUACUAUCCAAGAACCCAAAACCCUAGUUAACCUUGAACCAAAACCAAACAAAGUUUCUUGCCCCUAUAUCAAAUCAAGUACCCAUAUUCCUGUGGUUCAAACUGAACUUGAUUGUUGGCAUAAUGAUCCAAACCUCCUGGCCCAAGCUAUUUUGCCAGAUACUUACAAUUUUAUACCUCAAACUCUUACCAAGACACUUGAGUAUUACAAACUUAUUCUCACGGAUUCAAAGUCUCUAAUCCUUAAACCUCACAAUACAGAAAUGAGAGAAAAGAACGGAAAUCCUACUGGAAAAUACAUCAAUACUCAUUCUAGUUCCCAGAUUCUAAAGGUUAUUAAGCCAUUAGAAUGGGGAACAAACCUAAGUAAACCCAAACCUUUUACUACUUCCCUUAAUCCCCCAAGAUAUACAUAUUAGGAUUAUAAGGCAGCCUGGUUCUAUACAUUUACCUUUCAAAAUGAACUAAACCAACAUUCUUAUCUUUUCUAUUUUUUGAAAACAAACAAAUAUGAAUUCCCAACAUGGUUUGUAGCAUGGUGGAAAGCAAUUGGACUUAAUCUGGAAAUUCUUCCUCCAGAUAUCCGACAAAGCUACAACCAUUUGAAAAAAGAUUUGAACCUCCAAACAACUAUAUACCAAUCAACCUGCACUUCUUUUCCAUAUUCUCGGUAGCAUGGGUCUACCAGUGAAAAUAUGAGUAUAUACAGCAAACACAAAUCACUGAUAAACAAAAGUUGUCAAGCAACUCAAAGAUAUACUUCAGCAACUGGAUCAAUCAAAAGAGACUUCAAACAAAGAAGAGGCCUCCAAUUCCGGAACAAAACUUGAGGAAUACGAAGGUCUAGAAAAUGAAGAUGAUUGUUAUGGAAUUUUCUCACAAAUUUCAUAAAAAUCCCAAAGACAAACAAAAUACUUCUACUGUAGCAGUCUGGCAAGUUACGGUGCAAACACGGCAACAAAAGACAAACAAUGCACUGUAGCACUAUGAAACAUUUUGCUAUAAAUACCCCUCAAACCCAACACAUUCCACACACAAUUCCAACACCAUUUCUUCAAGACCACUUCUCUCUCUAGUUUGAAGAACCUCUCCUCCCUCUCUCUACAAACAAGUUCUUAGUUUUUAUAUUUUAGUUUUUAGAUCAAACAAAGGAGCUUGGUACAAGCUUCAUAUCCUUGUAAGUUUUCUUUUAUUUUUGUAAUUCUUAUAUUCAAUCAAAUGGUCGGUUGAGCCGCCUCAUAUCCAUUUAAUUCUUGUUUUUACAUUCUGUCUUUACAUUCUGUUAUACAUGACUGGUUCAACCACCUAUACUAACUAGUGGCAGUCCGACUGCGACCCACUUCUUAAUCUUUAUGCUUUCAAUUCCCUCUGCUUUCCUUUCUUUCCUGGUUUAAGGGGCUAACCCCUCGUCCUGUCUGGUAUCAUUUUAAACAAAAUAUUUAUAUUUAUAUAUAAAUAUAUAAUAUUUAUUGCAAUUGAUAUAAUAUAUAUAAUAUACAUAAUUAAAAUAUACAUAUUAAUAUUAGUAUAAUUUAUAUAUAAAAAAUAAUAUACAUAAUUGAAAUAUACAAAUUGAAAUAUACACAUUAAUAUACAUAUUAUAAAAACCAAAAUGAAAUAAAAAAUAUUAUAUAUAAAUAAAUGUAUAUAUAUAUUAUAAAAUGAAAUUGAAAUCGAAAUCGAAAAAUCUGAUUUCUAUUUUCGAUUUCAAAAACUCCAUUACCGAAUUCGAACCAAAUUCGCAUAAUUCGAAAUAAAAAAUUCUGAAUAAAUAUGUAAAAUUGGAGUUGUUUUUGAUAUAUUGUUUGGAUAUAGUGUUUUUGGAGUUAUUUUUGUUUAUGUAUUACUGUAGCAUUGUAGAUGAAAAAUUUUUUUUCAAAAAAUGCUGAAUCCAAACAGAGCCCAUGUAUUUUUCUUUUUUCUUUUUGUCAGCAGUUAAUCAAGAGGGGAAUCUAAAUAGAAUUUUUCCUAAAUUUUUAAGUAAUUGCAAACAUAGUUACACGAAAAAACCUCGUCAUUACACGGUCACAUAGCCGAGAUUCAAGAAAUAGUGUAAACAUGAGUACACAUCCUGAAUCGUUCGAGGUGUUAAACAAAUUUCAAUCCCAAAGGCACAUGAUUGCUAGCAGCAGCGGUGUACAACAUGAUCCCUUACGUGCUGGUCAAACUGAACCGCAACCACUACCCCUACCCUAUAUUCAAACCUCUUUUACUCCAUAUUUCGUAAAUCCACCUGAGGAAGCUUUCAUACAUCCCACUUAUGGCCUACCACAUACCUAUAUAUCUAAUAUCCACAUCAAUUCUCCUCACACUCAAGCUCCUCAAAAAAUUAUCCACUUGUUGGACCAUUGAGAUCCCUCCCUCUUGAAGGAAAGUUUCGAUAAAUUUAGGGAAUUGUUUUGGCUAAAAUCAAUGAAAAAUCAUUCAUACGUGUGUCUUUUGUUUUAUUAUAUUUUUUGUAAAUAGUUUUCAUUCAAGUGGCUUUUGAAGACACGUUUCGUUUAGCAAGUAACAUGAUAUUAAGUUUGAUUUUUCUUGAAAUGCAAUAAAAUGUACAGUUUUUUAUAUACUGUGUUACUUACACAUUCUUUUCAGAUGGCCCAUAAUAAAAUCUCCCGACCCUUUGGAUAUUACCAUUUCGGAAUUUGAUGGCUGUAAUCUCGAUACCGCAUGAAUGUAAGAAUAGCGAGAAGGUAUCCGAACAUACUUCAAAGAGAUUCGAGGGAGGAACUCAAACGAAUAGGGAUCAAGAUGAAGGAAAUAAAAUUAGUAGUCACUUGAAUAAAAAGCAGAAAAAGGAGGCUGAUGGAAAGUAGUGUCAAGAACAAUAAUCUUUAUUUGACAAGAAGCAACCAAAUGCAAUCAAAAGGAGCGAUCCCGUGCUUACAAUAAAAGGGUCAAAUCGUAACUACUCAAAAAAGAGACAAAAUGUUGAGGUAACUGUUGUCGGUGCAAGAUUGGAAAGGGUUUGUUGUUAAAAAAAAGAGGAAAAGAAAAGAAAAAUGAAGAGUAUUGCCCGGCGGAUCACUUAUGUUUCACAGAUAUGAAUAAACAUGAGUCUUCCUCAAUCAAUUAAUUCAGAUACAUGCAAGAAAUUUCGCAUUAAUGGAAGUUUCCUUUCAGAGUUAAUGUAAGGAACAAAAUAAAAGUCAGGCUCUCUUCUUUUCCCAUCAAACAUUCUAUUUAUAAUUACCCCUUUUGAACCUUCAGAAUGAUCAUUUCGUUUGGCAACCCCUGAGAAUCGCAAACUCCACACUGGGACAAAUUUGAAUUUUAACAGAAGAAAACUAGAAAAGAAAGGAAAAACUUCAAAAGAUGAUGGGAAGGCAGAAGGCCGAAAGAAAGGAAAUGAAAGAAAAAAGAACCUCGGUUAAGUAUAAAUUGGGGCAAAUUUUGAAAAUUUCAAAGGAAUGGCAGAAGGCCGAAAAAAAGGAAAUGAAAGAAAAGAGAUCCUAAGUUAAGAAUAAAUUGGGACAAGUUUUGAGUUAACCCUAAUAUAGGGUUGAUGCAACAAUGUGAUUUCAGAUCAUUUAAAUCACUUUUGAAAUCCGCUUUCAAACCUUAACUUUUCUAAAUACCCCAUCUGACCCCAUUACAAAAGUCAAAAAUCCUGACUUCUGUUCUUUGUAAUAUCUUUGUCAAAAAAUUUGCUAAUUAAUUGACAUAUGAUAUUUAUAUACUGAUGCCAGGAAAUUUUUUAGAUGUAUUUUUGAAUUAAUUAAGUGUGAGGUUGACACUACUCAUCAUGUGAAAACCCGCAAGGACGCUUUUAAAAGAGAAAAGGAGAAAGGAAAAAGAAAAUCAAGAAGGAAAAUAGGGAAAAAAGAGAAAGGAAAAGAAAAACAAAAGGAUGGAGGAUAAUCUUGAUAAAAACCCGAAAUGACGCUAAGGUAGGGUUGCACAAAAAGAGCAAAGGUGAUUCAGUUCAUUGGGAUUCCUUUUCACAUUGUGAUUUUUCUGCUGGCAUUGAAUUUCGGACAGACGAUAUCCAAAGGGUCAAACGGGGCACUUUGUUAGAGGCCAAAGUAUUUUGGUCAUCAACGCAGAUUGCUGAAUUUGUGAUUCAUUUCUUUAAAGUCAUCUUUUUCUUUCAAUACAAGUCGAUGGUUAUUUUUUUGCAUUACUUUGAUUUUUGACAUUUUUGUAUAAAAAAUUUUUGGGUGUUGUAUAGUUUCAUUUGUCUCAUUGGAUUUUAUCAAAUGACAGUUUUCUCAAUUUAUCGAAAGGUGCAUAUAUACAAGUUUUCAUGUUAAGUUAGCAUUGGAAGCUAAGGCAAUUGGGAUGCAAUUUGCGGUACAAUGUCGGGUUUUGCAGCAUCGAGGAAAAACAUCAAAAUACUCAUUUUUAUAUGUUUCUCGAAAGUCGGACAGAUCGAAUGGUGGUAACAUUAUUUUGAUUGUUUCACAUAGCAAAACUGGGAAAAAUUAUUUUUGUAAUAAAGUCAGGGAAUGUCGCCCAACAAUUAAACAUUUAGGAUUCAAACAGAAGAGAAAAUGUGAAUCAAGGCCUUAAGGAGGAGCAGCAAUCGCACAAUGCAAAGCAAAUGAUUGAUUGUACAAAAAUUGAUUUAAAUUGGGGCAAUUUUUGAAAAGAUUUUUCAGGUAAGUAUUCAAGAACUUUUUCAUGCACUAACGUGUUUUUUUUCUUUCACCGUUAGUAUCGAGUUUUACUCACUAACGUGUAUUGUGUUUUUCUUUCGCCGUUAGCAUCGAGUAUAUCUCACUAAUGUGUUUUUUCUUUCACCGUUAGCAUCGAGUUUAUCUCACUAACGUAUUUUUUUCUUUCACCAUUAGCAUCAAGUUUAUCUCACUAAAGUAUUUUUUCUUUUACCGUUAGCAUCGAGUUUAUCUCACUAACGUGUUUUUUUUCUUUCACCGUUAGCAUCGAAUAUAUCUCACUAACGUGUUAGCAUCUGUUAGCAUCGAGUUUUACUCACUAACGUGUGUUGUGUUUUUCUUUCGCCGUUAGCAUCGAGUUUAUCUCACUAACAUAUUUUUUCUUCCACCGUUAGCAUCGAGAAUAUAUCACUAACGUAUUUUUUUCACCUUUACCAUCGAGUUUAUCUCACUAACGUAUUUUUUCUUUCACCGUUAGUAUCGAGUAUAUCUCACUAACGGGUUUUUUUUCUUUCACCGUUAGCAUCGAGUAUAUCUCACUAACGUGUUUUUUCUUUCACCGUUAGCAUCAAAUUUAUCUCACUAACGUGUUUUUUUCUUUCACCGUUAGCAUCGAGUUUAUCUCACUAACGUAUUUUUUCUUUCACCGUUAGCAUCGGGUCCAAUACACUAACGUGGCUUCUAUCACUGUUUCCAUCAGGUCUAACCCACUAACGUGACUUCUAUAUCCAUUAGUAUCGAGUUUAUCUCACUAAUGUUAUUUUUUUCACUGUUAGCAUCGAGUUUAUCUCACUAAUGUAUUUUUUCUUUUACCGUUAGCAUCGAGUUUUUCUCACUAACGCGUGCUGUAUUUUUCUAUCACCGUUAGUAUCGAGUUUUUCUCACUAACAUGUGUUGUGUUUUUCUAUCACUGUUAGCAUUGGGUUCAUCCCACUAACGUGUUUUCUUACCUCGGCAGGUUUGGAUUUUAUUCCACUGACCGUUAUAUCGUUGGGAUCGGAUUUUAUCCCAUCAAUCUCGGCAGGACCGGGUUUUAUCCCGCUAACCGUUUAAAUGAUCCCACCAACCUCGACAGGAUCGGAUUUUAUCCCGCUGACCGUUUAUAUCUCGUUGGAAUCGAGUUUUAUCCCACCAAUCUCGGCAGGGUCGAAUUUUAAUCCGUUGAUCGUUUGUAUCUCAUUGGGAUGGGAUUUUAUCCCACUGACCUUUUCUUUUUAUGUUUUCAGUUCAAGGCAGAAUAACUACAGGUAAGUAUUUGGUGCCUACGCCCUUGCCUCGUAUUUCUUCGAAAUCCAGAUAAAGAGAGGCAAGCUGUAGACAUCAAAAUUUCAUAAUUUUAUUUUAUUCGUUUUUAUUCAUAAUUUUGUUUAUUUUAUUGAUUUUUAUUUUAAUUUAUUUUGUUUUCCUUGAGAAAAAUCAUUUUAGAAAAUCGAAAAAAGAAAAUUGGAAGAAAAAGAAUUAGAAAGAAAGAAAGAAAGGAAAAAUAGAAAUGAAAUGAAAAUCAGUUUUUGUAAAAAAAAAAAACGACUUUUCCACGCUCGUGCGCCAUUUCCUUCAAUAUUGGUACGAUAGCUUCAGUGCUAAAGAAAAAAAUUGCAGCGGCCAUUUGGGGAUUCAAUCCCACUUGUUUUUGUUUUUUUUCUUUUCCCCAACUAUUUGCCACCUUAUGUCCCUAAUCUAUAUCAAGAUCUUUCUGGAAAAAUAAACGUCCAAUGGCUCAAGUAUUUUGAGGAAACCCACCCUUCAUCCUCACCUUUGAGGUGAGGGUUUUGGGGUUCUUGGUUCCUAUAAAAUGGAUUAAAAAACAUAGCUGAGAGAGGAGGACGGAAGUAGGGAGAAAGGAGUGGCGGCUGGAAGGAAAAAACUAAAGAGCUACGGGCUGAGAGGAGGAAGAAAAAGCAGAAAAAAAAAAGAGAGAACGGAGAGAGGAAAACUAAGAGAGUUUCGAGGGGUGGAAAUCUGGAAAAAAAAUAGAAAAACAGAAGGAGAGAGUGAGAGGGAACCAAGGGAAACCAAAAAAGAGGAAGGAAAAGGACUGGGGAAAACUAGAGGAGGGGGUUUCGGCUGAGAGCUUUGGAGGAAAAGGAAGGGAAAGAAAGAAGACUACGGUCUGAGGAACCAAGAAAGCUGGGAGGAGAGCUACGGACAAGAAAAGAGACAAGCGAGGGAGGAGAGAAAAGGACCAAGAGAAAGAAAGAAAGGGGUUGCAGCGGAGAGAUCAGGGAGAGAAACCAACAAAAAAAGAUAGCUACGGGCAAGGAGGAAAAAGGCUGGAAAAUAGCAGAGGAGCUGAUGUUAGGGUGGUUAUUUAAAUUUAACCACUGGUGAAAAUCAUCACCUUUAAACCCAAGAUAUGUAUGGCGAUUAUUAAGAAAUACAUUAACUGUAAAAUAGCAGAAGCGUACCUGAAUUCAUAUUGAUAAACUUGAUACUUGAAUCCCUAAAAAUUCGGGGUGGCCUUCCAGGUCAACAGGUAUUCACCGAUCCUUUGAGAGAAGUCUUUAGUUUCUUUUUGGUAUCUUUCCUGACGAUGGGAUAUCAGGGAAGAGCUAUUUUAUGGUAUUAGGGAAUACGACAACUAGAAUGAUACCUGUGACCUGGUGACCAUAACUCUAUUUAUAGGUAACAUUCUUGUUACCUUUUGGAUCCCUAUUUCAACCCAUCAUUGAAAUAGAAGCCCAUAAGUUUCUACACAUUAAAGGACCCACAUCCUAUUAGAUACAUUAAACCUAAACUAUAUUUGAUCACUUUAAUUGGGUUUAACCUUAAUUGAUAGUUUGCAAUACAUAAUUAUUCACAUAUAAGUCCAAUGUUGGAUUAAGAAUCCAACAAUCUCCCACUUGGACUAUAUGUGUAACCUUAUAAUUAUGUUUUGUAAUUAAUCGUAUGAGCUCAACUUUACUGUCAUUAUCACAAUGUAUCUGUAACCAAUUCGGUCCAUCAAUUACACCAAUAUAGGAUUAAAGCGGCCUUUGUUACAAUUUCGUAACUCAACCUAUCAAUGGUCACAUAUAUCAAUGCAAUUGAAUGACAUGAAUCAUGAUGUGGAUGUGUAGCAUGAAAAUUUCAUGUAAUGUGAUCAAAACAUGCCUAUUUCCAACUGGUCCACCUUAAAUUUUAUGAGAUCAAACUAUACCAAGGUUAGAGUGUAAAUAAAUCCAAACCUUAUUUAUGCAUAAAAUAUUCUUAAAUCCUUAAUAACCAAAACCAUCAUAAGAGCAUUCAAAAUAACAAACUCCCACUAAAACUGUACAUCAUUUAAUAAUAUAACACCCAUACGAGCAGUAUGCUCAUAAAACAUUUUGGGUGGCAAUCCUUUAGUAAGCGGAUCCGCAACCAUGGAGUUUGUUCCGAUAUGCUCUAUCGAUAACUGCCCAUUCUGCACUGUUUCUUUAACAGUCAGGAACUUGAUAUCUAUAUGUUUAGAUUUCGUCGAGUUCCUGUUAUUGUUGGAAUAUAGGACUGCUGACUUAUUAUCACAAAAUAAUUUGAGUGGUAUUUCAAUACUAUCUACCACACGUAAUCCUGUGACGAAAUUUUGCAGCCAAAUUCCUUGAUUGGAUGCCUCAUAACAAGCAAUAAACUCUGCAGCUAUAGUGGAAGAUGCUAUGAGGAACUGUUUAGAACUCUUCCAGAAUAUGGUAUCUCCAACCAACAAGUACACAUAGUCUGACGUUGACUUCAUAGUAUCUUGGCAUCCAGCAUAAUCAAAAUCAGUAUACCCAACGAUCUCUAACUCAUCUAACUUCCGAUACGUGAGCAUGUAGUCUUUUGUUUUCUGUAGAUACCGUAAGACCCGUUUGGUUGCUUUCCAAUGAUCCAAUCCAGAAUUACUCAAAUAUCUACCCAACAUCCCAAUAAUGUACGUAAUAUCCGAACGUGUACAUACUUGAGCAUACAUUAGACUCCCUACUGCUGAGGCAUAAGGAAUCUUUUGCAUCUUUCUUUCCUCAAAAGUAUUCUUAGGACACUGCUCAAGACUAAAUUUGUCUCCUUUAGCCACAGAAGUGUCACCUGGUUUAUAAUUUUGCAUGCCAUAUCUUUUAAGAACCUUUUCGAUAUAAUCCUUUUGUGAUAGUUCUAAAAUACUCCGAGAGCGAUCAUGGUGUAUCUGUAUGCCUAACACAAAAGAUGCAUCACCAAGAUCUUUCAUCUCAAAAUUCUUAGUUAGAAAUUUCUUGGUUUCAUGCAAUAGAUUAAUAUCGUUGCUGGCAAGCAAAAUAUCAUCAACGUACAAUACCAGAAAAAUAUACUUGCUCCCACAGAACUUAUGGUAUAUACAAUCAUCCACUAAAUUCAUCUCAAAACCAAAUGAGAUGAUCACUUGAUGGAAUUUGAAAUACCAUUGUCGAGACGCUUGUUUGAACUCAUAGAUGAAUUUUUUAAGUUUGCAAAUCAUAUUCUUUGGAUCUCCUGAUACAAAGUUUUCUGGUUGCACCAUAUAAAUUGUCUCAUCAAUGUUACCAUUGAAAAAUGCUGUCUUUACAUCCAUAUGAUGUAACUCAAGAUCGAAAUGUGCCACUAAUGCCAUGAUAAUUCUAAAAGAGUCAUUUGAAGAGACUGGAAAGAAGAUUUUUUUAUAGUCGAUACCUUCUUUUUGUGUAAAUCCCUUAGCGACAAGACGAGUUUUGAAUCUUUCCACAUUGUCUUUCGAAUCCCUCUUGAUUUUAAAUAUUCAUUUACAACCAAUGGGUUUCGCACCUUCUGGCAAUGGGACAAGAUCCCAGACAUCAUUGUCCUUCAUGGAUUUAAUUUCCUCUUUCAUGGCAUCAAUUCACUUUUGAGAAUUUGAACUUUCCAUGACUUGACGGAAGUUGAUUGAAUCAUCUUCCAUCAAUCCAAAAUCAUCCUCAUGUUCUUGGAGAAAAAUAAUGUAAUCAUCUGGCACUGCACUUCUCCUUUCUCUAGUGGAUCUUCUUAAUGGCAUUGGUUCUUGAGGAGGAAGAGUUUGUUCUUCUAUAACAGUUUGCUCUUCGACAUUAUUUUGAUUUGUCAUGUCAUGAUCAAAUUCAGGAAUAGGGUCCUGAACAAGAGCAAUGACACCUGUGGGAAUAUUAAUAUAUUUCUCUUUAAAGAAAAUGUCCCGUACUAUAUUUUCUCCCCCAAACUCGACAUCCUCAAAGAACCGGGCAUUUCCUGUCUCAAAAAUUGAUUUAGUUGUAGGAUCAUAAAACUUGUAACUUCUGGAUCUUUCAGAGUAUCCAAUAAAAUAACAACUAAUCGUUCUUGAGUCCAGUUUCUUUUCAUUUGACUUGUAAGGUCUUGCCUCAGUUGGACACCCCUAAACAUGCAGAUGCUUUAAAUUGGCUUUUUCCCUGUCCAAAUCUCAUAAGGGGUUUUGAUAGUUACUUUAGUUGGAAUCCUAUUAAGGAUAUAUGCUGCAGUCUUAAGUGCUUCACCCCAGUGUGACUCUGGUAAGGUAGAAUGACAUAUCAUACUUCUUACCAUGUCUUUAAGCAUUCUAUUUCGUCUUUCAACUAUACCAUUCAUAGUGGGUGAACCCGGCAUAGUGUACUGUGGGACGAUACCGCAUUCCUCUAGGUAUUUAGCAAAUGGUCCUAGACGUUAUUUACCUGAACUGUCAUAUCUGCCAUAGUACUCACCACUACGGUCAGAUCUGACGCUUUUAAUUCUUUUGUUGAGUUGAUUCUCAACUUCAGUUUUAAAACUUUUGAACACGUCCAGUGACUGUGAUUUUUCAGAAAUGAGAUAUAUGUAGCCAUAUCUUGAAAAAUCGUCUAUGAACGUUAUAAAAUAUUGUUGACCAUUUCAAGCAGAUGUACGAAAUGGUCCACAAAUAUCUGUAUGUAUAAGUUCUAAGACGUUUAAGGACCUAUUGGCUUCAAAUCUCCUUUUAUUGGUUUGUUUCCCCUUUAUACAGUUAAUACAAUCAUUAAAAUCUGUAAAAUUCAAGGAGCCGAGAAUUUCAUUUGACACAAGCCUUUCCAUUCUUCGUUUGGAGAUAUGUCCCAAUCUCUUGUGCCAUAAUGCAGCUGAAUUCUCAUUGGCUAAUUUUCUUUUAACUCCUCUAGUACUCAAAUACAGAAAUUCAUUAAAUGAGGCAAUCGUAUCAAUUAAAUAUAGAUUAUCGUAAUGCAUUAAAGAAUCAGAACCAACCAAUUUUGAAUAAUGAAACAAUUCAAAAUUUUCAUUUCCAAAUGAACAAAAAUAAUCAAAUUUGUCCAAAGCAGAAAUAGAAAUUAAAUUCCGUCGAAAAGACGGUACAAUAAAUGUCUCAUUGAGAUCCAAAUAAAAUCCGGUCUUUAACAAUAAUCUAAAAACUCCAAUUACCUCAACUUGAACUGUUUUGCCAUCGCCCAUGUAGAUAUAUCUUUCAUUAUCGUUAGGUUUUCGGCAAUUCAGACAACCCUGCAUAGACACACUGAUGUGAGUUGUUGCACCAGAAUCUAACCACCAUGUGUGUCUAGGUACCGAGGUUAAAUUAAUCUCAAAAUAAACCAAAUUAAGAAGCAUACAUUUUUUAGCACGCCAAGCGUGAUAGUUGGUGCAAUACUUCUUUUGAUGCCCUUCAGCUCCACAGAAGAAACAACUAUUUUUUUCCUGAUCAUUUGAUUUCUUUUGUUGUUUCUUUUGUGGUGCUGUACCUGCAGCUCCUUUUUCCUUCUUUCUUUUAAAUUCCUUAUUUUUAUUAUUAGUGGUUGACACCAGAUGGACACUUUCUGUCUGCUCUUGCUUUAACAUUUUCUCUUUCUCUACACAGUGUGAGAUGAGUUCAUUUAGAGACCAAAUCUCCUUUUGACAGUUGUAACUCACCUUAAACUGGCUAAACUGUGUAGGAAGAGAUAUUAAAAUCAAAUGUACUAGUAACUCUUCAGAGAGUUUUAACUUAAGCGCAUUUAAUUUCGAAACAAGAUGAGACAUCUCCAUGAUAUACUCUCUGAUAUUGGAUUUACCACUAUAUUUCAUUGAAACUAGGCGUGUCAAGAGCGUACUAACUUUAGCCUUUUCGUUCUUGACAAACCUUUUUUCAAUGUCCUGAAGGAACUCUUUAGCGGUUACAGUCGUUUCUGACAUUGUUCCCCUGAAUGAUUCUGGAAUGGCCUUUUUAAUGAUCAUCAGACACAGCCGAUUUGAUCUCUCCCACUUCUUAUUAUUUCUCUUUUCAUCAGAGGUACUCUAGGGGAGAAUCAUCCCUUAACGCAAGGUCGAGAUCCAUUACUCCAAGUACUAUCAAGAGGUUUUCUUUCUAGAACUUGAAGUUUGUGCCAUUCAGCAUAGGAAUGUUAUUGAUGUUGGCAGUAAUAUUUGUAACAUCAUUUGCAAUUGUACAGAAAACAUAAUAUAAUUAAAACAAUGCUCACAUAAAUCAAAAUAAUAAUAAAUUUAAAUAAUGGUAACCCCAUCUCAAGAUAUCGAUAUUCCAUUAAUAUUUUAUUUUUGGACAAAAUAUUAACUUCUAAGUGAUAUCUUGGCGCAGUAAUAAACACUGACAAUAAUCACAUGUCAAAAAAUAAAUUUUUCUUUGGGCCAAUUUAUAAUUCACAUGUAAAAAAUCGAAUAAUUAUCACAUGUUUAUUACCACAAGUGCACAAGUAAUUUCAUUAAAUAUUGACCUUCUUUUGGCCCGAUCAAUAUUCAUAAAAUUACCAGUACCCAACUAAUUAUAUUUUAAAAUAAAUUAAUUUCCAUAAUAGAGGUCACUUUGGUGGCAUAUUAGUUCAAUUAAUUUAUUCCAAAAUAUAUAUAAUCAUACCAAUAUUCAAAUUUAAAAUUAUCCAAAUUAAAUAAAAAUUUUGAUCAAAGUCAACUUUGGUCAACUUUGAUCAAAACGUGGUCAAACAUGAUCAAAUCAAUCAAAUUAAAUCAUGACCUAUUGGACCAAAGGUCCAUAUCCAUAAUUUGACCCAAAAUUAACAUUCAAGCUCAAAAAUUUCCUUGAAAUCCAUAAGUACUUUAUAAAAACUACAAAUUUAAUGGGCCACACAUAUGGAUUUUAUAGGGCUUAAAUAUCAUAUUUAACUUUAUUAGGGUUCACUUAAAGUAAAUAAACCCUAAUUUUCUUAAUAUAAAUAUAGACAUAUUUAUCCAUAAAUAAAGAAACAGGUCAAAGAGCUCAAGUAUUAACCAAAUUAAUAUUAUGGACAAAAGUUAAAACUCAAGAUAUUCCUUGUCAAUUUUAAUUCUUAAAAUCAGGGAAAAGGAUGAAAGACCUCCCGAAGCCAGAAGACAAAUUAAUUUACAUCAUCCAAAACAUGCAGAUCCCACAAAUAUUAUGCUAUCCAACGGAGAGUUUCACAGAAUUGAUUCAUGCAUUCUUUCUUAUCAAUUUUGAUCCUUAAAAAUAGAGAAAUUAAAGGAAACCCCAUGUCUGCCAUGUGAGAAACCAAAACAGAAGCCGAAACAUGAGUUACCACAGAACAUGACUAGCAAAGGAUCUUGACUAAAAUGGACCCACUGAAUUUCAUGUCAUCAAUGCUAUGAGUCAAUGGCAUGAAUAACAUAUAGCAAUCAAUCUGGAUUCAUAUCAUGCCAUUCAUCAUGCGGCCGACAGAUGCAUUUAUAGUCAAAAUUCAAAACAGCCACGAUGCACCCAGAAUUUUCUUGUUUAAUGGCAUAUAUGCAUAAAUAUCAAAACCGAAUUCACCAGACCAAAAAAAAUAUGUAUGUUGAUACAUAAAUUACUAAAUCCAAAUUAUUUCUCAAUAAUCAACCAUAUGGGCUCUGAUGCCACUUGUUAGGGUGGUUAUCUAAAUUUAACCACUGGUGAAAACCAUCACCUUUAAACCCAAGAUCUGUAUGGCGAUUAUUAAGAAAUACAUUAACUGUAAAAUAGCGGAAGCGUACCUGAAUCCAUAUUGAUAAACUUGAUACUUGAAUCCCUAGAGAUUCGGGGUGGCCUUCCAGGUCAACAGGUAUUCACCGAUCCUUUGAGAGAGGCCUUUAGUUUCUCUCUAGUAUCUUUCCUGAUGAUGGGAUAUCAGGGAAGAACUAUUUUGUGGUAUUAGGGAAUACGACAACUAGAAUGAUACCUGUGACUUGAGGACCAUAACCCUAUUUAUAGGUAACAUUCUUGUUACCUUUUGGAGCCCUAUUUCAACCCAUCAUUGAAAUAGGAGCCCAUAAGUUUCUACACAUUAAAGGGCCCACAUCCUAUUAGAUACAUUAAACCCAAACUAUAUUUGAUCACUUUAAUUGGAUUUAACCUUAAUUGACAGUUUGCAAUAUAUAAUUAUUUACAUAUAAGUCCAAUGUUGGAUUAAGGAUCCAACAGCUGAAGUAAGAAAAAGUAAAAGAACCGAGGAAAGGAAGCUUCGGGCAGUGACGGGCGGGGCUGGAGAAAAGAAGGAAGAGAAAAGAAACCGAGAAGAAAGGAUUUCGGGGAAAGCAAAGGCAGUGAAACAGGUAAUCUUCAAUCUUUUUUCUUGUUCGCUUCAAGCUCUAAACAGUACCAGAUCUGUUAAACUAAAACCUGGUUUUGGUUUAUUUGUUGGGUCUCUGCUAAACCAAUAUGCAUCAACAUUGCGUCUGAUUUGGUUGGAACUGAAUGCUCAUGGUUGCUGUUUUCUUGUUGUUUCUCCCUCUUUUCCUCCCGUUCAUUCUUUGACCAAGGAUCUGUUCCCUUUUCUGCGUAGCUUAGUCGAGUUUCUUUUCGGUCAAUAUGCUGGGGUUGGGAUGUGAAUAACGAAUAGUUGAAGGUUGUGAAAAAUAGCGGCUGGAAAGUUGCAGAAAUUUUCAGAUUUCGCAUGCCCUUUUCCUAUGAAUUUUGUGUGUAAACAUAAGAGUUUUUAUGGUCAUAAAGUGGAAAGAAUGCUUGGUGAACUUGUUACUUUGGCCCAAGUUGUUGUUGGUUGAGCCGUUAGUAAUGUUUGGAUAGAAAAGAUUGCAUUCAGAAACCCAGAAAUUGCAGAAACUCUCGGAUACAGGAAGAAGAAAGCUUCCUUGGAAGCUUGCAUGGAAUAUUUCCAAAAAUCACGCUUUAACCCCUUAAUUUUUGUAUAAUAUCGCUAUGGCCUGAAAUUUGAGAAAAAUAAAACCAGUUUUGUCCCUUUGAAUUUUGAAUUGCCUUGGCAUACUUUAAUAUGAUUAUUGGACAGAAUAUGCAUGAGUUUUGGGAUGAAAUUUGAAGGUUUAAUAACUUUUGAUAAAUUUAUAGUUUUGAUUUGGAUUUUUAGCGGAUCAUAGCAAAUGGGUCUUCAUUCAUGUUUUUUGUGAAUUUUAGCAUUUAGUUUUGGUAGAUUUUAUCUUAAGCCAUUAAUUUUAAUCUGCUUUAAUUUAGACCCCUAAUAUUUGUAAUAAUAAUAAUUUGACCCUCAAACUUCUUUAAUUCUUUUAAUUGGGUCCUUGUUUGUCUUAAUUUGUUGAAUCUAGGUUGUUUACCUUCAUUUGAAUGCUUUGAUUGAUCCAAUCUCAUGUUUAUUUUCAUUUCUUAUGAUUAUUUGUUAAUUAAAGUGAUGCCUUGACCUUUUUCUUCGUUUUGGAGGGUAAAUGAAGGAAAAUUUCAUUCCAUUAGGUCACCAAUUCAAGGGAGGUACACUCUACUCUUUAUUUCGAUUUUACUUGAAACUAUGUGCUUCUAUGUGAGUUUAUGUGUGUAAUUGCAUGCUCCUUUUGAAUGUUUUUAUUUCAUUUAUUUAUUUAUUCGCUUUAUUUGUUUUAAUUUUGUAUAUUUAUUUUUAAUUUAAUUUUUAGUUAUUUGAGAGGCAUUUAAAUGCCAAAUUGUAAUAGUUAGAUUAUUAUUUUAUCUUAUUUCAUUUUUCCCCCUUAGAUUGUAGUUAGGGCCCCUAAUGUAAUAGUUAGGUUUCUAUUUGCUUUGUGUGUUUUGCAUGCUUGUGUGUUACGUGUUACUCGCUUUCUUAGGGUCUUGCAUCUAUAUAUCAUGCUUAUGUGCUAUGUGUUUUAUAUGAUAUUAUGUGUUUACUUGUUUUAUUAUGUUUUAUAUGAUUUGUUUAGUUAUAAUAAAAUGCAUGAUGUCACCACACUAGUCCAACGCUAGUUGUGGCCUCUUUCUCGUCACCACACUAGUCCAACGCUAGUGAGGACUCAUAGACAUGGGUUAGUCCAAUGCUAGACCCUUAGAAACCAUCCACACGCUAGAUCAUGUUUGUGUGACGAUCACUACAUUUUCACGCAUAUUUUCUACUUUUUAGGGUUUUUAUCAUUUCGCAUGAUAUUCCCCUAUAUAUAUAUCCCUUAUCCCAUAUUUUCCGUAUAUGUAUUCCUUAUCUCAUACUUUUCCUAUAUGUAUGUGUCCUUUAUCCCCAUGUUUGAGAUAUGACAUUAGACUUGCAUUUCAUUUAAGAAACGUUAGGAGUAGAUUAGUGCAUUUGCUUGAUUCAAUUAGGGAAAUAACCCUUCAAAUAUGGGAUAUGGACGAGUAUGACUCUCUAGCCUUAGCACGCUCGUAUUCCCUCUAUAAAAAGGAAAAAUCUAGUCGUGAAUCUUAGUUCUCCGCACCUGUUAUGAUGCAUUCCUUUAGGUCAUAUAUUUGUAUAUUAUUAUUUUCUUUUCUUUUCUUAGAGUCUCAUAUUUUUGCAUAUUUGUGACAUCUUCAAAGAAUCACUCUUGGGCAUCACAAUUAAUGUGAUUGGCACCAAUUAAGUUUUGAAGAGAUAUUCCAACCCCCCGAUAUCCUUCUAGGUUAGGAUUGCAUUCAUAUAGUGAUAUUCAAAUGUGAUAAAUUUUUAGCUUAUAUUAAGAAAAACUUUGACUAAAUCACGCAACUAACCUUAGUUAGGUUGAGAGGGUGUCUUGGAUUUUAUCCCUGCCUUCCCUUUGUUCAACCGUGACUUCCGAACCUUUUUCUCUGAUUUGCGUAGACUUGGAGUCGUUUAAAAAGGGUUUUCUCUACUUUUUAUCUAAAAUUUAUUUUUAAAUGACUUGGUACACCUUAAUUCAAUACCAAGUGGCGACUCCUAUUUUUCAUUAAAAACCCUUUUUAAACUAUUAUGUUGGGUCUAAAUCAUCGCAUUUUUUAAGUCCCAUUUAGACCCAUUUUCUUUAUUUAUUUUCUAAAAAUCAAAAAUCCAUUUUCACUUAAAAAUUAAUCAAAAAUUCAUUUUUCAUUUAAAAAUAUGGGACACGACAAACCUAUUACGAGGACACCCACCAUAAUUGCCAUCCCUAUGUAUAGUGUUUUUAUCUAGUACUAGGAUAUGGUUCAACAUUUGAUUACCAUGCUGUGUUAGGACAUGCAGUUUGAGAGUGGUUUAUAUUAGAUUUGUUCCACAAUUCAUAUUUCAGUUUGUUGGAUCUACUGAAACGGUAUUUAUCAACAAAAAUAUCUUCUAAAUUAAUGUAGGAUAGUGAGUAAUUAAAUCCAAUUAAUGUGGGAAGAAAGUGUAAGUGAGAGAUCCGGGUUCGAAAUCUCUUGCUUACGUAAAAAAAAAAUCCAACUAAAGCUAUUUGCUGUUUGUUCAGUGUAUUGCUUACCAAGAAGCUUGCCCAAGCCGAACAAGCAUUUUAGCCCAUGUAGUUGACCUGCUCUUUCAGCCCAAUAGGCUCGACCAAUUAGUCCCAAUACGUUAACCCAUGAUACAUUUCCAAUGCCUACAUAACCCCUUUGGCGAAUCAUUUUACCCAUGCAGCUUUUACCAUGGCAAUAAGAGAUUUACUCUGCAUUUUUUUUAUUCGUCUUAGAUUUCAUUAUUUGCGAAACUGCAACUCAUUUGGUUUUACAGACAAAAUUAACUACAGAGAAUGCUGGAGUUGUGUUUCAAAAUUGAGAAAAUAAAGGCGAGGCAGGUAUCUAACAUAUUUGUUCCUUUUGCUUACAUUAACCUGCUUGCAUAUGCUACUUACUAAUUCUAUCUGAUUUUUUUCUGAAGUUUCAUUUUGAAUGGGGCCUUUAUCUGCAAUUCUAUAUAGAGGAGUUUUUGUACCUCGGAUAUUACAAGACAUAUUGGAACCAACCAUGCAGCUGUUGGUUAAAGACGCGAAAUUUUCAAAAGAAACUUUGUACUUUAUAUUGCUUUAUUUAGAAAUUUCUUGUGACAGCACAAAAGGCUCCUUUUGGCAGCAUUUUAAGAUUCAAGAUCCAUCAUUCUUGCAAUCUUGCCUUCUUCACCAAAUGAGGCUGAUAAUAACAUUAACGGAUGGGUCUUAAUAAACUAUGACUCCAUUGGUUAUAUAUAUAUAUAUAUAUAUAUAUACACACACGUACACAAGAUCAUUUCAUUCAAUAAAAUUUGCACUAAUGGCAGAAAAUACAUCAAACAUAUAUGAUACAAAUACAUAAAUCUGAAAUCAAUAGAUACAACAGAUCUAAGAAAUCAAUACAAAUAUAUAUUAACAUUGAUGCUACUAGAUAUCUUCCAUUUAAACGAAUUAUUGUAGUUCAAUACAUCUGUGUAUAUCUUUUGAUAGUCAGAUCAGAAUAAAACUAUUAUAAGUCCAAAGAAAAAUUUAGAUCUUACAAUAAUAAAGAAAUUGCAAAUCUAAAAAACUAGAUUCUAGAUCUAUAAAAUUUCAGAUUUCACAAAAAAAGAUAAAAAACUAAAAAAAAAAACUCUCAUGAGAAAAAAUCCAAAAGAAAAUAAAACUCUCACUAAAACAAUUUAGGAAAGAAGAAAUUCUCACUAUGAGAACUUAGAAGAGAAGUAUAAUUUACUAAUAAAUCGUAAGAGAGAAUUUAUUCAAAACAAGAGAAACUAAAACGAGAGAGUGUGCUUCCUUUCAUGGGUAAAGAUUAGAUCACUCUUCCAUGGAAGAGAUAAAGAGGAUUUUGACCAGAAGAGUUUUAGAGAAAAGAGUUCUAGAGAGUGAGGAAAAGAGCGACUGUAUAAAUCCAUUGGCUUUUGAACAUGUAAUAUAGAAGUCAUUCAUGCUUAUUUAACUUCAAAUUGUCAAUCUCAUUGCCUUAAUCAACUCCAUGCUUUAUGUUUGAAUGCCACUUAAUUGGGAUACAAAAUAAAGGUUACAUUAUGAUGGGCGAUGGCUUUGCAUAGCGCAAGGAUCCCCACCUAGUAUAUCCUGUUGAAUGUGGCGUUGUCCCACAUCGGACAAAGCCAGAGGAAGACGGCUCAUCAGGGCCUAUAAAUAUAUGGCCUUGGUGGUGAAGACAUUUGCACCACUCAAGAGAGUUAUAUGGGCUAUUAGCUUCUUGAGUCAUCUAGCCCAUUCACUUAAAUAUUUUAGGCUCUCUUGUUUUGAGUUUAGGAAUUUUUCCUAAACCUUUUGUAAGUGCCUAUUGGCCUAAGAACCACUUUCCUACGGCUUUUGUAUUUCUUCUUCAUAGUAGAAAUAUUGCUCCUCCCUCGCCCGUGGACGUAGGUCAAUUUGACCGAACCACGUAAAUCUUUUGUGUCUUUUAUUUGCUUUGUUAUCCGUCUUUAUAUGGUCGGUUUUACCGUCUAAUUAUUAUAUGGCUGGUAUCUACCGCCUAUCUAUUAUAUGGUCGGUUAUACCGCCUAUUUUGUGCUAACUUGAGUUUGUCUAUUUCCUGGCCCGGUCCUAACAAACUGGUAUCAGAGCUGGUUGUUAUAUUUUGCAAGACAGGUUCAUCUGGUGGGGUCCGUUUAUCCGUGGAGCCCGCUCACCUUGUGGGGUCCGUUCAUCCCCGUGGGGCCCGCUUAUCUCGUGGGGUCCACUCACCCUGUGGGGCCCGCUCACGAGACUUGCAUAUUUGUUUGGCCAGUUUUUUGAGACAAAUUUCAAGUUACAGAUUUUGUGGCAACAAUGACGAUAACAAAGACGGUUGUCGAGAAAUUCGACAAGAAUGUCAACUUCGGCAUGUGGCAGCUCAAGAUGGAGGCCAUUCUUGUUCAAGACGGAGUUGAUUUGGCAAUUCAAGGAAUUGAGAAAAAGCCAGAAGAUGUGACAGAUGCAAAUUUUGCUGAGAUGGAUAAGAAGACAAGAUCCAGUAUUAUCCUAAAUCUCUCCGAUGAGGUAUUGCGUGAGGUAGCAACGGAGACUUCGGCCAAGGUUAUGUGGGAUAAAUUGAAAGCCUUGUAUAUGAAGAAGACAGUCGAGAAUCGGCUAUAUCUGAAACAGAGUUUGUAUAUGCUUCGGAUGUCUGAAGGUACAUCUAUACUUUCCCAUCUUGAUAAAUUUGAUUCCAUUAUUAUGGAUUUGGAGAAUAUAGAUUCGAAAAUUGAUGAUGAAGAUCAGGACCUAUUACUUUUGUGUUCCCUUCCCCAAUCUUUUAAGCAUUUCCGUGAUACUAUGAUAUAUGGAAAGGAAACAAUUUCGUAUUGGGAAAUUAAAUCUGCAUUAAAAUCUAAAGAGCAGAUAGAUAGGGAUAUUACUGGGGAAACUAGUGGGAGUCAAGCCGAUGGCUUGUUUGUUCGGGGUAGAUCUGAAAGGAGAAACACAGAAAAUAGAAGUAGAUUUAAGUCCAGACAUAAAAAUGUGGUGUGCAACUAUUGUAAAAAGAAGGGCCAUAUUAUCUCUGAUUGCUUUAAAUUGAAAAAUAAAGAAAAGCAAAAGGAGAAAAGGAGUGAAACCACCGAGGCUAGUAUUGCUGUUGAUGAGAAUGAUGGAACUAUUUUCUGUGCAACAGAAAAUAAAUUUAGGUCUAACAAUGAGUGGAUUUUAGAUUCGGGUUGUUCAUAUCAUAUGUGUCCCAAUAGGGACUGGUUUUCAACAUAUGAACCAACUGAAGGUGGAGUUGUCUUAAUGGGCAACAACGCUGUUUGUAAAGUUGUUGGCAAAGGUACAAUCCAGAUUAAAAUGUACGAUGGUAUUGUGAGGACGCUCACAAAUGUUAGACAUGUUCCAGAUUUGAAGAAAAAUCUCAUCUCUUUGGGCACUCUUGAGUCUAUCGGGUGCAGGUAUUCAGGUGGAGAUGGAGUUCUCAAAAUCACUCGAGGAGCUCUUGUUGUUAUGAAGGCACACAGAUCUGGUACUUUGUAUAUUUUGCAGGGAUCUACUGUGACAGGUGCUGCUGCUGUUUCAACAUCAUUUUUGUCAGAUACAGACAUCACCAAACUAUGGCAUAUGCGUUUGGGGCACAUGAGCGAAAAAGGCUUGGGCAUAUUAAGUAAAAGAGGACUUCUUUGUGGACAAAGUACAGGUCCAUUGGAAUUCUGUGAACAUUGUAUUUUUGGGAAGCAGAAAAGAGUCAGCUUCAGUUCACCAGCAAUUCACAAGACAAAAGGUACUCUUGAUUACAUUCAUUCAGAUCUAUGGGGUCCUUCUCGUGCUCCUUCUAAAGGUGGUGCCAGGUACAUGUUGACUUUCAUUGAUGACUAUUCAAGGAAAGUUUGGGUCUAUUUUCUUAAGCAUAAAAAUGAUGUUUUCCUAACUUUCAAGCAAUGGAAAGUUUUGAUUGAGAAACAAGCAGGAAAACAUGUUAAGCGGUUGAGAACAGAUAAUGGCAUGGAAUUUUGUGGAGGUGAAUUUAAUGAAUUUUAUAAAAAUGAAGGAAUUGUUCGGCAUCACACCGUCAGGAUGACGCCUCAACAAAAUGGUGUGGCUGAAUGUAUGAACAGAACGCUUUUGGAGAGAGCAAGAUGUAUGAUCUCAAAUGCAGGGUUGACAAACGACUUUUGGGCAGAGGCGAUCAAUAUGGCCUGUUAUAUUGUCAACCGUUCUCCUUCUGCAUCUCUUGAUUUCAAAACUCCUGAGGAAGUUUGGUCAGGUACUCCUGCUGAUUACUCAAAUUUAAAAGUUUUUGGGUGUCCAGCAUACAUGCACGUGAAUGAUGGAAAAUUGGAGCCUAGGGCUAAAAAGUGCAUUUUUCUUGGGUAUGCUUCUGGGGUGAAAGGAUACAGAUUAUGGUGUCCUGAUCCCAAAUCCCCAAAAUUUGUAAUCAGUAGAGAUGUUACUUUUGAUUAAUUGUCUAUGUUAUCUUCCAAGAAGGAGUCUUCUAGUCCUUGUACUACUGAUAGUACACAGAAGCAGGUGGAGCUUGAUAUUGGCAGUUCUGGUCCUUCUCAAUCCAAAUCUUCUAUUCAGCAAGUGCCAGUAGAUGCACUUGAAUCUACUAUUGAAGAUAGUUCAAAAGAAGAGGAGUAUUCCAUAGCCAGAGAUAGACAAAGGAGAGAUAUUCGACCACCACAAAGAUAUGCAAAUUUAGUUGCAUAUGCUUUAUCUGUUGCAGAAGAAACUGAUGCAGCUGGUGAGCCUUCUACCUAUUCAGAAGCAGUUUCUUGUGAUGAUUCUACAAAGUGGUUGAUUGCGAUGAAUGAAGAAAUUGAAUCUCUUCAUCAGAAUGAAACUUGGGUUCUUAUAAAGCCACCGUCAGCUAAGAAAAUUGUUGGUUGCAAGUGGGUCUUCAAGAAAAAGGAAGGUAUUCCAGGGGUUGAAGAUGCAAGGUAUAAAGCACGAUUAGUUGCAAAGGGCUAUAGUCAGGUACAAGGUGUUGAUUUUAAUGAUAUAUUCUCACCUGUUGUUAAACAUAGCUCUAUUCGUGUUUUGCUUGCUUUAGUUGCCAUGUAUGAUUUGGAGUUAGAGCAGCUUGAUGUUAAGACAGUGUUCUUGCAUGGCGAACUUGAAGAACAAAUUUAUAUGAGACAACCCCAGGGUUUUGAAAUUGAAAGUAAGGAAGACCAUGUUUGCUUGUUGAGGAAAUCCUUAUAUGGAUUGAAGCAGUCUCCAAGACAAUGGUAUAAAAGGUUUGAUUCCUUUAUGUUGGGUCAUGAUUAUUUGAGGAGCAUGUAUGAUAGUUGUGUUUACUUCCGGAAGUUAAAUGAUGGUUCUUUCAUUUACUUAUUGUUAUAUGUUGAUGACAUGCUCAUUGCUGCCAAGAAUUUGUCAGAAAUUCACACUUUGAAACUGCAGUUAAAUAGUGAAUUUGAAAUGAAAGAUUUAGGAGCAGCUAAGAAAAUUCUUGGCAUGAAUAUCAAUCGAGAUCGAGUAGUAGGGAAGUUAUUUUUGACCCAGAAAAAUUACCUUGAGAAAGUCUUGGAGCGUUUUGGCAUGAAAGAUGCUAAACCAGUAUCUACUCCUCUUGCCAGCCAUUUUCGGCUAUCUGCUGCUCAAUCACCAAAAUCAGAUGAAGAGGAAGAUUAUAUGGCACGGGUUCCUUAUUCCAGUACAGUCGGCAGUAUUAUAUAUGCAAUGGUUUGUACUCGUCCAGAUAUUGCACAAGCAGUCAGUGUUGUUAGCAGAUAUAUGUCUUGCCCUGGUAAAACACAUUGGCAGGCUGUGAAGUGGAUUCUCAGAUACUUGCGAGGUACUUCAAAUGCAUGUUUGGAGUUUGGAAGAAAUAAUAAUACUUUGGUUGGUUUUGUAGACUCAGACUACGCUGGAGAUCUUGACAGGAGAAGAUCACUUUCAGGCUAUGUAUUUUGCAUUGGCGGUUGUGCUGUUAGUUGGAAAGCUACUCUACAACCUGUCGUAACUUUGUCUACUACAGAAGCAGAAUAUAUGGCUGUGACCGAGGCAAUCAAAGAAGCCUUGUGGUUGAAGAGUUUAUUUAGCGAGUUAAGUCUAUAUCAAGGUGUUACUGAUAUUCACUGUGAUAGUCAAAGUGCCAUACACUUGACUAAAGAUCAGAUGUAUCAUGAGAGGAUGAAACACAUUGAUGUGAAAUAUCAUUUCAUUCGGGAUAUCAUUGCUGAAGGAAAGGUCCUUAUUCAGAAAAUCAAUACUAAGGACAAUCCAACCGAUAUGUUUACAAAACCUCUUCCACUUUACAAGUUCAAGCAGUGCUUGGAUUUGGUUGGUGUUCAUUGUUCGUGAUUUCGGCCCAUUGGGGCUUAUGUAGCGAAGGUGGAGAAGAUUUGUCGAUGUUGGGACCAUGCCAAGGUGGAGAUUUGUUGAAUGUGGCGUUUGUCCCACAUCGGACAAAGCCAGAGGAAGACGGCUCAUCAGGGCCUAUAAAUAUAUGGCCUUGGUGGUGAAGACAUUUGCACCACUCAAGAGAGUUAUAUGGGCUAUUAGCUUCUUGAGUCAUCUAGCCCAUUCAGUUAAAUAUUUUAGGCUCUCUUGUUUUGAGUUUAGGAAUUUUUCCUAAACCUUUUGUAAGUGCCUAUUGGCCUAGGAACCACUUUCCUACGGCUUUUGUAUUUCUUCUUCAUAGUAGAAAUAUUGCUCCUCCCUCGCCCGUGGACGUAGGUCAAUUUGACCGAACCACGUAAAUCUUUUGUGUCUUUUAUUUGCUUUGUUAUCCGUCUUUAUAUGGUCGGUUUUACCGCCUAAUUAUUAUAUGGCUGGUAUCUACCGCCUAUCUAUUAUAUGGUCGGUUAUACCGCCUACUUUGUGCUAACUUGAGUUUGUCUAUUUCCUGGCCCGGUCCUAACAUAUCCAAACGUUGUAGUGUUUGGAAACAGUAAUUUGGUUUGAUCUAGAAACAGCAGACUCUCAAAUCAAAUAAAAUAGUGAAUCAUGGCGGCUAUAGCAGCAAUUAGAUUCCUAGAAGAGGGGCAUUUAUAUCUCCUGUACGGGUGCCCACAUAAUAGUUUUUGUCUUUGUCAACAUAAUAAGGUAGAAAGAAACUUGGACUACACUACUUACUAUAGGUAUUGUACAUGGUAAUGAUUUAAUCGCAAGUAUGGUCUAAAAUUAUUUUUGUUGCAAGCAUUGGAAUAUCCUUAUUUUCAGAUUUGUAUUAAUGGAUUUGUAGAUUGCCACCAAAGUUUGGAGAAUUGAGAGUUUCUUUUUCAUCCAUAUUUGGAUCAAUGUUCUUAUUAAUUAGUAAACUCUAAUUACCAAAACUAUUGCUUUUAGCACAACAAAAAAGUAUGAAUUUCAUAGCAUUGGAACCACGUUGCGUUCCGAACAUUCGUAGGAGUAGAGCUUCUUUAGCUUGUUAGGCAGUAGUUGGUUGCUGUCUCUCUUUGUACUCUUUUCAGUUCAUAAAUAAAGAUUAAAGUUAAAAAAAAAAAAAAAACCACGUUGACUUUGUUUUUAAUUAUCAUGCUCUGAGCAUUUCUUCAUUUGUUACUGAAAUAUACGUUUAGAUUGUAUUUUCCGUUAUUUUUCAUGGAAAAAUUACUGUAGUGAUUUGGUGUAUGUGAGGAAAAAAGGUAAUAAAAAAAUGUGAUCACGAAAAAUGACGUAAUUUUCUGACAGAAAAUAGCAAUUCAACGUGAUCAGUUUCGAUUUAGUAACUAAAACUAAGUGAAGUAAACGGACCCUUGUUUCAAAGUCAACAAAUGACACAGGGAUAAUUUUUCCAUCCAUGCUCGUAAGAGCAUUCUUUACUUAUUAAACCGAAUCCUAUGACUCCCAACCAAUAUUUUUUGACUCAAAAAAAUAUUCAAAUCAAGCGUCAUUGGUCAAUUGUUGGGCCAACCGUAGUUGGUCCUAAUUAACAUGUGUUAGCAUAUAUGUAGCAAAAAUAUUAAAGUAUAUGAUUUAACUCUGUUGUUUAAAUUAAUUAUAUGACUUUUCAUCCCACUCAAAUAGCUGAUAUUAUUUGAAACUUAACCAAAUUUUUCAUGGAUUAAAAUGGGGACACAUUAAUUGAAAAUUGGGUUUUUCUAACGAUUGUCCUAUGGGUACUCCUUAACACAUCUACAUUCUACUUAACCUACCAUAUAUUUACACACACUAACAAUUACUAUUUUUUCUUACAUAUAUACAUUUUUCCUAAUUAAUCCCCUCUUAUUUAUACGCUUUUCCUAAUUAAUUUUAUAUAUUUAAAGAUUUAACAUCUGAAAUACAUCUUAACGAGUGCCUUAUGGGCAAAUUUAUGAGCAAGGUGCAGAUUUAUGAGAGAGAUUAGGUAUAAAGAUAUUAAAUGUUAAGUACCUUGUCUAGUUAAUGGGAGAAAGUUACCUUAUCCAUUAUUGCAAUUUGGGUUGUCACUCAAUGAGAAAAUUAAUCAAAUUUGAAAUGUAGCAUUCAUUAUGGAGGCCACAUUAAACCAACCCGGUUCUCUUUUUAUUGGACCACUUCAACGGGUCAAUGCUCAAACCGUCCAAUUUCAAUAGGUUACCAGUAACCAAGUUUUUAACCCUUAGGUUGAGGGGCUACGGAACCUAUACAGCCAGCCCAUUUGGUGGGUUUUCCUUAUUCAACCGGGCAAUCCAGGCUGCAGGUUGGCUCCCAACUCAUUUUCUAAUUAAUUUGUCUUUAAUGGGACUGGAUGCGUCUCCAUUACGCCCAAACAAAUUGAAGUUGUAUUUUGUUUGAAAAAAUAAUCGUCUGUAAUAUACUUCAUUACUUGUUUUGGUUAUUCACAUUCACAUAGUUUGCAAAAACUGACCAGAUUUUCAUGCUUUAUCAAUUAUUACCAAUUUUACUAUGAUAUUGACCUGCUUUCCACCAUGCAAACUUUCCUACAAAUUAAAUUAUAAAGCACUUCUAACGAAUUUUAUUUUUGAGUACGUUUUAUCUACUCACUGAAGCACAAAGAAUGGCACAUCAGAUGAUAUAAAAAGAUGAUUAAAUGAAUAUGAAUUAUUAAUUAGCAAUUUGAAAGAAAAGUAAUGAAAGGAGCCCAAAGUACUGGGCUCUUUUUUUUUUCCCCUCGUAUCCCCCCACUCUAGCAAUUAAACAACUAAUAAAACAAAUCCAUGAUACUUCUUAAUUUCCGUUUGGAAUUGCAAUGACUUAUAAAAAAGCACUUCUAACACAAGUGCUUUUAAGAUACGAAAAGCUGGACUCCUUAGGCUAAUUACUCAGAAUAUUGUUAAAAAAAGGAAAACUCAGACGUUUAUGGGUUUGACAAUGAUUCACUGCAAAUCUAUGGCUGCCGGGCUGUGUCUGCCCGGCAGCAAAAAAGGCAAAUCUUUUUUUUUUAAGCUCUGACACCGCUACCGGGCUGACAAGCGAAUAUUUUUUUUUUAUAUAAAGUUGCUGGCUACCGGGCCUGGUCAGCCGGCAGCCGACAGAAUAAACAUUUGCAGCUUUGAAAGGGUUGCAUGUUCUCUCGCUUUACAAGGGAAAGCCCUUUCUUCACGUAGACAAGAAUAAAACAUUAUUAAAACAUUUGCCUACGUGAAAAAAAUUUGCAUGUUCUCUCGCUUCAUUUGUAGCUUUCAAUCAAAGGGAAUAAAAACAUGCAGCCACGUGAGAAAGGGUUUUCCAUUGUAAAUAAAUUUUUCCCUCCCUUUGAUUACCAUUACUAAAACAUUUAUUCAAUUUGCAUCUAAAUUUAUCAAAUAGGGAAUAAAAUCAAAAAAGGCUUUUUUUCACCUUAAUCAUUCACCUUCAUAAAGCUGCGCUUAAAUAAGGGUAAUCUUCUACACGUAAAUCAUAACAUAAUAAUCAAAUAAACUUUUUUUUUUGUUGUCAUCCUACAUAAGAUCAUUUUUUUCUUAAUUUUUUAUUAUAGAAAAUUAUGUCCAUUUUGGUGGACCUUUUCUUGUUUGAUUUAUAAGUCAUUAAUGAUAUAUUUAGUUGUUUCCUUAAUAAUAACUAAUUUUCAAUAUACAUGUAUAUAUUGUAUUUUUGGUAGGAUUUUUUUUGUCUUUGUUAGUUUUGGUACAAUAUGCAUGAAUGGUACUUGUUUCCUUUUUUAGUUAAAAUUAUUUGUUAAAAUUAUUAUGAAAUUUUUGAUGUACAAUAUAAUUUUAUAAAUAUAAAUUUAUUGUGCAAUAUAAAAACAAAAUAGGCAAAAAAAUGAAAAUAAUAAAUAAUGAAAAACAAAUAAUUUAAUUAACAAAUAAUUUUUCAAUAAUUUGAGAACUGCAUCUUAUUGUAAAAUGAAUGAGAUUUUUUGUUUAAAUUUUAGUUUAACUCCUAUAGAAGUAAUUAUUGAUUUAACAAAUCUGUUUUUCAUCUUUUUCUGCUGUUCCAAUUUUGAAACGUAAUUUAAUUAACUUAAAAGACUGUCGGAUUUAGUACGUCAAGUGGCAUAAGUUUUUAAUAAAAAAAAGGGUGAAAUUGUUGUAUUGGAAAAUGGGUGAAAUUUUCAACAUUAUUUAGUGAAUUUUGUACAUGUCAAAAGAAAUAUUGUGGUAGAUUUUAUUUUUUUAAUUGAGUUUCAUAUUUGAAAUGAUUGAGGCGUAUAUAUAAAAGAAAGGGUUGGGAUAUCAAAUAUGAUUAAAAUAAAGGAAUAUGUGCAAUUUUGGUCCCCCAACGUUUGGUCUAUGAGUUAAACUAAUCUGUGAUAUUUUGACCAAAAUAAUUAUGAUAGCAAAUUUUUUAUUUUAGCCAAAUUUAGGACAACUAAUACAAAACUAUAUUUGAAUUUUUUUUUAAAAUAAAUUGAACUGGCUGCCGGGUAGCUUGGUUUAAAAGACAUCUAUUUAUUAUGUCUCAUUAUUUCCAAACUUAGGUUGUUUUUAUUCAAUUAAAUUUGGAAAUGCAAAUAUGAAAAAAAGGAAACAAGUACUAUUCAUGCAUAUUGUACCAAAACUAACAAAGACAAAAAAGAUCCUACCAAAAAUACAAUAUAUACAUGUAUAUUGAAAAUUAGUUAUUAUUAAGGAAACAACUAAAUAUAUCAUUAAUGACUUAUAAAUCAAACAAGAAAAGGUCCACCAAAAUGGACAUAAUUUUCUAUAAUAAAAAAUUAAGAAAAAAAUGAUCUUAUGUAGGAUGACAACAAAAAAAAAAGUUUAUUUGAUUAUUAUGUUAUGAUUUACGUGUAGAAGAUUACCCUUAUUUAAGCGCAGCUUUAUGAAGGAGAAUGAUUAAGGUGAAAAAAAAGCCUUUUUUGAUUUUAUUCCCUAUUUGAUAAAUUUAGAUGCAAAUUGAAUAAAUGUUUUAGUAAUGGUAAUCAAAGGGAGGGGAAAAUUUAUUUACAAUGGAAAACCCUUUCUCACUUGGCUGCAUGUUUUUAUUCCCUUUGAUUGAAAGCUACAAAUGAAGCGAGAGAACAUGCAAAUUUUUUUCACGUAGGCAAAUGUUUUAAUAAUGUUUUAUUCUUGUCUACGCGAAGAAAGGGCUUUCCCUUAUAAAGCAAGAGAACAUGCAACCCUUUCAAAGCUGCAAAUGUUUAUUCUGUCGGCUGCCGGGCAGACCAGGGCCGGUAGCCAGCAACUUUAUUAAAAAAAAAAAAAAAUUCCGUUGCUGGGUUGACACAACCCGGUAGCGGUGUCAGAGCAAAAAGAUUCGCCUUUUUUCAUAGAUUUGCAGUGAAUCCUUGUCAGACUCAUCCUUGUCAGACUCAUAAACGUCUGACUUUUUCUUUUUUCAACGAUAUUCUGAGUAAUUAGCCGACUCCUUAAGCAUCAUGUAGUAAGAGGAUUAGUUAUGAAUCCUACUGAUCAUCCCCAUGGAGGUGAGUAAAGAAGAGCUUCAAUUGAUAGGAAAAAAAACCCAUAAUCCCUUUAGGUUAUCCUGCACUUGGAAGAAGAAGUAGAAAAAGGAAUAAAUUUAGUGAUAAUUUGUUUUUUUGUCAAUGCUAUAAUAAAUAGGAGAAAAAUUAGAGUUUUUUCUUCACCUUAAAAAAAAUGAAUAAGCUAUGACACGUUUACUAAAAAAAUCCUUUUGUGGGCGAACGACGGGCUACAGUAAAUAGGAGAAAAAUUAGAGUUUUAUCUUCACCUUAAAAAAAAUGAGUGAGCUAUGAUACGUUUACUAAAACAAUCCUUUUGUGGGAAAACGACGGAACUGAACCUGCGCACAGUGGAUUGUACCCACUGAAUUCACAAUCCACUGCCUUGAUCCGCUUGGCUACAACCGUCCCUCUACUCUAUUUUUAUUUUUAUUUUAUUUUAUAUUCGAAGUUUGGAAAUUAGUCACCGAACACCUCUUAGAAGUACUUUCAGUGCUUAAGAACACUUUUUCAUGCGCCUUAUACACACGUUCACUGAUGUGCUAGCUCCAGCAAAGCCUUACUUGACAUGUAUAAUUAUAGAUAUACACCGCUUGAUAAAACUGCUAUAUAUAAUUGGACUAUCAAAGCUUAGCCCUACAACCCCUCCCUCCUCCUGAAGCCAUUCUUCAAUAUCACGAAGAAAAAAUGUCAAAAUUAUCUUUCUUGUUAUGUCUCAUUCUUGCAACAAUUUUUGUGGUCGUUGUGAACGGCUCCGAAAGUGAGGUUGGGAUCUAUGAGCUCAAGAAAGGAGAUUUUUCAUUGAAGGUGACAAACUUUGGUGCUCGGAUAAUAUCCCUCGUUCUCCCUGACAAGAACGGUACUUUUCAUUUCCUCCUUUUACAUAUACUACAAUGUUUUCAUGGUAAACUCCUAGCUGAUUCUGCACAUCUUUUUCCAACUUGUUCAGGAAAGCCCACAGAUGUUGUUCUUGGCUAUGAUUCUGUUAAAGAAUAUUUGGUGAGCAAUUUAAAAAUUUUGUACCUUCAAUUAGAUUUUUAUGGAAGUUUUCUCUUCUGAGAGGUUUGGAUGUGGAGAGGAUUAUCUUCUGCUGCACUUGACUUUCCAUCUUUAUCUCGUCAUCUUCAUUUCCCUGCAUUAUGCAGAAUUCAGGAAUGAAUAAUUUCUGUAGGGACCUUUGCUUUUUAUUUUGUUAUUAUUAUUUUUUUGGGUUUUCUCUGUCUUUAGGUCAUCCUUCAGUCUUGAGAAGUCAAAAAUGGAUGGUUUUUUGUUUUUUUUUUUUUGGUAGGGUAUAGAGGUUUAAAGAACUUGGUCACCUCGUGGGGCACAUUUGGCUUUUGAUUUUGUUUUAUUUUAUUUUUUGGUUGCCAAGAUAAAAUUGGUCACCUCGUUGGGCACAUUUGACCUUUUCUUUUGGGGUUGAACAUAUAAAGUUUCCGGACCUACUUAUACUCCCUUUCCCUUAUCAUCGAACCCAACCCUCCUUCUUAGAUUCGAAACCUUUCACUUGUAUUGAAAAACAAAAAAUCAGUAUUCAUAAUGAACAACAAUGGCUCCGAAUAUUUAGCACGAAUUCCCGACUGGAUUUUAUUUUUUAAUCUUUUCUGCUUUCUUAGCUGGAUCUUGCCCUUAAAAGAACACAUGACGAUUGUCAAUUGCAGUCUAUCUCAAGAUUCACUGGGUCUAGCUAGCAGAGACAGACCCCCGAGGGGGAUGGGGGGAGCCGCCCCCACAACUUCUAAAAAUUUGGACCUAUUUAUUUUUAAGUGAUAUUAUUUUGUCCCCAAUUUUAAGAUAAGUUAUUUUUUAUUUCCUUCUUCUUUAUUAAUGUUAGUAAACAAUCAUUAGUAGCUAAUAUAGGCUGUAUAGCUUUUGAACAGCAACUAAUUAAAGAAACAUAAUUUAUUUUUAUGUAAGUCUACAAUAAACUAACUCCUAAUGUAAGAUUGACUUGAAUUAAAAAAAAUUAGAAAACUAAUCCCAAAAUGUAAGGUUGAAUUAGAUUUAAGAGGGAAAAAAAGCAGGAGUAUUGGUUAAAAACAAAAACAAAAUGUACAGCUUUUUAAUGUGUUAUAAGUGCUUAUCAUUGCCAACUCUAUUGAGGCUUUUAAUAAUGAUGUUCUUGCUUAUAUAUUGAUCAGAUGAUAUUGUGAAAGAAAUAAUUCGAAAAAAAAUGAUAUGGGUCUGUCAUCUUGAUAGAGAUGGUUCUUCUUCGUCCGAUAUUUAUUUUAGUAUCUGGAACACGGAUUUUUAUAAGAAUAGAUUAAGAAAUAUUUGAACUAUGAUUCAAUAAUUGAUGUAUUUCAUCAAACGAAGGAAAUAAAACAUAGGCUCGCAUCCCUUGUAUUAUGAGGAAAUGAAAUGAUUAAAAAGUCUAAUUUUGAUACCUUGUCUUUUACAACUAAAAACAUCUUAUUGCUAGUUAGUGUAAAACUUUCAUUUUAAGUUUUUUUUUUAUACUUUAUAUGCUAAAAUAUUGUUUUAUUAUAUGUUUGACUAGCGGUCCCCCAACUUAAAACCCUGGGUCCAUCAUUGCUUGCUAGAUUAUGUUUUUAAAUUUGAAAAUCCUCAUUAUAAUUGUUUUGUUCCCUUUAGCUUUUGUUCUCAGCAUCUCCGCGUUGGGAAUACUUGGGAUACUUGCCUUUCUUUCUUGGGUGUGGGGAAGGGUUGAAUUUUCUUAUAGAGGCAACUCGUGAAUUGCUGCAUAGAGAUGCUUCAUCCAAUGGCCAUUAAUUUUUAGUUAAAUGUUUUGUCUAUUAUGUUGACUUGGAGGUCCUUCUUUUAAUGUUGAAAAGUACUCCCACAUCAUGAAUAGGAAAAAAAUUAAUUAUAGGGUAAAUUACUAGUAAUCUCCUUAUGAUUUUGCAUAUUAUCACGUAACUUCUCAAAUUUACUCGUGUAGUUUUAUGCAAAAUGGUAAACAGCCUCUUUAACAUCUUUAGUUAAAUGCUAGUAUAACCUUUAAUUAAAUACUAAAUAGAAUGAGGAUUUAACCACCAUGUAUGACUAUGUUAAUAUAUGUAAAAUUGCAAGAGGUCAAGUGAAUAUUUAUGCAAAUUUAUAGGAGAGCUAAGUGGACAUUAUAAUUCCAUCACAUGCAUUUUUUGAGCGCGUCUAGGUCAGUGUUAAUCAGAUAUACCUUCGAUUCAUUUUUUACUUUAUAUAAAAUUUUGGACAAUUACGUGAAUAUUUUAAAAUGUUAGCGAGUCAUAUGGCAAGUGAUUUAGUAUUUAUCAUAGUAGCUGCUACUUAUUUGGUUUAAGCCCAUGGCAUUAAGCUAUAUGUCUCAAAGCACCCGUUCGAUGUCGCUUUAGGUAGAACGAUGAUACAGACGUAUAAACUUCUGUCUGGACAUGCAAUCUUACAUCCCAUGUUUCUAUCAUUUUCGCUAACAAAUUGUUCAGUAGGCCAAUUUUCUUCCUUUAGGCCAGUUUCCUAAAAAUCCAUAAAAAUUCCCUGCAGAAUGAUACACAAUACUUUGGAGCUAUUGUUGGCCGGGUUGUUAAUCGGAUUGGUGGUGCUCAGUUCACUCUAAACGGAGUUCAUUAUAAGCUUGAUGCUAAUGAGAAACCAAACAUGCUUCAUGGUAAUUUACUCCCAGCUAUAACACAUGUAAAUUUGAGUCAUCAACUUUAACCACUGACUCUGUCUGUGGAUGCUAUGUAUCGUGAGGGAAACAGGUGGUAGAAAAGGAUUUAGCCUGCUCACUUGGAACGUGGAGAAAUAUGUGAAAGAUAGGGCCAAUCCUUUCAUUGUAUUGUCCUAUUACAGUCCUGAUGGAGAAGAAGGAUUCCCUGGAAAUCUCCUGGUUAGAGUGACCUAUGCUCUACUUGAACCAUACAAACUGAGCGUAAUAAUGGAAGCGGAAGCCCUGAACAAGGCUACUCCUGUGAAUCUAGCACAACACAGUUACUGGAAUCUUGGAGGCCAUAACAGUGGUGAUGUCCUCUCGGAUAAAGUCCAAAUAUUCGGCUUACACUACACGCCUGCGAACAACCAGCUCAUCCCGACUGGAGAAAUCUUACCUGUUAAAGGAACCCCGUACGAUUUCUUGAAGCCCCACAAAAUUCAAAGCCAGAUGAAAGGCCUUCCGAGUGGCGGAGCUCCAUCUGGUUAUAAUGUGAAUUAUGCCCUUGAUGAAGGCAAGGACCACAAGCUGAAGCUCGCAGCAAUUGCGUACAGUAAGAAGACUGGUAUUGGGAUGAUGAUAUCAACAAGUGCUCCAGGUCUGCAGUUUUACACGGCUAAUUACUUGAACGUGACAGGAAAAGGUGGAUAUGUUUAUCAGUCACAUGCAGCAUACUGUUUUGAGACUCAAGGAUUCCCUGAUGCAGUGAACCAUCCAAAUUUUCCCUCAACAAUCGUUAAUCCAGGAGACCUUUAUGUACACAACAUGUUGGUUGAAUUCAAAAUCAAACAAAAAUAAGAGCUCGACUAAUGUACACUGUACCCGAAGAGCAAUUGAAGCUGCCCUGAUU